Molecule: non-coding RNA, 88831 nt
Organism: Oryctolagus cuniculus (rabbit)
Lineage: Eukaryota; Metazoa; Chordata; Mammalia; Lagomorpha; Leporidae
Source: RefSeq, a predicted model, not a curated record
AUGGCUUGUCUGGCCCGGUGUGUUUGUUUUGUUUGUUUCCCUCGGCUCAGCUUUGUUGGUUUCGGGGGGCUUUCCGCCGGGAGGGGAGGGGAAGGGGACAGGGGAGAGCGAGCGGGAGCAGAGCGUGGAGAGAGGGAGGGGAGGGAGAGCUGCGAGUCGAUUGUCUGGCUUCAAGACAGAAGUAGGAGGCAAAAAAAAAAAAAAUCUCUCCAAAGAUCUCGCUCGCUCUCACUCUCUCCCUCCCUCUCUCGUUCACUCUCUCGCUCUCAGAGCUGGUGUGCAGCCCAGGAGGAGUUGGAGGAGGAGGAGAAGGAAGAGGAGGAGGAGGAGGAGGACGAGGACGAGGAGGAGGAGGAGGAGGAGGAGGUGGAGGAAGAGGAGAGGCGACUGUCCGGGGGCCAAGUCCAGGGCAGCCCACAGUCAGCCAUUCAGGAAAGCCAUCGAAAUCAGGAGGACUGGGAGAGCAGAGGCGCCGGGCGCGGGCGCGCCCAGGGAGCCCGGCAGGCCGGGGCGGAGGCCGGCGGCCCGCGGAGUGGCCGGAGCGCUGCCCGGGUCCGGGGGAAUCAGCAUGAAAGUGGUCCGCGUCGAGCGCUGCGCGGCGUCGUCCUGGCGCUGGGCCGCCGCCGCCGCCGCCGCCGCCGCCGCCGCCUGCCCCGGGCGCCCGGCGCGCGCCUCGCUCGCUGCGGCCGCCGCCGCCCGCUGUCGCCGGGUGGAGGCCGCCGCCGCCGCCGCCGCCGCUCCCCGCGGGCCGCCGCCGCCGGAGCCGCCGCCGGGUCGGGCCCGGAGCCGCCGGAGCCGCCGCCGCCGCGUCUAGCGCCGCCGCCGCCGCUGAAGUCGCUGCUGCUGCCGCCGCUGCUGCUGCCGCCGCCGGAGCCGCUGCUGCUGCCGCUGCCGCCGCCGCCGCACGCACAUAGGGAAAGAGUCAAGGCGCCGGCGGCGGGGGAGAAAUGAUAGAGGAGAGAAAGGAGGGCAGAUCACCACCUAGAAGCGCAUCCUCGGUGCGCGCAGGGGAGAGAGAGACGGAGAGGGAGAGAGGGGCAGAAGAGGCAGCGCGGCGCCCGGAGCAGGCGAGGAGGAGGAGGAGGAGGCGAACACACACGCGCGCACGCACACACACACCGCGGAGAGAAAAGAACAGAGCAUCAAAGUGAUCAAAUAUGCUAAAAAGGGGGGCGCGGGAGGGAAUGCGAUUUAUAGGCGCCGGGGCUGGCAGAAGUGGCUUCUCCGCGAUCGGCUCACCGAGCUCUCUAUAUAGUGAACUUUGACACGACUGCUGCAACUUAGCGCACGUUGCCAUGGCGACGGCGCGCCUUAUAAGGCAGCCGCCGGGGUUGGCCUGGCCAGGCGCGCGCGCGCCGCCCCCUCGCCGUCAUUGGCCGGAGCGCGCGGCGGCCCCGCCAUGGCGGCCCGCGGGCGCAGCCCGGUCCUAGCGCGAGCGGCGUGGCGGGGCCGCGACGCGGGGCGCGCGGGGGGCGGGGACGCGGGGGCCGUGCCGUGGCGGGGCCGCCGAGGCUGGGCGAGGCGGGGGGGGGGAGGACGCGGAGAUGGGCGCACGGCCGCUCGCCCGCCCGCCGGCCCCGGGGAGCGCGGCCCCCGGCUCUCCGCGCGGCCCGCACCCGAGGUUUCCGCCCCGGCGGGGAGCCGAGCGCGGCGCGCACACACAACGCCUCUUAAAGGCUCCGCGAGCGAGCGAGCGAGCGAGCGAGCGGCUCGCGAGGGAAUCGGGGACUGCGCCUCGCACAACUUGGCGAUGCCGCGCGGCGCGCCGCCCGGGGACUCGCGGCGCAUCCCGGUGGCCUGUGGCGCCCGGGCCGGAGAAAAGUUCUCCGCCGAGGGGCAGCGGGCGGGGGCGGGACGCUGAGGCGAACGGAGCCCGCGGGCGUUCCCCACACGGAAGGUUUGGCCAAAUCCGGGCGGUGGCACAGCCUUCGCUGGGUCGGCUCAGUUCUCUGGCUCGGUUAGGUGGCUCUUUUCCCACCCCCCACCCCCGCCCCAACUCUUUUUUUUUUUUUUAAGGGGGUGGGGGUGGGGAAGCCCUGGUGUGCCCGUCUGCUCUCGGCAGGGCUAACGUUUCUGGGGUAGGUGGCCUGACAUCUAAUUGCUCCAAGUAAGCAUCUCGGAUGCUGAGAAGCAGAAGUGGGCUUCCUCUCCUGGUCAAGGCGCAAGUGCAGUCGGUUUCCGCCAACUUUAUCCUCUCUCGCUGGUCUUUGCAAACUCCGAAGCCAGCGCUCUGCCGCCCGGUCGUGGGGCCAAGGGAGAGGCCGCUCGGCUGGCUGACGGACAGGCGGGGGUGGCCGCAGCCUCGCCGCGCACACGCAUCGGAUGCACAUUUGUCAAUGUACGCAGACAAAGAAUUCGGCGACUGUGUUCCUCCGUCGCAGAACAGUUGAGGACGGACCUCAUUGUUCCUCAGCUGCCUUUUAAGCAUUCAUACAGUCAUUAAAACACACCCAGAGAUUCUGCCCCAAACUGGAAGUGAGACCAGCCCAAGGCUCACAGCAACCGCGCACAAGCCACGACUUCUCCCUCAGGAGAGCCCCUGCGACAACUUCAAAGCCUGCUCCCCCAUGUGCGAAAACUAUCGACCGACCGCGGCCCGUGUCUUUCAGCUCCAGGGUGUUUGGUCUUAAACAUCAGAUAUAUACAAUUGCGCCUCUGGAAUACACUGUAUAUUCGCACGCCUUUUCCUGGGCUACGGUUCUCUCACACUGAUACCAGAAAAUCAUGAUUCCACCAGACACACCCUGCACCGAGAAAAACUGUAAACCGCCAGUCAACCAGGUUGAUGAACAAUUAAAAUAUUUUACACAAAAGACGCUGAGCCCUAGGAAAAAAAUGAACACUUAUAAGGAGUAAAUUGACGACUGCAGAAACACAUCCCUGGUAGCGCGAAAAAUUGGUGAGAUAAGGUAUUUUAAAAAGGAAACGCCACAUUUAAUUGACAUGUGUAGAUUGUAGUUUGUGUUCAAUUCCCUUUGCCCACACAUAGGCAGAACAGGAGGUACGAACUAGACGUAAGCAGACAGGGGCUGGUUUUUUAGGGAAGGAGAAAUUCCACUUAAACUUUACUCCUGAAACUCCUUAGCCCUUGCUCUUUCCCCACUGAAGUCACACUUUUCGCUACAGCUGCAGGUGCUGGGAUUAUUUGAAAGUAUUUAAAAAAAAAAAAAACACCCUAGAGUGGACCCUCAACUAAGAUAAACCUGGUGUUUAAUAAGAUUACCACAGAGUGAAGCCAGACUGAGAACUUCAGGUUGAUGAGAGACACAAUAUAGCUUUCUCCUGAAGAGGACCAGAAGGAUGGAAAAGAAAUCAUUUCAAAGGAGACGGUUUUGGGUUUUUUCCUCUUCCUUUCCAACCUCUAUGAUUCGAGCAGUUGCCCAGUGCCACAAAUGUCAGUUAAUUAGGGGCAAACUCAGCCUAGAUGUAGUGGGACUGGAAUCGAGAUGGGAAAUCUAAUGGGUAUACUCAUCUCAAUUUAAUAGAUGAGAAUAAUUGAUUAUAGGGAAAUUUUAAUCUUGACUUUUGAGUGCGGAGCGGUCCACGGCAACAUCAUCUUUUAUUAAAAAAAAAAAAAAGAAAAAAGAAAGAGAAAAGGGAGAUCAGCUUCCAUGGGUCAUGUAGAGAUUUUUGGAAUCUGAAGUACGCUCUGAUGGCCUUAGAUUGAAAAUAAAGAAUUUCCCAAGCCAUCUCUCCUGUGAAAUUGGAGCCUGCCAGGCACACGACCACAGGGCUGCCAUAAAGUCAGAGGUGUUUCUGUAUUUUUGAGACUCAUUCAGUCAUGGAAGUGCUGUCAAAAAGGUUUUAAAAAUCACCAUAUGAAUUGUAGUUAAUUUUACUGCAUAGAAGACAUAGGUAUGGCAGACUGCAAAGGAAAAAGAAACACAAAUAUUUUAAAUGUCUUCUUCAGAGAUGCUGGCUUGCCUUGAUGCCAAGAUUAAAAACCUCAAAGACUAACCAAUAAAUAUCAAUAUAUUGUUCUUUUUAAAGGAAACCCAGGCCAGUCUCUUAUUGCAGAUGUAAAUUUAUUUUAAUGAGAGGAAUGACAAGCUUUAAUUUGGCUGGAGAAAGCUGGAAUAGCAUUUCUUUUAAUCUGGGGAGACAAACAAACACACACCCAGGAAUAUGAUUUUUUUUUGCGGAAAGUGGCUGGAUGGGCUGUAAUUCUUUACAGAUUAAAUCACACUAUGAAUACAGGCCCCAGCAAAUGCCGAGUUUAACUCUGAACUCAGUGGAAACCAGUUCUGUCCACCAGGAUUCAUUGAAUUCCUCCUUUCCCCCAAUCUCGUCCGUGUGUGUUUUUCUCUUCCACCACACUGGAGCUCCAUGAAUAGGGAAAGGGGCUUCCAUUGUGUCCCUCUGAACUUCCAAGUCAAUGCAAUUUUUAACCACUGGCUUGUGGUACUUUGAAAAUCACCAGGGGCUGUCAGAGUUGGGUCCUCUGAAAAAUUUACAGUGCUAAAUCAGAGCAUAUGCUGGGAGGGAAAGAAUUGCUGAAGAUUGGAGCAAGUACAGUAUCUGUCUGCCCCCUAGUGUAAGAGCCCUCGCUGCCUAAAAUUCAACUUUAAAAGAAAAGGAGCUCUUAAAGGGAAACGACUUUGGGCUCACGUAGGCAUAGCAGAAUGAAACUUCUGUACAUUUUAAUCUGAAUAAUUCUUCAGGAUUUAAAAUUAAUUGGCUCUGGCGUGGUUGGACUGCACCGGGAUCUCGCCACCUCUGCGUUCCCCGAGUCACUGGUGAAGAGGUGAUUUUUUUUUUUUUGAACUGGGUUUAUGUGAGUCCCCCUCACCCCCUCCUCUCUUUUUCUUUCUCUCUGUCUCUGUCGUCUCUCUCCCUGGCUUUUUAAAAAUGAGGAACCGUUCCCCGAACGUUCUGGACAGAGCACAGAAUUACUGCUUAAGUCAGCCCGGCGCGGUUGCAAAUAGACAGCCAAAAGGUAAACGUUUGCCAGAAACCCGCACGCCAGCUCCGCCACCCCGCCGAUGGUUUUCCUCUCCUUUACUCGGAAGGAAAGAGUGGACUUGCUCUUCUGAAUUGCGACCCAGUGGUUUCCUAGCGCUCUGAGGCACAGGAAGGGUGUGGCACUUGGCCAGGGUCAGAGAGCCAGAGUCCCUGAGUCCUUCCUAAACCUGAUGCCUUCCCAGAACGUCACGUUGCCUUCCCUUGCACUUCUCCAUGAUUUUGCUCAGAAGAUGAUGUCACAAGUCAACUGGUAUCAGGCCAAGUUCACGACUGUGCAUCACCCUCAAGAAUCAUAUCGACAAGAACAUACUGUGCUGGCAUGAGACAGCGCCCUGUUCUGAAAUCCUCCUGACCUGCCUUGAGGAGGUGGUCCUGUCUGCUCAGCUUUCUCAGAAACUAUGCAAGUUAUUCUUCGGUCUCUUCAAAAGCUGCACGAACCAACUGGUCCUCCAGAGAGCUCCCCUCUGAGCUCAGGUGACAUGCCUCAUUGAGUUACACCUUCCCUGACUUGCGUCCGGACCUGGACUGUGCCACUCCGUGCUGUUUUCCACCUCGUGAGAAGAAUAUUUAUCAAUUGGCUUCCCCGGGUUUCCAAAGAGUGGGCCUGCCUGCACCAGCUCCCUACCCAGGGUGAGCCAUGAAUCCCUGGCCCUGGUGGCGGAAAACCAGGCCAGGACACUGCUCUUCCUCCUGCUACUUCUCUGAGCCAGGAAGCCACAAGUUUUCCAGGGUUAGAGUGAACAAACGCACAGCACACAUCACCAAGACUCAAAGGUUGUGCCUGAUUCUCUAGCAAAGAGGAAACUUUCACAAGGUGAGUGGCAGCAGUGUGCAUGGCUUCUCCUUCCACGGUGGCACGAAUGUGCUCUCAGGAAACACAUGUGUUAGGUGCAUGUGCAUGAGGCGCAGCGUUAGGUGGACAUGAGAAAUGGGUGGAUGAUGCCCUUGGGGGAGAUUCCACUAGGACUCUUACGUGCUGAUGUUUGGAAGAACUCAGACGUCCUCUUGCCACUGUCAGCCAGGCGCUAACAAGAUUACAGCCACGGCAUGAUCUCCUUCUGUGAGAUAUUUUCAUCAUCAGGAAGAGGGAAGUUAUUUUUUCCAUUUCUGCUUUCCAAAAUGGAAAACUUCAAUUUUGCAAAUUCUGUACCUCCUCUUCAGGACUGGGCCACGGAAGACGGAAACACCAUGUUAGAGGUCGUUGGUCCGUUUGCCCCAGGAACUACUCCCCAGCAGCCGUCCCUUCCUGAGUUACAGGAGACGGCAGAACUACGGGCCUCAUGCAUCUGGCCAAUUAUGCAAUGCCCAGUCACAGGGGGAAAUUCCUCCUUCACCCCAGCUGGUGGACACUUAUGCCCUGGAGCUCAGGACGGACAUGCCUUGUAACUUUUUAACCUGGUUAGUGCAACUGCCAAUAUUAUUCCUGUUCAUAUAAAUGUCUAAUCCUUUCUUGAAUCUUGCUAGACUAUUUGCCUCAAUAAUAUCCUGAGGCAAUGAAUUCCACAGGUAGAUUAUAUGCUGCUUUAAGAAGUAUUUCCUUUUAUUUGUUUUAAAUUUGUUGCCUUUUAGCAUCACAAGAUGGCCCUUGUUCUUGCCUUGAGUGGCACAAGAUACAGCCACUUCAGACUGAGCUUUCCUUCUCCCAGUCACUUUCUUCACUAUUGUUUCAUCCCAAUGUUCUUUAUAGAUCGGGUAUUCUGGCAGUGGAUCAGUCCCAGAGGCUGGGUAAGUCUUGGUGGGUCAAAGUCCAAGAUUGGUCAGCUCCACUCUGGUGAGGCCCCUCCUUGGCUGGGUCACCUCAUGGCACCUGGUACCACGGCAGGGACAAGUACACGAGUGAGAGGCCGCACGUGAGACAGGAAGUCAGAAGGAGGAGGGACCAAUUUGCUCUCUCGUGCACUAACCAGGGUUCCAUGAGAAUUGCACUAAUAUCUUCUGAGAACAGCAUCUCCAAUGACCUUGCAUCAAGUCUCACUUCCUAAAAGUUGCACCAUCUCUUAAUACCACCACAUUGAGGACCAAACUUCCGAAUACGUGAAUCCAUUAGGGACAAGCUGCACGCAAAUCAUGGAAGGAACCUGUGAUUUUGACUAAGUGAGAUGAUUGAAGUAUGCAUUCUCAUACUAUUUCAGACAACAGUAGGCUUGGGGAAAAAAGCUGUACUUGAUGUUCAAUGUCAUUUAUUGGACAGAUAAUGCUUAUUAUGUACUUAUUUGUUGGACACCUACUAUGUUCUAAAUCUGGAGAGCCAUUUUUGAAUGAGACUAGGUUUUUAUUCUGAAAACCUAAGUAUGUGGAGAGAGAAGCAGGCCAUAAAAGGAUAAAUGCACACCCGAACAAUGGAAUUUCAGAUGGUAUUGAGUAUUAAGAGUGACCAGGACAGGACGGCAGGAGCCGCUUGAGAUUGCAUGGGCAGAAGUGGCCCUCCUAAAAGGUGACAGCUGUGAUUGGUGGCUAAGGGCUCAGUUAUGUGAAAUUUCUGUGAAGGUGAACUCCUGCUUGCAGAAAAAUGCCCACAGUAGUCGAGGCUCACUCCUAUGUGUUCAGCGUGUGGCUGAAUCAAUGUUGAGAAGUCACAGUGAGUGACUCAGUUGAUCCAGGAGAAACUUGUCCAAAGACUCCUGGAGUGGGGCCGGCGCUGUGGUGUAGUGGGUAAAGCUGCUUUCUGCAGUGCUGGCAUUCCAUAUGGGCGCCGGUUCGAGACCUGGCUGCUCUACUUCCAAUCAAGCUCUAUGCUAUGGCCUGGGGAAGCAGUAGAAGAUGGCCCAAGUCCUUGGGCCCCUGCACCAACAUGGGAGACCCAGAGGAACUCUUCACUCCUGGCUUCAGAUCCACGGAGCUCUGGCAGUUGCAGCCAACUGGGGAGUGAAUCAGAGGAUGGAAGACCUCUCUCUCUCUCUCUCUCUCUGCCUCUCCUUCUGUGUGUAACUCUGACUUUCAAAUAAAUAAAUAAUAAAUCUUAAAAAAAGACUCCUGGAGUAAGAAAAGCAGAGGAUUUAGGCAACUAGCAAGACUUGAGUUUCAAGACCUGACCUUGUAUCCAACUAACCAGCUAGGUGACCUUGGGAUAUCAUUCAGAGUGGCCUUUUUAGAAUGAGAGCCAAGUUUCCUUGUUGUGAAGGUUUUGGAGAUCAGAGGUAAAGUUAUGUAGAAGUUCUUUAUAAACUGUCAAAUGGUGUGGAGAUGUUGGUUAUUCCUGUAGGAAUCAGCAUGCUUUGGUCUUUCCCGCUUUCCCCUUGUCCUACCUUACUUCCUCUGAUUGCUACUUUAUUCCUUUCUAAAGGCCACCACUGGCAGCCAAGGUACUUUACUCGUUGCCACAGAGGUGGCUUAAGCAGAGUGGAUUUACCUUCCUGAAAUUCUUGUGUGUUUCUUAAGGACCUUAAAAAUGGAAUCAUGCAAAACUGUUGCUUUGUGAUACAGGAGCUGGAAGUGGUUUUCCGGCAGUGAUGGUUUGCUUUGAUUUUGUGGAUUGCUAAAUCUCCUGGGGUCAGGCUAACUUCUAUCCAUAAAGACGAAGUCCUUGCCUGCACUUCCCAGACCUGGAGGCCUGGCUGAGCCGGCCUGAGCACUACACUGUGGUGCCGUGGGUGCAUACUAUUUCCUGACACUGCCUCUUGCUCUUCCUUUUAAUUGCCCCAUCAUGCACCUUUUUUCCUGUUUAGGCUAUUUGGAGCAGAGGCGUGUGCAGCUCUGCAUAAUGAUGUAUUGUAAAGACAUUUCAAGGCAUAAAUUAUCAGGAUUGUUUACAUGCGUGGCUCCAAUUUAUUGGCACUUGUGUAGGCCUUGGUUUUAUGAUGUUGCUGCCAGCCAGGCUCCUUCUGGGUAAAACUCUGAAACAGGAGAAGCUGCCUUUUGCCAGGCCUCACCAGCACUUCCUCUGCCUUGUUCCUGCCCUUUCAACACCUGCCUCCUUUCCCAUCCCCAGAAAGCACAGUGGAGAUGUCAGAGCUUUUCCCCCUUCACGUGAGGACAUAUCGUGGGUCCUCCCCAGACCUGCCUCCAGCGAAGGUGAGACGCACAGAAUAAACCUUCAAUGAUAUAAUUUUAGAACGGUGGCAACUGCAAGGGUGGCUAUUUUUGGCUGUGGGGCUUUCUCCUUGACCUGAGAUGAUACUGCUCUGCCUGCUGCUGGUGUGGCCAGCCAAUCCUGUUAGCAACGUGCUUGCCAUUCCUGGGGGGUGGCUUCUUCAUUCCUCUGCCCAGCAGCACUCUGCUUGCCCAGAAUUCUGUGCGUUUGUGCAAGGUCAAGGAUCUGUUGACAUGCGCCCACCUGGGCUUGUCCCAGGCUGACAUUCCACGGUAAUGUUCCAGGCCACCCCGAGGGGCAACACAGAUGGACUAUGCCCUUCUACACAGAGGGUGGGGGAAACGGCUCGUCCGGUGCCUGCAGGUCCCUGCUCGUCUGAGCUCUGUCAGUUGCUCAGCAACGGCCCUCUGAGUCACUCCCACUCUGAGCUGGGUGAUCUGCAGGCCCCAGGGUCUCAGCAUUCCCACCUACACUGCCUCGGCUGGAGCUGGAUCCUCACUGUGAUGCCUCUGGCCACCCUGCUUGCUGCCUUCCCACUCAGGCUCCUGACACAGCUGCCGUCUGCAGACCCCCUGUGCUGGCCAGGCAAGUGAGUGGGAGCUCCUGCAGCAGAUGGGCGGAACAGCUACAAGAAGACCUGAAGGUGGCCAAAAAUAACAGUGCUCUCCAGAUGAGGGUGAUUAGAGCCAAGAUCAUCACUGGGUAGGGAUCUUGUUCUUCCUUUUACAACCUAGAAAGGGUGCAGAGACUGGAAGAUCACUCAGGAAGAAAGAAUAAGGUCAGGAAAGAGUGGAAAAAAAUGAUAACUGCUUUUGAAAAAAAAAAAAAAAGGAAUUGGAUUUCUUUAUGUCCAAAGAGAGAAAACAAAGGCCUUGUACAGGAGUGGGGAGCACCCAGGCUCUCUGCAUGGUAGCUCUCUUCUACAAUUUCCCUAGCCAUAGAAAACUGGGAGCAUUCUGGGUUUGGGGAGAGAAAAAAAGGGGGGGUGGCUAGGACUAGAAGUUAUGAUAAAAAGGGAGAGAAAGAUCAAGAGACAAUGUUGCCUUCUCUUAUCUGCUGUUUGAGCCAACUUUAUGGAUAUUUAUUGAGAACCAAUGAUGUCUGAUCCAGUUAUCCAUUUCUGCCUGAUAAAUCACCCUAAAAUGUACUACCGUAAAGCCACAGCAAGCAUUUUAUCUUUGUCUCUCAGGGCUCUGAGUGGGACUGUCUGGUUCUCACCACCAUGGGGUUGGUGGUGGCCGAGGCUGGAGCCCUCUCUAAAACCUCCUGGAUCACAUGUCUGAUGGCUGAUGCUGGCGUCGUGGCAACCUUAGCAGAGGCUGUCAGCUGGGACACCUGCUCAGGGUCUUUCGCACAGCGUCUCAUCCUCACGCUCCUUACAUGGCCACUCAGGACACCAAAGAUGAGUCUCGGAAGAGAACAAGGUAGAAGCUGAAUUUUCUGUUUUGUCUCAGCUGAGUCACUGGAGCUCUCCUGUAUGGGAGGAGUGCGGAAGAACUUGUGGACAUGUCUUCAAGCUGCCACCGUGGCCCAUCCUGUGUCGGCCGCUCCCGACCUCCUAAUCACCCUGAAGUAAUCCAAGUCAAUUAAGUAUUCAGUGAUAACUCAUGCAGUAGCCAUUUGCCAGGUGAGGGAGGAGAUGGAAGAGUGUCUACCUGCGUGUGUGAGGUCACAGGCAGGAGACGGUCAGGAAGACCUGUGGCCACGUAUCAUUUGGAGAGCAUCAGAGAUACAUAGGACAACAGUGGUCAACAUUCCUUGACCUUGGAGAGAGUGAUCUUCUUACUACCUGUUCCUAGGAGCCAGCGCCCAGCACAGUACCACAGGACUGAAGGCAUGAUCCACCAUGCCUAGAAUCCCCACCAGGGACACCAUUCACAUCUUUGUGGUGAGAUCUGCUGCAGCCCAGGGACGUUCAGGUUGAGUUUGCUGAUCAGAUGCUCACCUCUUUUGAUGUGAUCUCUGGCUUCUGCAAGUGCUCCUGCUGUGAUGACGUCAUCUACCAGGAGGUCCUCAUUAGAGCUGGACGAAAGCUGGCCCCAUGCCCUGAGUCUUCAGAACAGACAGUGGACUCAUGAACAAAUGCCUUCAAAAUUAGAAGGAUGACUCUCAGCCAAGCAAGCACAAAGGAGUGGUUUGAGGAAGACUUCAGAGAGACAGGUAAGCAUGAGGGCAUUGAACUAGACUGUUUCCCAGCUCCUCCUGCAGCUGGACGUAGAAGGCUGAGUGGACGAAGGGCAUCUCUCCAGGCAUCUGAAGCUCAGAGACGGCAAUGGAGCCACCAAGUGCUGGCUGGAGACCAGGAUCAGUCAUGAACAAAGCCUCAGGCUGUGCAGACCAAACACGAGAGCUCUCUGAAGACCCUGAACUGGUGUGCUCCAGUAAGAUCAUUUGUUCCAUCACCGAUUGUUCAGACACCAGGUUAGGCACAGACAACAAAGACUCCAGGCCUUGCUGGCUGGACGUCCUACCUUGUAUUUAUUGGGUAUUUAUCAAAUGCCUUCCACUGACCCGGUGAUACGAGUGGUUACCUUCCCAUUAGCGUGCACUGCGUGAGUAUUUGGUUACAGGCUUGAAAGAGUUAAUGUGCUGCAGAUGCCUCCCGUGUGCCUGGGGAGUCCUGCACCUCCCCUGCCCAGGCUGCAGAUGUGUUGGGCUCAAGGAUGUGUUUUCAUUUCCUCUCAUGUUUAUGUUUCUGCUUUCUGUAAAGUCUCCCGAACUGCAGCAGUAUCUUCCAAGUUCCCUGACAUCGUUAUAAAUUUCAUUAGGAAGAUGAAGCCUUAUGGGGCAAUUAACUCCAAAAGUGGAACAAAGCAACAGCAAAGAGAUACUGGCCUGCAGUACUUAGCACUUAGCUCUAAAAUUGAGAUAAGCCCUAUCAGCCCAGGGUUGUGUUUAAUGUUCACUGCCGCCUCUAUACCACAGCUACAACCUAGCGGUCACCGUGUUAACACUCCCCAAUAUCUAUUACAAUUAGUUUUUGAUUAAGAGGCCUAACGUGGCUUUUGAAGCUUUUUAUGUUGUGUCAAAUGGCUGGUGAUGGAGUGAAAUGCACAGACGCUUGGCGGUAACAAAGCCGAUUGGAAAGGGUUUCCGUGAACUGUUUUAUCAUCCUAAUGGAGACCAGAUGACUCCAACUCCCCCCUGAAUUUCAACUAUUUACUGAAGAGUCCUUGUUUUGAAUUACCGAAGAUUUAUUCUUAAAUGACGACCUCAUGCAUUAAGAAUCGCUAAUAACUGAUCCGUUUGAAAUUUGGGAAAGCUCUUAAGGAUGACCAGAGCGAUGUUCACAGAGGAUAGAGUUAUAGACAGUGAGAGAGAGAGAGACAGAAAGGUCUUCCUUCCGUUGGUUCACCCCCCAGAUGGUCAGGAGCCAGAUGCUUCUUCCUAGUCUUCCAUGUGGGUGCAGGUGUCCGAGAACCUGGGCCGUCCUCCACUGCGCUCCUGGGCCACAGCAGAGAGCUGGACUGGAAGAGGAGCAACCAGGACUAGAACCGGCGCCCAUAUGCGAUGCUAGCGCCGCAGGUGGAGGAUUAACCAAGUGAGCCAACCCUGACUAAUGUACUUUUUCACUGUCUCUGGCCUUGGCCAUACCCCUCCCUUGGAACCUCAGUCUCUUCCCUGGAGCCUGGGGCUUUGACAGAUGCUGCCCGAGUUUUUGUUCACUUCUCUCGGUCACUGAUACUGCGCCAUCUGAUGUUCUAGAUAGCUAAGUCCUGGAGUGCGGGAUCUUGGUAUGGUGUGCUGGGUUCAUACCCAACUCAUGAGACUUGUUCUUUCCAUGCAAAAUAAGAGCAAUGUUGGCCAUUUCAUAGGGUUAUCCUAAGUAACCUAUGAGGCGAUCAAAACCAAGUGUCUGGAGUGCCUACUAAGUAGUAGCCCAGUAGUGAUUUCUAUUUCUCCUUUUUUCCUUUCAUAUUAUGUCUUGUCUAAUGGCCCUUUGUAUGAUUUGAAUGAAAGAAAUUGCCGUGAUGUUUGGGGCAUCCAUUGUGGCACUAUAAAAUUGAGCAAGUACUUUCUAUGUGGUGGAGAAGGUGUAGAAAUCCUGUGUGAGCUCUGGGGAUCCUGAGAGAGUGCCGGGUCUGUGUUGCUACACAAAUUGUGUCAAAGCAGCAGACAGGGGAUUUCAGUAGAAGCAGAGAGGAGAGUGGGGAAGGCCAUGCUCAGGGCUGACCCUUCACUCCAGAUUGAAGUGGGGCUUCACCACUGAUCGGGUGGUUAAUCUCAUCAAGUUCACAGCAGGGCAGGUGUUUGGUCCACGGGUUAAGAUGCUUUUUGGGACACUUGCAUCCCACAACAGAGUACCAGGGUUUGUAUCUCGCCCCAGUGCAGGUCCAGCCUUUGUGGGCAUAUGGGGAGUGGGUGGAAGCUCUCUUUUUGUCUGUCAGUUGUGUCUGUUCUUUGUCUCUCAAAUAAAUAAAUAAUAAGUAAAUAAAUGUACAUACAUCUCUAUCAAAAAAAGGAAAGGUACACAGAAAGUAUAUACAUUGGAAAGAGUAUGCAUGGAUCUCAAAUUUUUUUGCAUCAAAAUAAAACUUAUGUUUUACUUCUAUUUUUCCAUGAACUUUUUGAAGUACUCUUGUAUAUCAUUUUAUGUAGUUUCCUCAACCAAUCCCUGAGCCUAAAGCAAGAACUAAAGAAUUCAAUCACUGGAUAUUUUAUUACUACUACUACUAAUAUUCAUCAAAAUAAAACUUGCUAUCACAAAAGUAUUGCCGUGAAUAUGUGCAAAGAUUUAAACCAGGAAAAUAAAGCUGAACAGAUCCCUUGUUAAUAUUUUACUUUUCAAUUCUCUUUUCUAAGCAUUAGAGUCUGGAGACCCAUUCAUCUCACGCAUUUAUGCUUUUGUUCAACACUAGGGUGCUGUUUCCCAAGCACAUGUGUUAUGUUUUGAGUAGUUUGUCCCUCACCCCACCUGACCCCUGUUGGAGCCUGGUCCCCAGCGCAGCAGUGUUUGGAGGGUCAUGAGUGGAUUCAUAGUGUCCUCACUGGAGCGAGCUGCCUAUCACGGGGUUCAGCCCUUUCUAUCUUCCACGUGUACUUCUCUGCUCCUCUGCCUGAGUUGAAGCAGCAUUUGGCCCUCACCAGAUGCUGCCAAUCUCAGACUCCCUAGGCUCCAGCUCCCUGAGCCAAAAUAAACGUCUUUUCUUUAUAAAUUACCCAUUCUCAGGAAUUCUGUUACAGCACAAUGCAGGAAGCAGACUCAGGCCAGGGCUAGGGGAUAGGGUUCAAAGAUGAAACUCAUGACCUCUGCCUUUGCGGAGGAAUUUGUUGUCCAGUGGAGUGAUGACGUGUGCACCCAGGUCUGCAGUGCAGAGGGGCAAUCCCAGAGGCUGCGAGGGGCUCCUGGUUACGUGGAGGGGACUGAGGUGCCGACACUUGAACUUAGGGGAAUUUUACAGGACCGAGGAAGACCUCCUGUGUCCAGCGUGAGGGUGGCGUGGAGAAGAACGUGGGCUAAGGGUGGUGCGGGCAGCUGAGAAGCAUGGUCCAUAGUGGUCCAUAGUGGGAAGAAACAGUGUGGUGGGAUGUGGCUGGGGAGAUGUGGGGAGAGGACCAUAUGAUGGGGCUGGCAGACCCCUGGCCUCGCUCAGCGGCAGUCUCUGAUGCCAUCCCUGUGCCCCUGUGCAGCACAUGCCCAUCAAAGCCUACCCGCAUGCAGCUGGUAACCAAGGCUUGUGUCUUGUUUCUUUCUAUCCCCUCUUUACCUCGUCUCAUCUGCUGCCUUUGGCUAGUCUAGAUUUAUAGUCCACCUUAGCAGCUGGUUAGAGGCUGUUAUUAGUAUAACCAACCUUAAAUAAUUUGAUUUUCAGGUUGGGCACAUCACAAUAUCUCCUGUGGGCUUGAUAGUCAAACUACACAUUUAUUUAAAAAAUCAGUUUCCUCACAAUAUAUUUGAAAGUAGUGCUGCUCACUCAUCUGUAAACCAUUAGGCCUCAUGUGCAAAAGUAGCUCAUCGGAGUUUUCUUCACAUCAUUCUGAGGAUAAGUUUUAGGUGUUCCAGCUCUCUAUUAAGCCUAUUGUCUUAUUUUAUUAGUUUUCCUUUAAAAACAUUCCUAUCAGAACUCUGUUUUAAUGGAGGAGAGAAACUGCAUAAUAAAAUUUAAAUAUAUACUCAAACAUUCCUCUUCCUUAAUAAAUUUUCAGGGAUUUUUUUUCUUUGCUUCUUUAUUAUAGUUUUAGAUUUAAACAAGAGAUUUACACUGACCUGAUGUCAUUGGUAUUGGAUGCAUACUGUUUGAACUGAGCAAACUUUGAAUGAGUUGUGAGGAUUUAAAAGUCCUGAAAUCAAGAAAUUUGGCUUAAAAAAAUCAAAGGAUGUGAUAUUCUGGGUUUGCAGGGUAAUGAUCUGGGUGGCUCAGGCGCAAUCAGUGCCCAGCUCUGCAGGGUCCAUGGGCCUCACCUCACUCACAGGAGUUCCCUGCCUGAUCUCCCUUCAUAUGUCUUCCUGUCUACAGAUCUGAGUUUGACUUUUCCCAAUUAGAAAGCUGGGGUGAAUGCCAGUAGCAUGUGCAGAAUGCAACCCCUUCAUCUCAGGCACACAUAAUAACUGAUACUUUUAGAGAGACUGUAGGUCAGUGAUAAAAUAAAUUUCUGGAGCAACUUUGCACAUGACUCUGGAAGGAAAACAAGGAAACUGCAGUGUUAGGCUGAGUAUAAUUUAUCAAGGGAAAGGUUACUGAAAGUUUUUACUCCAUUAUCCCACAGACCUGUUAUCCUGACCAUUGUGAAACCGAUUUUUAAAAAUUUUUGGUGGGGACAUGUGACAUGCGAAAAUGGAAAAACCAGGUUUCUACUUUCUAGCACCCAGAAAGUACUACUGGACUUCCUUGUCCUCUUCCGGGGGUGGGGGAUAUCUCCUCUGUGGGCACCCACCUUCCUGAGGUUGGCUGAAAGUGCUAGUAUUUCCUGGUGUUAAUUAUUAAUGUGACCUGUUUAUGUACCAGUUAUCCGGCUAACCAUUAAUAUCUGUUUACUCAUUGAUGACCUUUGCAAUCGCGUACCCAGCUCCUGGCUGUAAAUGUCAACCUUUUUUAUUUAUUUAUUUAUUUAUUUUUUUUGCUAAAUGUUCUCUUCAUAUCUUCUGAGUGCCUGAAACAGUUGGUUAAGAAAGUAAAAUAAUAUCAAGUAACACAAGUAUAUCCUUUAUGUAAACGAGAAGGUGGCACAGUGCUAUUGUUCACAGAGAUUAAUACACAGAACUUUCUCUGUGGAAUGAGCAAGAGGUGUACACAAAUGGCAAAUCCAAGGAUCCCUGGGGGGUAAGAAAAAAAAUCCCACAAUUGGCAAGAAAAAAGUUCUUUAACUUCCAGGCUUAGGUUGGGAGGGGGGGGACAAGGAAAGGACUCUGACCUAGUCCUGGGGAAUAGACCAGUUUUCCUCUUCCAUAUAUCAGUGUUCAGUGCUUGUACACUAAAGCAAGCCUAUAGGAUUUAUCUCUGGUUACUCAGUCAGUCUACAUUAACUCCAACACUAGCAAGAUAUUUUCUUCCACAAUUGUAAUGGCUAAAGCCGAGAUUAAGCAAUGCAGCUGGAUUAGGGCUGCAACCAGUGACCUUAAUUUUACCCAUCAUUGGAGCCUGUGUGUAUUUGACUCUUCUAAAUUGCAUUUGCCUAAUUUAAACAGACAAUAGCAGCCCAAGACAUUUUUUUUUCACCCUCAAAUAAUAAAAAAGGAAGAAGAGCUCUUUCUUAGAAAUUAACCCCAGGACAGUCUUGCCAAGGCUGCUGAGCGGCCAACGAAAGCAGCUGUUUUUCUUUUUCUUGCCCCAUUAACAUACCCACACGGGAAAGGACCCAUUGAAAUAUUAUUGUCUUUGCAUAACAAUACAAUUUUAAAGUCUCGCAGCGCUUCUUUAGUGAAAUAGUUUAAAAUGUUAAUAUCAUUCCAGCCAUAAAUAACCAUUAUGGCUUUCACAGAGAUUAAAGUUUUGAGGUAUGCCCUAGGUGUGCAUUCACAUUUUCUCGUUCAUUGAGUUCUAACUUCAGUAAAAUUAGUUUUUUUAGAUAGAGCUCUGAACACUUGCUGUGACUGUCACUUCAUGUUGAAUUUAUCAUAUAGAAUUUAAGGCGGAAGACUCAGGAGCAAUCUGUCACAAGCGAUUGUAUUCCUAAUCUUUGAGGGGUGGGCUGGGGGCUGGGCAGGAGAUAAGCGCUUUGGAGCCUGGAUGUUUGCUGGGCUCUGGUGGAUGUGGCUACGGGAUUUGCUGGGGCUGCAUGUGAUGUGUUUCCUUCAAGCCUGCCUCAGUGUCUCUGCUGUUCUUCAUGCAUAUAAAUCCUAAAGAGGUUUUCUAGGCUCAAGGAAAAUUCAGCUUGUCUUUCCCAGGGAAUUCAAUAAUCAACAAAGCUGUGGGCUAGACGUGGGCUGUUCUAACUUAGGUAGAUCCCCUUGUACCUUAGAGUGAAGAAGUAGACGCACUCCUGCUGGCAACAAAACACACACUUUCCAGGGAAAUGGGCAUCGGGAUUUUAUGCUAACUUGGCAAAAAGCUGCACUGAAAAGCAAUUCAAAGUCAAGGUUAGUGUUGCAACCUCCUCGUCCAGUGCAUUUGCAGGGAGAGCAGUCAAAAUACAGAUCAUUCUCUGAACGCUGCACUUCUGUUGGGGUGGGGGUUGAAAUUAGAGUGAAGUAGAAUAGUUGGUUGCUACUGGAGCCCAUUGCAUGUGUACCUUUUGCUCUGGAAAUUAAGUAUUUUCCCAGGACUACUACUCAGUGAAGUGUUUUUUUUUUUCUUCUUUUUCUCUCUCUCUCUGAUGUGCCAGGCAGGCGUUUCUUCACCACCUCUGGAUUUUGGAAAUCAAGUGCUCAUAAUAACUUGCAGAUCUCUAUCUGGGUAUCAAAACCAGAGGUUUCUGAACUUUGCCCGUCAGACUCCCACAUUUACAUUUCCUUUUUAUGUCACAUGGUCAAUGCACUUACUUGACACAUGGAAAAUUUCCUUUGCAUGCCUUAUUCCAAGAAGUGCUGGGAGUUUGGGUUUAUGGAAUGUGCCGGCAGCCCCAAGCGCUCUUGGCAUCAUCACUGCUGGCUUGGUGCAUGGCCCAGGAUGAUGCAAGUUACGCGUGGCACAGAACUCCCACAGUAACUGCUGUGGCAGUGUUUGGAGUGUGCUUAGGCCCAGGAUCCACUCCUGAAGGGUGAAGUGGGAGUGGGGCAGGCAGAGGUUACUGUUGUUUGUAAAGACUCGGGCCAUUAACUUCUGCAGGAAACCUGCUCUCAUUCCCACCCUGCACAUGGAUAGAGCCCUUGCUCUGGGCCACAUAGGAUACUGGGCUUGUUCCAUUUGCAGCACACACACAUUGCACUGAAAGCUCAAGUCUCUCCUCCAACUAGACCAUGGAGGCCCUGUUGCAAGGACUCAGCUCCCGGCACAGCAUCUGGGUCACAGAGGUAUGCAGUGUGACUGCCACUGUAGACCCUGCGACCGUAGCUCCUAAUUCUUGCACAAUCCUCAUUGAUUCUGACUGCUGUAGUACAUGAUUCCUUUAACCCCAUUUCACAGGUGAGAAAAGUAAGACUGAGCCACGUUGAGUGAAGUUCACUGGCAACAUUAGGAAGCUGGAUUAUUGCCAAGAAGAAAUGGCACUGCAGGCUCUCUGCUGGAUUGCUGAUAGUGUGAGCGCACUCCGCUCUGUGUCAUGUGGAGGAGGAUAGCAUUUCCAUCCUCAGGAUACAGUUGGGCGGCAGCUGUGGCAGAGCUGGUCACCGCUAGAAGAAUCUAGGCCUGCUGUGGUCUGCCUUCCAGGGGCACUCAAAGUGCACUGCGUUUACAGUUUUGGUGAUGCCGGUUUUGACCCAUACAGGAUUUUAUACUUAAUAUUUUGCAAUAAAUUCAUGGCUUUGUCAAUACUUCUAGCUGGCUUCGCUGCAUCCUAGGUGUGUGAUCAUGGACAAGCUAUUUUGGUUUCCUCUUCUGUGUCCCUAGGAGUCCAGGGUUGUCUCGUAAGGUCUUGGAAUGGGGCUUGGCACAUUCUGAGCAGUCCACAGAUGUGCGAUGCUGACUUGCAGCUGGACUGUCCCUGUCUCCUCUGCUUGCUGCUGUCCCAGCCGGCCUGAGCUUUCCUGCUCCUGUGCUCUUCUUGGGUGCUGGGAGCGUUGGAUAGAACUUUGCUGAGUCUGGGCCAAGAUUCUGGAGGUCCACUCUCGUCCGAUAGCCACCACCACCCUCUUGGAGUCCCUGCCACUUCCCAGAGGCUGUCACGGAUUAUAACGCCAGGCCCUGCUACUGGCUUGGAGCUCUGGCCUUCACCCUCAUCCCACCUUCCAAACCUCCUUCUCUCUCCCUACUCUCAAAAGCCCCGAACUUCUCUCCUCUUCCUCCCUGUUGGCAUUAUCUCCUCCCAGAGUGUGGGCUUUGAGGAAACAAAAGCCAGGUGUCUUGGCUUUGGCCUCUUAAAACAAACCUCCCCUGAGGCAGGGGCAUAGAAAGGCCUGGCUUCCUUUGUAGAGCUGAGAGCCGGCAAACACUGAGAUAAAAACACAAAUUAAUAUAUCAGUAAAUUAUCCUCCACUUUGACAGGCUCUGUAAUCAGGAAGACAGUGAAAACAUGGGGAGUUUGCCAGCGAGGAAUCUACAGGAGGCGGGAGGAGCCACGGAGACAGCAGCUGAAGGAGGGGCAGGUCUUCGGAGGCUUCAAAGUCUGAACUUUUCCCCCAGAGAUUUCCCUGGGUGGGUGGGGAGCAGCAGCUUGCACUGCACGGGAAUUAUGGGAGGAGUGGGACCACCAGAAGAGAUGGGGAUUGGAGGAGCACAAGCAGGCCAAGGAGGCAGGGGCAGAGAGGCAGGGCAAGCACAAAGGCAGACGCUUCCUGACUCUCCUGCUGUCAUUGUAGCCGCCUUCUGAUAGUGGCCAUGCCUCUGUCAUCUCCGUGUUGAAGAACGGAAGACUGAGGACAUGAAGGUUAAUGGACUUUUGCGAUAUCCUACACCUCCUAAACGACAGAGCCAGGUUUUCUACCAGAUUGUUGGAGACUGGAGACGCACGUGUAAACACUUUGCUAGCAGUCUCACAGCUACUGAGCCUGUUUUCUGAUCACAAUGGGAAUGGGGUGGGUGCUCAUUGGAACCAGGAAAAAUUAAGAACAGGGAAGAGCAGGGAGUGCUCCUCCCAGGUCUUCAAUAUGAACAAAGAUCAAGUGAAAGACAGACACUAUCGCACCUCAGAAGUGAUGAACAACCUGCACAAACAUGGCCUCAUUGCCUGCCCUCAACCUCAGGCCAAGUCAAGAACACAAAGGUUCAGAGAAACUGAGCAACUGAGACAAGUGAAUUAGAGACAGGAUUGAAGGCUGAGCACAGCUCUGCUGGGUUGAAGCCAGAGGCUGAGAAGGUGGAGGACAUCCUCUGUCAAGAGCCCUGUAGCUCCAGACACUGGGGGUGCCCAGGGAAGGGAAAUGUAGCAACAUUCCUUACCCCGUGCAGACUGCUGGGCUCUGUCAGGGUAUGUGGGUGCUGCAGGUCAAGUGGCUGGCACAGUACGGAUGAGAAGAGAAGAGAGAUUCUCAGGCGGCUCCUGGCAUAAAUGUGAGAUGUGGUAGGGGAAGAGUGAUUGGGAUUCAAGAUCUGAAGCCAAUGUGCUGGAGGAGAAUGAACAAGAGCAGCAAAAACUGCAGAGCUGUGAGAGGAAGAGGAAGUGCAGGAAGGACUUCCAGGUGGAGCCCAGGCAAAGGACACUUGGCACACAGGGUGGGGAGGAAAGAGACGGCGGAAGGAAGCAGGAAGUGAAAACUGGCGGAAGUGGGAGAGAAAGUGAGCAUGUGGGUGAUUUGGAAGUCAUCCGUAUCAGCUAGAAAUGUUGCCUGGAAUUUGCACAAAACAAGGGAAGAUAAAGUUUGAGGCAUGGGAGGAAACACCUGUCCAAAGAAAACUGGGGGAGAAGAUGGAGGCUGACUGAUGGACAUCAUUACAGCAAAGAAAGGAAACAGUGUGCAGGUGUUUUAGCCAACUCAGAAGACAAGCACAAUGGAAAAAGGAAAAACAAAAAAUCAAUGCUUAGAACUUGCUAGGACCAUAAUUUUUUACUUAUAUUUUAUUAAAAUAAAGAGAACAGAUUUAAGGUAGUUCCUGGAGAGCCCUCUAAUAAUGUAAUGAUCUUUUGUUCUCUCAAUUUUUCUGAUAACUUGUUUUUAAUUUACUUUAUAGCCAAAGGCUUAAUGCUCCACUAAAUGAAGUGUUCAGCAAGUAAAAAGUAGAAAGACCACUGUAGGACCACAACUGAAAUGUUCAAGGACAACCUGCUGGGCCAAUGUUUCAUAAACUUACCUGCUAAUAGAUCCUCCUCUUAUUUUAAGGAACAUUUUUAAUAUUCUGUGAAGCUAUAACUCUAGGAUGAUAGUUCAUAAAAUACAGAUUUGGUAGCAUGAACAUGAGUGAGCUUUCUUUGCUUCUACAUUCCAUCUUCCCAAACUCUCUUAGAUUUUGAGCUCUGAACGGUGGCUACUAAUUCUCAGGCUCUUGCUGUUUCCACCAUGACCAUGUACACACAGCCUCUUUCAGGGUGUGUUGUGGAAAUCCAGGCUUGUCACCAUUUUGCCAAAGUACGAGUUGUAGGACUAUGAGUUUUGACUGUGGAGAUUCUCUCAUCAACAAACAAGCUUGACACUAAUACUUCUGCAGCUGUCUUUUUAAAAUAGAUUUAUGUAUUUAUUGAAAGAGUGAUAACGAGAGAGAGACAGACAGACAGACAGAGAUUUUCCCUCUGCUGGUUCACUCCUCAAAUGGCCACAACAGGCAGGUCUGGACCAGGUGGAAGCCAGGAGCCAGUAACUCCAUCUGGCUCUCCCAUGUGAAUGGCAGGGGUGCCAGCACUUGGACCAACAUGUGCUGCCUUACCAGGCACGUUAAUAAGAAGCUGUGGCAGAAGUGGAGCAGCCAGGACUCUAAUUGGCACUCUGAUCUGGGAUGCUGGGUCUCAAACAGUGGCUCCAAGUGCUGUCACACAAAGCUGGCCCCUUUUGGCUGCUGCUUUGACUGCUCUUGGGAUUUUUCUUGCUUACUCCCUUGGCUUGGAGUUUCCAUCAGAAAUUGGAACUUUUCAGGUAAUUGACCUACAAAUAGUUGAAGCAUGCUUGUGUUAUUUCUAAUAAUAAUAUUGGCAUUGCAUGAAGGCAACCGAGUCAGCCUGCAGAUUAUAUACUGCAGAGGUAAGGAAACAGUUAAUCCAGAGAUUAUGCUAAGUGUUUUGAGGACUUUUUCCAUUUUCUUUUAUCACGUACACACACUCAUCUGAUGUUUGUGACAGUGGCAAGCACAUUGUUUGCGAAAUGAUAGUGAACCCGAAUAAGAGAAAUAUAUGACAAUCUACUGGUAAGAUUGCAAAGGCCAGGAAUCCACUUGUGAUCAACUCACAUUCUUUUUUCUAGACUUUCAUGAGCAAGAUUGUAAACUCACUAAUGGAAUCUCUAUGGCUUUCCACAGAGGGCUAAGCGGCUCAUUGGGGAUAUUUCUGCGCUUUUCAUUUUAUGCAAUAUUUUAUUGUAAAAUGAACAAAAAAAAAUAAAAGAUGGACUCCUCCGUGGAGUCACACAAUACAUUCCUAGCACUAGUCCUGACAGAGCAAGAAGUGGCUUUGUGGGAGUGAGGGUGGCAGGAACUGCAGCACUGUGGUACAGCGAGUUAGGCUGCUGGCCUGCAGCCCCAGCAUCCCAUACAUGUGCCAGUUCGAGUCCCAGUUGCUCCACUUCCAAUUCAUCUCCCUGCUAAUGCCUAGGAAAGCAUCAGAAGAUGGCCCAAGUCCCUGGGCCACUGCAACCCACAUGGGAGACCCUAAAGAAGCUCUCGGUUCCUGGCUUCAACCUGGCCCAGCCCUGGUUGUUGCAGUCAUUUGGGGAGUGAAUCAAUGGAUAGAAGAUUCUCUCUGUCUGUCUCUCUUCUCUCUCUGUAACUCUGCCUUUCACAUAAAUAACUUUUUUAAAAGGAGGCUCUUUGGGUCAGUGUAAGGUAGGAUACUGCAGGGUCCAAUAAUGUGCACUAAGGCAAGAUAAAGCUCCCAUGAUAAUGGCCAAGGGAAGGGAAAUGAUGAUGUCACUGUGUGCCGCGUUUGGAGGAGUUGAUUUCAUAAUGGGCAUUACAUUGAUUCCCCUCUUUCCCAUCUUAUUAUGAAUAUCUUAUUCUGAUUUUUAAAUUUUAUUUUUUUGAAUUUUGAACAUAAGAACUAAAAGAAUUAGACAAUGAAUGUGCAUGUACCCAUUGCUCACUUUCAUCAAACAACAUUUUAUAUCCCCUGCUUAUCACAUUUUUGACCAUUGACCCAUCUUUCUAUCCAGUCAUCUGGCCAUUGAUUUUCUGAUGCAUUUCAAAAUAUGUUGCACAUACUGCUGCACUGCACCCGUACACACUUUGGCAUGCAGAUCAUUAACCAGAGUUCAGUAUUUAUUUACAUGUUUUCUUGCACCAGCUAUCAUGUAAUGUACAAACAGUAUGUGAACAUUUUGCUGAAUUCUUGGCAAUCGUGUCCAACUAUGUGACCCAAACAACUGUCAAGGCCAAGAAUGUUCCCAUUGUCUGAGAGCAUUCCCUCAUGCCCAUCCCAAACAAGUCAUGUCCCAUUUUCUCAAAGUCAAUCAUACUUUUUAUAUUUUUUAACCAUGGAGUCCUCUUAUCUGUUUUAGAAUUUCAUAUCCAUCAAGAACAUGGUAAGAAUAAGUUGGGUAAGGCUUUUUCACUUGGUGUCAUAUUGUGGUGAUUUGCUGGGUUGUUGUGUGUCUCUUUUGUAGUUUGUCCCUUUUUACUGCUGAGUAGUACCCCACUUCAUGAAAACACUGAGAACUAUUUUAUGAGAGAGAAUGUGUGGUGCUAAAGGCAUGCCAGAGAAGAGCUUUUAGGAAGGAAGAAGAGAUGGACUUGAGAUAUUUGACCAUAAACAAAGAGUACAUUUAGGAAAGGACAUGAGAACAAUUUUCGUGCAAGGGUCAGCAAGUAUUUCCUGCAAUUCACAGUUAAGAAGUAUCUUAAGGUUUGUUGAGCCAUGUAGUCUUUAUUGCAAUUAUUUAAUUCUGACCUUGUAGUAAAAGGAAAGCAGCCAUAGACAAUAUGUAAAUGAAGUGUGAUUAUGUUCCAAUAAAACAUCCUUUUAUGUACACUGAGAUUUACAUCUCCUAUGAUCUUCAUGUGUCAAGAGUAUUAUUCUUCUUUUGAUUUUCCCCCAACUGUUUAAAAAUUUAAAAUUAAUUCCUAGCCCAUAGCCUCUAUAAAAAAACUGAUGAUGGCAGGAUUUGGCCCACAAUGCAUCAUUUUCCAGGCUCUGAUAUGAAGGACUGCUAAACAGGGAUAUUUAUUUUUCUGUGUAGGGCUAGUGUGCACCAUGAAGACUUAAUAGGCAGGUUUUGCUCAGAAAACUGAUAUUCCUAUUAACUGGAGUUGAAAUGGACUCCAACUCUUCGCCCUGUCUCUCUCCCCUGCCUCUGUUGGUAGCCUAGAGUUAAGGGGGGUUGGCAUUUGGGUCAGUGUUGUGGGAUAGUGCAGCCUGCAACACCAGAAUCUCACAUGGGCACUGGUUUAAGUCUUGGCUGCUCCACUUCUGAUGCAGCUCCUUACUAAUACCCUGGGAAAGCAGCGGAAGAUGGCCCAAGUGCUUGGGCCCCUGCACCCAUGUGGGAGACCCAGAUGAAGCUCCUGACUUCGGCCUGGCUCAGCCCUGGCAAUUGCAGCCAUCUGGGGAGUGCACCGGUAGAUGGAAGGUCUCUCUCUGCUUCUUUUUCUCUAUAUAUAACUCUGGCUUUCAAAAAAAAAUAAAUCUCAAAGAAAAAUGUAAAAAUCACAGGGUGUGGCAUUGUGGUGCAGGUAUUGGGCUACUGCUUGAGUGCAGAAUUCCAGGUGGGAGUGCCAGUUGGCACCUACGCUUCCUGCUAAUGUACCUGGAAAGGCGGCAGAUGAUGGCCAAGGUGCUUGGACCUGUCACCCACAUGGGAGAUCCAGAUGGAGUUACUGGCUCUCAGAUUUGGCCUGUUGCCCCUACUGUUGCAUGCAGCAGUUUGGAGAGUAAACUAGUAGAUAGAGGAUCUCUCUCUCUCUGUCUCUCUCUCUCUCUCUCUCCCUUUCUCUUUAACCCACCCUGCCUUUCAAAUAAAUAAAUAAAUCUUUAAAAGGGAGAGAGGGGAGGGAAGCUCCAGGGCUGGUCUGUUUACUUCAGUCCCCCAGCUCUUCCAUGUUUAGCCGUGUGACUCCAAGAAAGUGAUUCAACACCUUUCUGUCUCCUUUUAUUCAUCUAUAAAAUACGAGUGAUAAUAGACUCUACCUCCUAAAGGCAUUUCCAAGGUUGAAUAGUAGUGUAUAGAAAGUUUUCAGAAUGAUGCUGGCUCACAGCUGGUGCUCAGGAUACACAGCACAGUGCCUGGCACAUGAUAGAUGCAAAAUAAGUGUUUAUUAUCAUCAUUGUCACUCAUUUUUGUUGUUCUGGGGACCCCCUGGAGGCUGCCUGGGUCUGUGUGGGAACUUUGUGAAAGACAUUGCUGCUUUUCCUGGGAGGCUGGACUCAUAGUCGCUUAGAUGCUGUCUUGUUCUAAACAUCAUUGUUUUCUUGAAUUUAAUGCCCUGUACGUCAACCCUGACACUGUUGUUGAAACCUGAGAAGAAAUAGCAGGAUAGUCUAGUUGUUAAUGUUAGCAUAGCUUACAUUGUAAGGCAAAGAGUAUUUUUUUUUAUCUUUUAUUUAAUGAAUAUAAAUUUCCAAAGUACGACUCAUGGGUUACAAUGGCUUCCCCCCCCAUACCGUCCCUCCCACCCACAACCCUCCCCUUUCCCACUUCCUCUCCCCUUCCAUUCACAUCAAGAUUCAUUUUCGAUUAUCUUAAUAUACAGAAGAUCAGCUUAGUAUACCUUAAGUAAGGAUUUCAACAGUUUGCUCCCACACAGAAACAUAAAGUGAAAAAUAAUAAAUGAUUUUUUUUAAAUGAUGAUGAAAUCAGAUCAGACCUAUUGUCAUGUUUAAUCCCAGUGAGAGUCAAGUUGGGAAUUGAUAAUUUCUUUUUUUUUUUUUUUUUUUUUUACAGAAGAUCAGUUUAGUGUACAUUAAGUAAAGAUUUCAAUCGUUUGCACCCCCAUAGAAACACAAAGUGAAAUAUACUGUUUGAGUACUCGUUAUAGCAUUAAGCCUCAGUGUACAGCACAUUAAGGACAGAGAUCCUACAUGAGGAGUAAGUGCACAGUGACUCCUGUUGUUGACUUUACAAAUUGACACUCCUGUUUAUGGCAUCAGUAAUCUCCCUAUGCACCAGUCAUGAGUUUCCAAGGCUAUGGAAGCCCCUUGAGUUCUCCGACUCCGACUAGACACGGUCAUAGUCAAAGUGGAGGUUCUCUCCUCCCUUCAGAGAAAGGCACCUCCCUCUUUGAAGACCUGUUCUUUCCACUGGGAUCUCACUCACAGAGAUCUUUUUGCCAGAGUGUCUUGGCUUUCCAUGCCUGAAAUACUCUCAUGGGCUUUUCAGCCAGAUCCGAGUGCCUUUAGGGCUGAUUCUGAGGCCAGAGUGCUAUUUAGGACAUCCGCCAUUCUAUGAGUCUGCUGAGUAUCUCACUUCCCAUGUUGGAUCACUCUCCCCUUUAUUUAUUCUAUCAGUUAGUAUUAGCAGAUACUAGACUUGUUUAUGUGCUCCCUUUGACUGCAAAGAGUAUUUUGUUUCCACUUGAUUUCUCCUGACCUUGGAUCUUAGACUCAUCUCUCAGAGUAUUUUAUUAACAAUGAGGCCUCUGUGAUGUUCACCGGUUGCCAUAUCACUUCAACUCUUUCUUUCUUUCUUUUUUGACAGGCAGAGAUAGGCAGUGAGAGAGAGAGAGACAGAGAGAAAGGUCUUCCUUCCGUUGGUUCACCCCCCAAAUGGCCGCUACGGCCAGCACGCUGUGCCAUUCUGAAACCAGGAGCCAGGUGCUUCCUCCUGGUCUCCCAUGCGGGUGCAGGGCCCAAGCACUUGGGUCAUCCUCCACUGCCCUCCGGGGUCACAGCAGAGAGAUGGACUGGAAGAGGAGCAACUGGGACUAGAACCCGAGGUGCCGGCGCUGUAGGCGGAGGAUCAGCCUAGUGAGCCGUGGUGCUGGCCUCAACUCUUUCUCCAUAGGAGAAAGUGAGGAGUAGGAAGCUUGCUUGGGAAAGCAAAAACAUGUCACUCCAAAGUACCCAGCAAGGAUGUGAUUCCUCCUAGGGGCUCUGUUCACCUGUUAGGCAGUGUUGAAUAGUUGUUUAGCUGAGGGACUAUUAUCCUGUUGUGCCCAGGUGUUGUGGGGUUUCAGGCAUCAUGAUUGCUGCUGCCUGCUGAGAAAAGAGGCAGCAGGUUGAGUUGACUACAGCCGACCUCCCCGGGGACCUCCUCACCCCUGGUUCUGACACUUACACUACAAUGUAGACUGUGUUUACUUUGUCUCUGACAUUUGUUUUCCCAGGCCUGUUUAUCUUGACUGGUGUUUUUAAUUGCUCCUCUUACUUUUUCUCUGUUAGCUGGCAGUGAGGAUGGCCCCUAGCAGUGGUUAAGUACAAUAUGAAGGCACAAAAGAGUACUGGAAGGGAACUCCACAAUUAUUUCUGGCAACACCUUCAUUUUCCAGAUGAGGGAAUCAAGGCUCAGAUAAGAUAGCACCUUGUGCUUUCAGUGUGUGCUUUUUUUUUUUUUUUUUAAUUACACCACAUCAGUCUUGUCUGCCAGUGGGUCUGACGUGAGGGUGUGUUGUGGAUGGUGGGGGGGAUGGGCAGGGGGAGGGGGAGAGUAAAUGGACAAGAGGUCUCUCUUCAUGCCUAAAACGCAGUUCUGGUAUGAUUUCCAAUUAGACUUGCACAAUCACUGAGCAGUACUCUCCAUCCCGUUGGACAUGCUCAGCUAAAUAUUGACAAACACCAAAUUUUAAACCUAAUCCAUUUUGGAAACUCUUUGGGGGAUGCUGUAUUUAAUCUGUCAGAAUCUGAAGAGGUGGCGUGGAACUCAUCUGAAGAGAAAGUGGAACUGCAGGAUAUUUGGAGAUUAGGAUGUCCCUCUGAACAGGUGUCCCAGGAAGCAGAGCCGGCAGGAGCUGGAGCAACAUGGUGGCAGCCUUGACUGACUUGAGAAGAUAAGUUGAAAAAAAGUCAGCAUGGGAGUAAAGGAAGAAUGACAGUGGGGAAGAAACGCCAGCCAGUGGGAGAGAGGGAAGGUGACGGAGCCCAGGGGCCCUCAGGCAGGUGGGCAGGUAAUGCAAAGCUCUCCUGCCAGGGUGAGGAGCAUUUGACAAAAACAGAAGUGGGGGCAUCCCUAUUCCCCCUGCUCCUCCAUGUCACUUAAUAAAGCCUCUCCAGUCGUCUCCUGUGUUUUUUGACCCACAGAGGAUCUGAAUGGACUCCUUCUGUUUUCCAGCUUGACCCCAGGAUGGUUUACAGCCCAGGAAGUUCCAAGGUUGCAUGUAAAAACUGCCCUGGGAGUUAUUAAUUUUCAAAGUAGAGUUGAUGGCCUCCUAACUGACUUUUUGAACUUUUUAGAUUUAGGAACUAUUGCUUUGAGUGCAAAUAUAUGCUUUCCUUGUAAAAAAAAAAAAGCCAUAACCCAAAAAAAAAAAAAAAAAGAAAGCCAAAGAUGCUUUUUUAGAAUAUAAUGUAAAUUUAAUUCCAUGAUUGACCCAAAUUCUUUUUUUUUUUUUAAUUUUUUAGCUGUAAAAUUGGAAACCCUCCUUAUCCUUUCUUGUAAGAUACAGAUGCUUCAGGCAUUUAAAGAAUACCUAUAGGGAUGCCUCACUCAUUUAUUAAAAAAAUUUACAGGAUAAUAAAGAAUUCUGCUGGGCAAACAAGUGGAAGGUGUAAAACUUGUUUAUCACAGAGGAGGCUCCGAGAUCACACAUGUCCAUUAGAGGUAUUCAGUGCAGGGUCACGGAAGGGUCUUCAAGAGACAGCCAAUUUGCUGUCUGUUUUUCCUUUCAAAGUCCUGUCUGAUUCCUUCACCCUCUUCAAAACACCCUAAGUAGACAUAUAUAUCAUGAGGUCAAAGCAAGGGGAGAAAAAAAAAGAAAGAAAAAGAAAAGCAAAGUAAAAAAGAAAGACCAAAAAGACAGCCGUGGAACAAUGAGAGCUUUCUUUUAUUCUCCAAUAGUCAUGUGCCAGGUCCCUGAUAAGAAGAUGUGCUGCAAAGCAGAUUAGUAUUUAGAUUUGUCAAGAUUUAGGCCAGAACAUACUGAAUAAAAGAGUUCACUCUCCACAGGGGAAGAAAGAAGGCUUCAAAGUUGGAGCAAAAGUGUUUGUUUAGAGUGGGGACGACCAAGUCUUGCUGGUAUUUACGGCGAAACAACCACCAGCCAGCCUAUCUUCUCGGAAAGGAAUGCAUGGUUAAAUUGGCUCAGCUUGUCCUUAGCAACCUGAACUCGCAGGCCACAUUUUUUCCUCUCUAAGAAGCAAGUGGGAACUUGAAAAGUAUGUAGCAUGUCGUGAAAAGGGAGCAGUGAACUUUGCCCAGGUCUGCAGCCAGCACUGAAAUCUGAACCUUCCUAAGUCCCGGGCCUGGUGUUCCCCCUCCUUCCUUUUUAAUCGCCCUACUUUUGGGGCCUUAGCAAAGUGUCUUUGCAGGCAGGCAGGCAGGCAGGCAGGCAGGCAGGUACAGCCGGGGACUCCUUGGAAAAGGUCUGCCCUCUAAGGUUUCUAGGGUCGUGAAAGAGGAAGUGCUAGUCGGAACUGUAGGUGAUGGUCAUUGUAUUCAACCUCGUUUCAUGAGUCUGGUGGUCCUGUAGGAUGAACCUUUUGCAACAUUCAUUUUGAAACAAACUUUUGAACUUUUUGAGGUUCCCAUGUGGAGGUUAUUACUGAUUAGAAAGAUUGCGCCGAUGCUAUUGGGGAAAAUUCACCACGUGCCCUGGGUUGAAGCUGCUUGCAGUAGGAAUCUUGUCACAAGGGCAAGUUCCUUGGUAACUUGAGCUGUGCUCGUUCCUGAAAUUCUUUCACAUAAUUGAAGAUUAAUUUGAUUGCCCAGAUUGUUGAGGGUGGUUGGCAGUGUGUGUGUGUGGGGGGGCUCUCGGUGGGUGGAAAUAGAUUAUUCAAAUCUCAAAGAAGUAGGUGCGUCCUAAAUGGCGGCAAACAUUUCUGUAUAUGUCACACUUGGGGCUGCGGGAUCCUGUGGGGAGGACAAGGUGUUGAGAAAGCGGGUGCCCCUCAGGGAAGGGGACGUACUUUGUAGAGAGUUGUGGGUAGAAUGGCUACUCCAGAAUCCAUUAACGCCUGCACAAGCCAGCUCAAGGGUUCUGACUUUCUUAAGUGUCUAAUGUAAACAAUAUGAAAGUCAAUAGUGGGGGACAUUCCAAGAUAGUAUUAACACGAUUGAUUUAUUGAAGGUUGCACAAUGGGAGGUUAUCUUUUGUUAAUUACUCAGUAAAUAAGCUAGCAGGAGUCAGUGCAUGGGGGACAAGCAACCAGAGGAGGAAAAGGUGAGGCGCCCAGAUUGUAAUUCCUCACACUUCCAGCUUGUCUUGGGAAAUUCCAGACCACUUUUGCCAACCUGAUACAUUUAGCAGUGUUAAUCCCCGGGACUGGACAUACGUCCUCCAUGAGAAAUUCAAAGGUUCUGAAUUUCUGUCAAAUACUGCAGUGUGCAUUUUUAGAAAUUACUUAUUGAUGCAUUUGAAAAGCAAAGAAAAAGAGCUCCCAUCCUCUGGUUCAAAACUCAAAUGCUUGAGGGCACCAGGGUUGGGUCGGGUUGGAACCAGGUGGCCUAGGAGAGUGGCAAGAGCCCAACUAAUCUGAUCCAUCAUUUGCUGCCCCCCAAGGUCUGCGUUAGCGGGCAGCUGGAAUUGUGGGUAGAGUUGGGUAUCUAAACAAGGUACUCUGAUAAUAAAAUGCAGUCAUCCUAAUAGCUAAGCCAAGCCCUGCUCCAUGAACACACACACACACACACACACACUCUUGAAGUUUUUACUUCAGGAAGAAGUAAAACCUAGCAAUACUACAGGUGUGCGGAGAAGAGAGUGAGAGCAAGAGAGCACUGUCAUCUUGGCCCCAAAUAUAGAAAUCGUGGGGAAGAUACAUGAUCAGCUCAUAUGACAUUGUAACCUCUGAGUAGUAAGUGACUGAAGUAUGAGGAAAGCAUACUGGUUGCUAUUGACAAUUAUUUACAUCACAUUUCAAUGUAGAGGCUACCAUAAUGUGAUAGUUCCUCUUGGAAAAGAAGAGGGAGAGAGAAAAAAGAAAACUUUAUAAAUUCUGGCUGAUUCCUAGCAAUACAGCAUCUAGAUGAAUUAUUUUCCAGACUUUCAAACUUCCAAGGGAGAGUUUAAUAGGUAAAAUUUCUCACUAUUCAUCCCUUUCUGUCUUCUAGAACAUCCAAGAAACAUCAACUCUCCUUUCAAGCCGGUUUCUCUGCUGCCUCCCUAAGGCUUUUGUUUGAUAGUGGACACUCUGUCAGCUCCCCUGAGUCUCUUCUGACUUCUGGCUGCUGCUCUGUAGGGGAAUGUAGAGGUGCAUGACCUGCACAGCAACACUUGCACCAACCCUGCCUCUGUCUCCAUCUGCUGCCCUCCAAGUCUCCCUUCCUGACCCAGCUGUUUCUGUCCAUAAGCACCACCACCUCCUCCUCCCAUUGUCUUUUGGCCCUCAGACUUGUGGUCCACUUUACUUCUCCACUUCCAUCUUUUGUACAUCCAGUAAGCCCUAUAGAAUCCACUUCUUUUACAUACAGUUUUUAAACUGGGGACUUUGCCUCCCAGCUAGGAUAAAGUGGCCCAGGCGUUGACGCAUAGUAAGUAUUCAAUUAACAUCUGUGGAAGGAAGGGAUGGGUAGCUUUUUCUGCAGCCAGGGUCUCUGCUCCAAAAAGAAUCCUACGUAUCUCUGCCUACUCCUGCAUUAUUCUUCAUGGUAAUCGUAUCUGAUCACAUUCUUUCAGGGCUCAGAAACUUUCAGUAUCUAGUUUUUACAAGACAAUCACAAUCAACUUUUUCUUUGUUUUCUCUUCCACCAAACUCCUAAACGCCCUAUGCUCAGUACAGAGCAUUGCUCUCUUCCUUCUAAACUCUUUAUAUCCCUCCACCUUCCUAUUUCAGCUCAUCUUCAUGUCUUCAAUCACUAUGUUUCUUCAACCAGCCUUUAAAAAUGUUAUUUGUUUUCAUUUUAAUUGGAGGAGAGAAAGAAAGAGAGAGAGGCUCACUCCCCAAAUGUCUGCAACAACCAAGGCUGGGCCAGGUGAAGCCAGGAGCCUGGAACUCCAACCAGAUCUGCUACACUGAUAGAGCCAUCACAUGCUGCCUCCUGGGGUAUGCAUUAGCAAGAAGCUAGACUGAAAGCAGAGGCAGAACUUUAACCAGGGAGUUCAGUAGGGGACAUGGGUGUUCCAGGCUGGCAUCUUAACUAGUGCAUCAAAUGCCCACUCCCUAUCAGCUUUUUAAGUUGAAUUUUUACUUUGUUUUUCAUGCCCAUCUCAGAUGCUAUCCUAUCUGUGGAGCUAUUGUUGGUUCUCUUUUUCUGCCAAGCUGGGUGUGUUCUCCCGAUAUAAAUCAAUUGUGUUCAAUCUGGAUUGCAGGUGUAUCUGUGCUUGAUUUGCUCUUUCCUAGUAGAAAGUAAAUGCUUGGGAGGCAAAGGCUAAAUCUUCGUCUGUCUUUAGACUCCCAGUGCCUCAUUCAUAGUAGGACACAGAAUACUAUGAUUGACUUACAGUGAAAUAGUAGAAGCAAUUAUUUAACUUAUGGAUAAACAAUAAUAUGAAAUUACUUUGAAAGGAUCAUGGAAAAUGAAAUGAAAAGAUAAGUUUAUGCCACAGUGUUGUGGCAUAGCAUGUAAAACCACUUGCCCCUAAUGUAGGCAUCCCAAAUGGGUGACGGUUCAAGUUUUAUUUGCUCCAUUUAUGAUUCAGCUCCCUGCUAAUGGCCUAGAAGGAAAAGUAGAAGAUGGCCCAAGAGCUUGUGCCCCUGCCACCCAAAUGGAGCCUCUGCCUCCUGGCUGUGUCCUGGCUCAGCCCUGGCUAUUGUGGCCAAUGGGGAGUGAAUCAGUGGAUGGAAGACCUCUGUCUCUUUCUCUCUCUCUUAUCUCUGUCUAUAACUCUGAUUUUCAAAUAAACAAAUCUUUAAAAUGUCAGGAUAAGCUUAUUUUGCAGCAAAAUUCUGAGAUCUAUGUACACAGUUAUUAAAAAUUCAUGAAAAUGCAGAAUAUGAAAAAGUUAUACAUGGAUUUAUUUUUGCAGCAAAAUAAAUAUAUAUUUUCAUUUCAUAUUCUUCCAUGAAUCUGUUGAAGUACUCUUGUACAGUAAUUGUUAAAUUAUUAUUUUUUACCAUUGCAAGAUUUUUCUUUUAUUUUUGAUUACAUGUUAUUGAUCAGCACUGUGUGUGUUUCUGCAUUUUCCAGUUCACUUAACUCCACUAUUCUUGAAAUACAUGUCUGUUAAUCAUUGUUUUAGACUUCUCUUCUGAAGAGGGGCUGAAGUAUGGGGGCAAAGCCCCUUCUGUGUGUGCUGCCGUGGCUUUCUGCUCUUUCUUUGCCCAUCAGUGUCUUGGAGUUAGUUCCAGUGCACACAGUGCUGCCUAGUCACUGUGGCCACUUUCUAGGAGCCUGUGAACAUUUGGGGAGAAAAGACACUGCUGUCUCCUUUACCCCAUAACAAUGAAGACAUCAGAUUAAUACAAUCUUUAAAUUCCUGUAGGAUGCUUGCAGGAGAGUUGUGUUUGCUUUAACACAAAGGAAUACUUUCUGAACUCUAAAGGUCACUCAAGAAAUAAUGGAGAGAGGCUUAUGAAUCAUGUAUGCUGAUAGUAGGGGAAUGGCAUGUGUCCUUCAUAUAGUGUUCUGACUUUGGAGCUAGCUGGCAUGGAAAGGGCCUGAGCUUUAGUCUGAGAGGCAUUUCCUGGGCAAGGAAUCCCCUGUAUGGAGGGGGCAGGCCAUCAGGAGAGUCUGAGCUGAAAUUCCAGUAUUCAUCAAAUGAGUGUAAUGUUCUCGCUAAUGGGAUUUAGCCACAAUACCUAUCCCUAACCUUGUCACCAAAAAAGGUAGUCUACAAGCCCCUUUUUUCAAUACGGUCUGCCUGGUGGCUGUGCAGAAGUCUGUUCUCCCAAUUUUCUAAGUGGUAAUCCUAGAAUUAUCUUGGCUCAGAAAUAAAUGAGGAACUCAUGUACAGGACUCAAAUUUCCCUACAGGGCUUGUAACUGAAACAAGGAUUAAGUGCCAGUACACAAAACCUCCCAAGCAAUGGACAACAUGUCAAUUGCUAAACAUCGUAUCAUAGAAGGCCCUCUGUUUUUCUCUUUUAUAAAGCUUGAGAUCAAGUUUUCGUAGGCAGUAAAAAGCAAGGCAAUUGAACUCCUUUAAAGGAUUGCUUGUUGGGAUGGAUAGAGCUAUAUUUAGCGCUGUGUUGUCUCUCCAGGAAGUUAAAACAACUAGGCAAUUAAAGGGUAAAUGGUGAGUGUGUGUGAGUAUAGAGGGUAUGCAGGAGGAGAAGAGGUUGGGGAGGUGAUAAUGCAGUCUUAGAAAACAGACUGUUCAAGAAAAAAAAAAGUUCCGCACAGUUGUAUGUUAUCCAGCAGAGAAAACAGCCUUUGAGUAAGCACCUGUUACGUAUCACAAAUGUUUAUUUUGAAUGGUGCAGAUUGAGAAGAGGACUGUGCAUUAGAUAAUCUCUCAUACUCAAGCCCACUGUAUAGUAAUAGUAGUAGUAAGAGUAAACUCUCUGCCAUUUAUUGAGGACCUACUAUAUCCCAAACACAGUGCUUUCCUUUUAUUCCAUCAUUCAGUGUUGACAGCUGCUCUGGGAAGUGGAUCACUGGAGUGAUUGCUCGAGACCAUGCAGCUGCUAUGUCGCUGUAGCAGAUGUGACUCUAGGUCUUUCUCUGACCCCAUUUUUAGUUGCUUCUAUAGUCUACCUCCUGUGUUGCUCCCUCCCCAUUGCACUGGUAUUUCAUGAUUGUAAAUUCAUGUAUGAGAGCCCUUUGACUUUUUCAGGAAGAGGCAUGAAACACACCUACAUACAUAAUAUACAUACACAUACAUUUGUAUAUAUAAAUCUACAUCUAAAUCUACAUUUUAAGUGGAUGGUAUCCUUAAAAAAACUAAUGAGGAACUCUCAUUUACAUUUUAAUUUAGAUCCAGGUUUUCUGGAACUACAACUCACGCAUUUUCUUUCUCUUUUUAAAUCCCCUCUCCCCUCUUUUAUCGAUUAUGAUUCCUGGAGACUGUGCUUUGCUCAUAUUCUAGAUAAUAGGUCAUAGGGGUGGGGCAGAAAUUGGCAAGAUAGAAACUCAUCAUGAAAAGACACAGGUAUAUAUGGCAUAGAUCCAGCUCUUGGUGGUCUUUCCUCUUCCAUUUUACACGGCAAUUUUAAAUCCUGUUCAGAUUGGCACAUUUUGUUUUAAGCUCUGGGUAAAAUCAGGUAGAUGACAGCCAGUGAUUCUGAAUGGAUGCUGUGUAUUUAUGAAAGGUUAAAUAAUUUGACCUGAACUAAGCAUAGGAGUCUUUUAAGGAUGGAGUUUAAAAUUCCAGUGCGUUGGCUGGCACUGCGGCUCACUUGGCUAAUCCUCUGCCUGCAGCGCCAGCACCCUGGGUUCUAGUCCCAGUUGAGGUGCUGGGUACUAGUCCCUAAUGCUCCUCUUCCAAUCCAGCUCUCUGCUGUGGCCCAAGUGCUUGGGUCCCUGAACCCACAUGGGAGACUGGGAGGAAGUUCUCGGCUUCUGGCUUCGGAUCGGCACAGCGCCGGCCGUAGUGGCCAUUAGGGUAGUGGCCAUCAGGGGAGUGUCUCUCUCUCUCACUGUCUAACUCUGCCUGGCAAAAAAAAAUUCAGUGCAUUUAGUGCAAAGUGUGCAUCUCUCCUCUUACUGAGAUGGGUGAGAAACUUGUACUACAUCUUUUGGAAGACUAUUGCUCACUCUACAAAAAGGUAUAUGAACCAGAAGUAAGUUACUGGAAUGACACAGUUUUAGUUUAAUGCCUUAUAUACAGAAGGGGCUCAAUUACUGGAAAAUGAAAUUUAGAAAUAAACAUUCAGAUGUGAAGGUGGCAUUAAAGUUUUCUCAGAGUAAAUGAUAGAUUGCUUUCAAUCUUAUUGCAUUUCUUUGGAUCUAGUUGGAUGAUAUUAUCUCUCAGGUUCUGUUGAGCCCUAAUAAUCUAUGAAUCAAUAACAGUCAGACUUCCUUUCAUUUUCUAGUCCAUCGGGAUAAGGAUAAAGUGGUCAAGGAUUCCAAAAUCAGCUGUUGAGCCCAGAUAUAGUUGUAGAUAUAAAAUGGAGUCUCCCCUCCUCCCACAUCAAAGAGUUUUUGGAGCCUCAAGUCUGAACCAGAUGAGGAGGAGAAAUUAACACUAAGCAUCUACAGCAAUGGUGAAUAUAAAAAUAUGGGCUCAUUGCAGAGACCUGGGAAUCAAUUCUCAGGGGAUGGUCCUGCUGCCAGGGAUUAUUUAAUUACAGGCGACUCCUGAUUGCCUGUGAAGGAACGAGAUGGAGUGAGAAAACUCAAACCAUGGAUAUUGCAAAAUCACAGAAAUUGUCUUGGGAAUUUUCUGUAAAGUUUCCCCUAGAAAUUUGCCUUCCUAAUUGUGUUUUGCUUAGCCCAAUAUUAAAAAUUAGCGGCUUUCCCUGGAGUAGCUUUGAAGCUGAACUACAGAGGGAAAUUGUUCAGAGACUUACCAACUGGAAUAUGGAAUAUGGAAUAUGGAAUAUAGAGAAUGAAUCAUUUUCUUGUGCUAAUGUAACAAAACAACCUCAAAGUUAUUUUAAUGUUACAAUAAAAUCAUACCUUGAGGAUUUACCAGUCUUCGUACAUUGCUUGUUAUGCUACAAACAUCUGAAGUGAUUUAGUCAAAGAGAUGAUUCUGUCUUAGGUGUGUAUGUUUUUACUCUGAGAAGUCCACUCCUUGGAAAGUGUACUAAAUAUGGUCUGUGUCUCUCAGACUCAAGUGCGGAUCCUUCAUAUCAAAGGGUGGAAGUUAUUUAUUGAAGGAAUCAAUGCUAUAACUUAGGCAGGGUCUCAUCUAGAGCGCAGUACAUCAAGCUAGAUUUUUUUAUAGAAAGCUUUAUUUAAUAAACAUAAAUUUCAUAAGUAUAACUUUUGGAUUAUAGUGGUUCUUCCCCCAAUACCUGCCCUCCCACCCCACUCUUGUCCCACCUCCUACUCCCUCUUCCAUCCCAUUCUUCAUUAAGAUUCAUUUUUAAUUAUCUUUAUAUACAGAAGGUCAACUCUAUACUAAGUAAAGAUUUCAACAGUUUGCAUCCACACAGGCACACAAAGUAUAAAAUACUGUUUGAAGACUAGUUUUACCAUUAAUUCUCAUAGUACAACACAUUGAGGACAGAGGUCCAACAUGGGGAACAAGUACACAAUGACUCCUGUUGUUGAUUUAACAAUUGACACUCUUAUUUAUGACAUCAGUGAUCACCUGAGGCUCUUGUCAUGAGCUGCGAAGGCCUUGGGAGCCUCUUAAGUGCACAAACUCCAACAUUAUUUAGACAAGGCCAUCAUCAAAGUGGAAGUUCUCUCCUCCCUUCAGAGAAAUGUACCUCUUUCUUUGAUAGCCCCUUCUUUCCACUGGGCUCUCACUCACAGAGAUCUUUCAUGUAGGUCAUUUUUUGCCACAGUGUCUUGGCUUUCCAUGCUUGAAAUGCUCUCAUGGGCUUUUUAGCCAGAUCCAAAUGCCUUAAGGGCUGAUUCUGAGGCCAGUGUGCUGUUUAGGGCAUUUGUCAUUCUAUGAGUCUGCUGUGUGGUCUGUCAAGCUAGAUCUGAAAUGACACAACUGGAUGUGGAUCUCAAUCCUGAAUCUACAAAGUAUUCCCACAGGGGUUCUUUUUAUAUUUUAUUUCACAAUAGGUUUAAACUUACAAAGCAAAAACUGUGAGGUAGUAAUAUAAAGAGUUCCCAUGUACCCCUCAACCCAGCUCCCCUAUUAACACCUCAUAGUAAUGUCUUUGUCAUGAUUCCUGACUGAGCUCCCCACCUCUUUCUGUCAUUCUCCUAAAUUUAAAUUAUUUCAUAUUCUAAUAGUGCUUCAAUAUAUAUAUAACCUGAAUGUAGGCAUGCAUUCCUUAAGAUUAUGGCUGCUACACAACUGCAAAUCCAACAGAAAUUUACAGAUUGAACUCAAACGAAACAGCAAUCUUCAACACUCAAAUUAACAGAAUGAAUUCAGUGUGAGAGAUGAUGGUUUGCUAACAUGAAAUCCCUACUCUGGGCGUUGGGAUUACACCAGCUGGUCUGCUGGAGCCGUUGUGAUCUUAGCCCUCUGUAUUUCCUUGUGACCCAUACAACAGUUUGCUUUACCUUCUGCAAGCUGCUGGCCUACAUAUCCUGCCAGGACAUCGCUGGACCUUCACGUGGCAUGAAUCCACCAUUUACUUACUAGAGAUCUCACAUACCCUGGCAUGAGUUACUUUCAAUAAAAAAAAGAGUGAAAGCAAAGUUGCUAGGCCCCUCACAAGAUGUUGGGAGGAAUCUAUGCACAGGAGAGUACUGGAGCUCAGGCUUGAUUGGCUUCACACCAAAUCCAUCUGUGUCCACGGAUGAAGCCCUUCUUUGUCCCUGUUGCCCAUAAAGAGGGAUGACCUGGUGACAAUGGCAUUUUUGAAAGUUUAUUUUUUGGAGAUCAACUUAAAGUUAUGUUAAUGUUUUUUUUAAAGCUUAGUCUAAAAAAAAAAACCAAAACAUUUCUAGGAUAACAUAGAGAUAGUUGAGAAAUACCUUUGCAUCAAACACUUUUCCCAGGAUAGAUUCCUAGGUGGAGAUACUGGGACAAAGCUAGACGUUUUGUCAUAUUUUGCUAAAUUGGAUUUAUGGAGAUCAGAAUUUGGGAUGGAAGCAGAGAGGCAGCAAUUUGCCAGAACAACGUUUCCCAACUGCCCAAGCUUUCUGUGCUGGAUCUUUGGACGUAGCCACUGUUGAGUGCACAGUCCCUGGAAUGUGUACUGGCCCAGCCCCUGGCCUAACGACAAGGUUAGGAGGAGAGGACCCUUGGGCACGGAGGGCCUUAGGGAAUCACAGGCCAGUGUUUCUCUGGGGGUCAGAGGAAAGCACAGAAUCCAGAGGUCAGGCUCUGCCUCAGGGACAAUGUCUCAGAGUCCAGUGGUUGUAAUCAGGUGUGCUCUGAGUCAGAGCUUGGAGGCAAGCUGCAGGCAGAGGACUACUGAAAGGUCAGACAGACAACGGAAACCAGAGGUCGGGAAGAAUUUGGAGUCAUGGUAUCAGUUGGCAGGGUGGGGCAGAUACUAACAUCACCAUCAAGCGAGUUGCAUUCUUUGGAACCCAAGGUUUUCCUGCUUUCCCUUCCUGGGAGGACUCGUGCAUGCAGGACUUGGCUCAUAGACCAUGGAUGAGGACAGGAAAUGGGUGUGACUCUUCCUUACCGGAGAGAUCCUGGAAUUAUUUUUAUCACAGUAGAAAGGGGAAUAAAGAAUGAUAGUCAAGAUCUGACCUCUCCUCCCAGGCUCUCUUCCUCCUAAGGGAGACGACGAGGAGAGAGCAUCUGUGGUACAUGCUUUCAGCGUGCACAGUCUGAGCUGAGCUUAGUUCUAAGAGCGUGUUUAUGGUGGAGCACUUUAAGGCUUCGCAUUAAAGAGCUCUACCCUUCCAUCUCCUUAUCUUACGACUGUGAAGUUCAAGUGGAAGCAUAUAUAUGUAUGUAUCUAUGACAUAUAUGUAUAUAUAUAGUGCAUGCAUGUACAUGUGUGCAGACACACACAUACACACAUAGUGACUUCAAAAACUUCAUGGAAAAUGGAAUUAGAAGCUAGAUAGCUAGAUUUAUUUUGGAGCAAAAACCUUUGAACUUCAAAAAGUUCAUAGGAAGUACAUAUUAGGAAAUGCUAUGCAUGGAUUUCAAAAUAUUUUUUGCACAAAAUAAAUCUCUUUUAAUUCCAUUUCAACGACCUUUUUGAAGUACCAUAAACGCAAGCAUUUUGUCAACAAUGAAUAACUACCAUACACCAGGUUAUUAGAAUCCCAUUUCUUUCCAAUGGAGGAGCUUAUUUUUAGCUUACCUGAUAAUUGUUUUCAGGUGAGAAUCUCACCUAAUUAAGAUCGUCUUUUCAUUUUCUUUAUAUUUUAGUUUCUUCUCUGCUUUCUGUUGGGAAAUGAUUGCAUUGGAAAAUUUAUAUCAGAAAAAUGUUCUUAGAGAAGAUUUAAAGGGAAACCUUCUUCUAAAACUUGGAGCCAUAAGAACUACCUGUUUAUCUCAUCAAGCAAGUCUUUAAUAGGGUACUCUCACCUGAUGCGGUAGCAGACUCUAAAUUCCCAGUCACAUGAAGUCUUAUCAGUUAUACGACUGAGAAAGAAUUAGCUGCUCUGUUUGGGUAAGAUGAUAGCUGUGGGUUCACUCAUUUUUCUUGAAAUAUUUGGGAUUUGAAAGCUUAGAAAAUAAACAGGUUGUUUUGUUCAGGGAACCUUUUCUGCGUGAGUAAGCACAGUUCAUCUGAUGACAUUAGCUUUGCCCAUAAUUUCCGUGAUGUCAAGGGCACCCACCGGAGAUUAAAGCAGGAUUAAGACCCACUUGCUCAGUCAAAGCAGCACACUAAAUUGACUUGACUUGGCAGCUGCCCCUCGAGUUGGCACCUUUUCACCACCUAAUCAUACACAACCCUGGUUUGUGGUGUUAGCGUGGCUACUUUUCACAGAGGCCAAGAAAUGUGAAGCAGGCAAAGUGGGAGGGGAAAGUGGCUGAGAAAGAGGGGUAGACAUGCAGGGGGUGCCCUCACCCCAGCUGCCAUCAAGACUUGCCCAGGAGGAUUACGGCGCUAAGGAGAAAGGUUUCUCUUUUUUGUUCUUGUUUUCAGAAUGUUUCAAACAUGAAUUUAGUUUUUUGUUUACCUUCCUCCCACCCACUCUGGAGUCUUCCAGAUAUGGCUGUCUCUUCAAGCCUUUUUAAUCCUUCAUAUUAUUAUCAACUGUUCUGCAAAAAGCAGUCAGGUUUGCCCAGGAACUUCAGGGAAUAAAGAUGAGUUUGUGUUUUAAAAAGGAAACAGCUGGAUGGCCAGAGCCAGGCAGGGAGGCAGCUCUUGUUUCAUUAGCAAAGGGAAACUUGAGGGUCCAGAGAGAACAACUGGGCUGGCAGCCACGGAGAGGAGAAGAAAAGGAAACACACGAUCAUAAAGAACUAAUCAUGAAAAAUGGAAAGUGAGGACGAGCCAAGAACAACAAGCAAUAAAUAGAUUUGGAAGGGGGAGAAGUCGGAGAGGAAUGCAGUGCCACUCUCAGGAAGGGGCAGCAGGAGUGUGUUUGUCUCCCUGGAAAAAACGAAAUCAUUCUGAAAAUCAUUGAAAAGACCCACAGAAGAUGUUUUAAGGCAACAUUUCAGACCUGGGUUUUAGUUCCUUGUGUCACUUCAGAGCCUAUUUCAGUGCAUGGUAAAAAAAAAAAAAAAAUCAACUCCAGUUAGAACGAGAAACUUCACGUGGAAUGUCCCAGAGUGUUUUCUUCCUUUUUGCAUUUUUUCUUUUAAUUUUUAAUUUCUGCCUGAUGGUGGGGGAAGGAAGCAAUUAGUUGGCUAUGUAGGUUCAAAGACUAUAUCCAAACUAAUAAAUCAAGUGUUUCGAAGUGUAACUCCAACAAUGCUAGCCUUGAUUAGACGGCAGACACAUUUGUACCUGUGUAGUAAUCCCCUUGUCCAUUUGUUUGUCAUGAGUAGGUGAUGAUUCAGUACACACAGGUACAUCUCUAAAUAUUUUCAGAUGACAUUAGCAUGGGUUUAAGGAAGACCUAAGAAGAAAACCAGAUCUCAGUCUCUCCUCCCCUAUAGUGAAAUCUGUUCAACAUUAUAAAGUACACAAACAUGGCCAACAGUCCAGAAAAUCCUAGAGAGAAGGGACUGUUUUAAACUAUUUAAAAUUUCACAUUAGUUACAGGUAAUCCUUUACCAAUGAAAUGCCGCUAGUCUUUCAUUUUGGAGGGGUGGUGCUUAUUAGCCUUUUAAAAAAUUAGUUUUUAAUAGCAGCAUUUGUUUAAGGAAGAAGAAAAAAUGCUUGGUGGUGCCUUCUGGAAUGUACAUUAAUCUUGUUAAUGACACCACAGUUCGUGUCUGGCAAAACAGGACUUGUGAAUCAACCUGAUACUUCUUUUCCCUUCUCCUCCCCCCACCCCCUCCUUUUUGUGGUCACUAUACUUGAGAAAUAAAGCUGGGGCACUAACGAUACAUGAAAAGUGCAUGAAGACAGGAUACAGGAUUUCCUAUGAUUUUAUGUUGUUCUUAAUUAGGAAGCAUAUUGGCAGCAAAUGCUAACAUGUGUUAGGAUGUUUAGUUGUAGCCAAAUAAAUGUUUUCUAUUACAAUUCUGAAUUCCAUGCCUCGUCGGAACCCAUGCUGUUCUGCUCAUGGCUCACAAAAUCUCUUUACAAGUCAUCUCAAGGGCCAAUUUUCUGUUGGCUCACAGAGAAAACUACUUUCACCACAUGUUUUCCUGAAGGGUCAUCCACAAGUCCAGGUGGGAGUGGGAGAUAGGAGGAGAACAGUCCCUGAUGUUGGCUUGGGGUUGCUUGAUGGUACAAGUGGUCUUUAAUGAGGAUACUCAAUUUGAACUCUGAGUCGGAAAUGAGCAUCAACAAGCCAAAGCAGCAUCCUUUCAGCUAUGUUUACUUUUUUUCUUGCUGGGGGAGGAGCCAAGGGAAAAAAGAUGGAUGAUUUAGCAAAAAACAAAACAAAACAAAACAAAACAAAACAAAACAAAACAAAAAAACAAGCAAUGAGUUAAGGUGGUUACAUUAGGGAAAUGUUUGCUUGUGUACACUUGGAACCAUGUACUAGUAUAUUUAUUUUAAGCAUUGCCUGCAGGAGCAAAAUUUGGAAACAAUUUAAAUGUCCAUCACAAGGGAAUGGAUAAAUAUAUUGUGACAUAGAGUACUCUAAAAAAAGGGAUGAGUUACUACCUCUCAAUAACAUGUUGCGCAGGGAAAGUAAAGAUGGAAAGUAAUGUUUCAGAAUAGUAGAGUGUUAUCAUUCCAUUUGGUGAAAGAAACCCAGUGCGGCUGGCAUUGAGGCUUAGAGGGUUAAGCCGCCACCUGCAAUGCAGGCAUCCCGUAUGGGCACUGGUUCAGGUCCUGGCUGCUCCACUUUUAAUCCAGCUCCCUGCUGGGGCAUGGGAAGGCAACAGAGAAUGGCCCAACUGCUUGAGCCCUGCCCACCAUGUGAGAAACCCAGAGGAAGCUCCUGGCUCCUGGCUUCAGCCCAGCCCUGCCCUGACUAUCGCAACCAUUGAGGAGUGAAGCAGUGGAUGGAAGAUCUCACUCUCGCUGACUCUCACUCUUUCUCUGUAACUCUGCCUUUCAAAUAAAUAAAUAAAUCUUAAAAAAGAGCUGCAAUUCAAGUAAAAAAGGAAACCCAAUGUAACAAUGGGUUUGUAUAAAUGUAUGCAAGAAUAUCCCAUCAGUUCUGGAUAGCAAUGUAUGCCAAGUAGUUCUAUUUCGUAGGUGCUAGAGAAGGAAAAAGCUAGGUAAUAAGGGAAGAGUAUCUUUUUAUCUUUACCAGUAUAUGCUUUUAAAAAGAAAGUAUUAUAUUUCCAAUCUAAGGUUAAAAACUAGUGAAUAGUGAUUGAGUUUCCUAAAUUCAUUAUCAAAGUAUUUUCCCUAAACAUGGCUAUUACAGUGUAAGCUGACUGUGUAAGAUCUCAAUGCUGUUAGGGGAUAUUUGGUGCAGAGUUUCUGUCUGUGUUAGAAAUUUCCAAAAAUCUUUCACUGUUGGGUCUGAGAGACUGCAUAUACUUUCAUAUAUGUAGCUAACAUGACACAGCACUUGACUCUUAGUGGGAAACUCCUUUUUCCACAUCAUCCAUGAGUGAACUUGGAUUUCUAAGGGCUAAUUGAGGUAUUCAUCCACUAUGCUGUGACCACACUGCCUGCAACUCUUCUGCUCUUUCUCACUUGGGUGCUUGCUCAUAGGUCAGCCUCCCCUUCUGGAACAUUCUUUCCCCAAAGUUUGCCUCUUCCUUCACCUCAUUCAGGUCCCUUCUCAGUUGUCCCCACUCCCAAAGCUUUCCCUGAUCUCAUCAUUGUCUCCUCUCCUCUAUUUGCAAAUAUUUAAUUAUUUAUUUAUGUUCAUUCAGUUAGCUAGCUCCUUCCCCUCCUCUAGAAUAUUUCAAGGGGGAAGGAAAUUGUUUUGCUUUCACUGCUACACCUUAAUACUGCACGGCAUAAGGGACACAGAAGAUGUUCAGGAUACAUGUAAUUUAUUCCCUGAAUUAGCAGGACAUGGUGUUUUUGUUAUUUAUUAUACAUCCAUAUGUGACAUCGUCAAAGCCUGGGAGAUUACUAAACCAUUUUCUCCAUUUUAUAUGUAAAAUUUUUGUUGUUCCUAAUAAGAAUCAGCCAUACAUGCAGGCUGCUUUUUACUUUGACUCAUAAACAAUUCUACUCAGUAUAUGGGCCUAAAAAUUUAACAAUAAAAAAAGCAAGAAUGUACAAAACAGCAUUCAGCUAGUGAAAGGGGACUUUUUUUCUACAUUCUUGAAUGAAGAUCUCAUAACAUAUAUCAGAUCUUUCCUAAACCAUGAAAUGAAAUGACUGGCUAUCAGGACUAAUUUUGAGAAGAAAAACUGUCAUCUCCAAAGCAGUAAAAUCUCCAUAAAGCAGUGUAAACUAAUUACCAGGUUAAAAUCACUGGAAUCUAUCAGGGCCUCCUCAUGUCCCCAAGGCAGACAUAAUACAGUAAUUCUCUAAUAGUCACUCUGGGAAGAUACUGUAAUGGGUGGGAUGAAGUCAUUACAACAGUCUCACUUAGUUCUGGUCCUGAGACUUAUAAAGAGAAUGUUGGCAGCAGAUCACAUGUGCAGAAGAGAUGACUCUCCGUGGAGCAUCAGGCUAGCUGGCCUUGCCCAGUCUCUGGGCCAGGAGCUCAGUGGAACUCAAGUGAGGAGAGCUCACUUACUUAUCCUGUUCAGACAAGGAAUGUACACUUCGAAACCUAUUCCAGGAUUUCUUCUCACCCCUCCUGAUUGAAAGUGAGGAAAAUAUUUUGUAUAUUGUGCUUUCUAUUUUAGGUUAUUUAGAUGCUUGCAAAUAUUUUAUGUUUAUGUGUGCAAGUAAUAUAAACUGAAAACAUGAGCAAAUCCUACCAGAAGCCUCAGGAAAAAAAAAAAAAAAAACAAAAAACAGAAAAACCACAACAAUCAAACCAGGUGUACAAUAACGGACCCUGUGUUUCUCUCUUUUCUAAAAAAGGUUUAUUUAUUUAUUCAUUUAUUUGAAAGAUGGAGAGAGAGAGAGAGAGAGAGAGAGAGAGAGAAUCUUCCAUCUGCUGGUUCACUCUCCAGAGGGCUACAACAGCCAGGUCUGUUCAGGCUGAAGCCAGAAGGCAAGAACUCUAUUCUGGUCUCUCAUAUGAACGGCAGGAGCCACCGUUGACCACCUUCCUUGGUGCAUUAACAGGGAGAUAGAUCAGAAACAGGGUAGCCAGGACUCAUAUUGGUUCUCCGUCAUGAGAUACUGGCAUCUCAAGCAGAGGCUUAACUCUCCGUGUACAAUGCCAGCCCCCUAUUGCAUGUUUCUCUAGACUAGUAAAAAGCUCUAUCUUUUAAGAAGUCAUGUUGGUACUUGGGGUAAACCAAAAUGACUGGAUAAACUCAUUGGAACAGUGGGUGUUUAUUUUAUUAGAUAAUUUUGUACAUACACAUACAAACGUCCAUGGAAAAUGGAACUAAAAGAUAUAUUCAUUUUAGUGCAAACAUUUUUGAAAUCCAUGCAGUUUUAUCAUAAAAUGCAUGUCCAUGAACUUUUUGAAGGCCUCCCCAUCACGUGUGUCUGCACAGGCACAUGUAUUUACAUUGGUGACAUUUGUUUUCUCAAGCCCUCAGAUAAUCUUUGACAACGCAGCAGGUAAUCAUAGCUCAUCACCCUGGGUUGUAAUGGAUUGUUUACACUUAUGUCAUUCUCAUGAGAUUAUGCACCGUGAAGGGAAGGACUUCACCUUGUUUGCUUUAUUCCCCAGUGUCCACUUUGUGGAAUGGAUGAACCACCUUUAAAAGCAGCAGAUCUGUGCUUUUCAUAACUGUUAACUUUUCCUAGAGGUAUGAAUUGGAAAUAGAAGUUGUUGAGAAAAUGGCCGGUGCUCAGAAACACAAGUUCACAAGACACAAAGCUGAUCUCUUUGUGUUCUGCCAUGGUGAUUUCCACCUUGGCUCCAGGCUAUAUACUCAUGAAGGAGAGGGUUAGGAAUCAGACUUCCUUAAACUGGUGAGUGCUGAGCCACACACUGACCAUCAUACACGAGAAGUCAAAAUGGGAAGAGACAUUAACAUUUGCCUAAAUGGCUUGCACAGGAAAAGCUGGACACCUCCCCCCGCUCCAAUUAACGUGGAUGGAAAUCUUUGAGUAGAUUUGGUUCUUCCCUCUGUGUUCUUAGCCUGACGUUGCCUGGCUGGCCGGUGUGUCCCUUUGGAAUUGAUAAUGAGGUUCAAGAGAGGUGGAGCCUUCACUAAACAUGUCACCCCUAUUUAGCACCUUUUCCAGGAUGGCAGCCACUAUUGUUUUAUUAUGUCCCUGAUCAGCUGUCACUAUUCAUGAAGUAAUCACUGCCAUUAACACGUCACGCCUCAAGCCAUCUGCUGCAGAAAGGCACACACGGAGUUGUUGGUUGCAGGCAAAGCAGGUGUCACCUAGGACUGACAGUCCCAUGGUAAAGGCGGGAGUCACCAUGGUGAGAUAGGAUGUCAUGUCAAGUAAUUCUAUUUUUAUUUGAUGUAUUACAGUCAAUGGACAAUAACAUUCCUGCUCAACUUGCAGAAUGUUAAAAAAUUCAUAUUUGAGGUAAUUGAAUUCAAUAUUGGUUUUGGGGACAAAAAUGUCAUUAAAUGUCUUGACAACAGUAUCUAGAUUAUAAAUGGACGAUUGUGUGAAAUUUGCAGUCAAGUUUAAAGUAUUCUUAAGAAAAGUAAACUUUUGACCAUUUGAAUCUUUUUCUAGCAAUCAUUUAUUGAGCAUGUACUAAGAACUGGGGGUGGCCCAGUCAAAAUGUAAAAUUACUGUUCUCAAAAACAUCAUCAACUAAUGUGUGCUGUGGGGAUUCCUGCAUUUGCAACCUUUGAUCUGUCCCUAACAACACUUGUGUUGAUUUUCAAAAAUUUCAGUUUCUUAUUACUUUCCAUACUGAUUAGAUUUCAUGUAGACAUAUAGGAAAGUGAGUUUGCAUUGGGAAACUAUGAUAAUUUAAUAAAGUCUCUCAAGAAGGAUGAUAAUCAGUUAUCUUUAUCACCUUCAUUAUAAAGGGGAAUUAAAUUUAUACAAUGGAGAGAAUUAGAAAUUUAAUUCAGGACUUCAAGUGCUGUUAGAAAGUGAGAUGAGUGAUUAUACUUGGGUCUAAAUAUCCUUCUAGUAUCUUCCACUACUGCAUAUACAGUAGAAUUGCAUUCCAAAUUUCUUUAACUUCAGAAAAUUUCCUUAUUUGCCCCAGGCGAAUAAGAAAAAGAAAUACAAAAAUUUAAGUGUGGUAGCUACUUCCAUGAGUUUUGCUUUUUUACCCCUGGGAAUGAAGAAGGUUGGUUGAAGGUUGGAUUUGCCAGCCCGUCAGUUACUUUUAGCAACAACCCCCAGUUCCCCUUGUUCGUGUGAGCAUUUUGCUGCAUGGGUAGUGGUUUAGGGCAUGCACAACACAGUACUGUUAACUCUGAUGCACAUAUCUAUACGUCAUACAUGUUAAUGAUGGUUUAUGGGGUGUUUCAAGGAUAAAUGUGACUCUAACAUUUAGAGUCUGUCCUGUGUGGAGUUAUGUUACUCCAUUAAAAAUUAAAUUAAAGAGGCUUACACAAUCCUGAAGUCUAUACGAAGCAAGAUAUCCAUCUUUCUAUAUCAGGAUUUCUCACCUUCUUUUGAACCCAAUUUCCUUUUGAGAAAUAUAAAAAUCUCAAGCUUUCUCCCCAACCCUGGAGAUCUGUAGGGCCAUCUGUUGAAAACAAAAAUAUAUAACCAGGCUUUAUUUUGGUAGUUUGUAUUAAGAAAAAUGUUUUCUAUUUUUUGGAAUCUAUAAUUGUGAUACAAACUGUAUGUGCUUUUCAAAAAGGAUUCCCUUUUUCUUUGGAGAUUGUGAUAUGUCCUGCUCUUCAUAUGAUUCUAUUUCUCUGCCAUGCCGCAAGAAUCAUGAGUGUAGAUUUCAGAUAGGAAUCAGACUGUUUCAUUUUAAAACCGUCUAAAUAUGAGAGCCCCUGUGGUUUGGAUGUUCUCCCUGGAAUUCACUUGUUGGAAACUCGAUGCCCAAGGCAGCAGUGUUGGGAGGCGGGGGCUAAUAAGAGGUGAUUAGGUCAAGAGGGCUCUGACCUAAUGAAUGGACUAAUGUCUUUAUGGUUGGGCAUUGGCUGCUUAUCCUGAGAGUGGAUAGUGGAUUUGUUCUAACAGUGGCAUCUCUCUCUCUCUCUCUCUCUCUCUCUCUCUCUCUCUGUCUCUCCUUCUCUCUUGAUAAGGUGCUCUUCCACCAUGCUAUGGUGCAGCAUGAAAGCUGUCUGCCAAGGCUGGGGCCAUGCUCCUAGAAUUUUCAGUCUCCAGAACACUGAACCAAAUACAUUUCUAUUGUUAAUAAACUUCUAUUGCUACUCUGUAAUGGACAGAGACAGGGCCAUUUUAAUUCUAAGCAUCAAAUUUGGGGAUCUGAGAUGCAUGCCAUUCAAAUGGCUCUAUCAUAGUGGCUCCUAACUACACUUAGAAGAAACAUAAAGAUAUAUGAUUCUUGAGUUCUGACCCAAAUCACUUACAGUGUUAUGUAUGGCUUUACAAGUCCAACCAAGAAAAUGGCUAAUAUUUCCUGUAUGUUGUGCAGGCGAUUGUAACAUUUUUGUUAAGUUAUCAGGGAUUGAGGGAGGCAAAGAGGGAGGAAGGGAAAUGUGGUUAUCUUAGAAUCAUAUAUAUGAACUACAUAAAAACUGUUCUCUUUAAUAAUUUUUUUAAAAUUGUAAGGCAGUAUAGAUUAAAAUUAAAAGAGUGUUUUAUUAUAUCUUCCUGACAAAAGAAUGAAUCUUGGGAUUUCAAGACAUCCCUGAAUACAUGUGGCCAUGAGUUUACGUGGGUUCCCAUGUAAGUCAUGAGAAUUACAGUGUACACCUGGGGUGUGCACAUAUCUGUACAAGGGAUGCACUUGCUCUGCUCCAUGUUAGAGCUUAUGAGUCAGCAGGAGGCUGAUCAAGUUAAAGCGCAUGAAUAGGUUGUGAAUAUUGAGAUUGAUGACCAUCUCCCAUAAAUGAACUUCCAUCUUCAUUUUGAAGUCUUCAGGAGAAAGUUGCUGUUCGUUUUGCCAUUUGGUAAGUGUCAGGAUGAAUUUAAUCUGUCUUAAGAACAAAUUUUAAGCCUUGCUGAUACAGUUCUGUUUUCUCUGGUUCCACUCCCUCACCCCAUUCCUACUUCCCUUCAUCCUUAACAAAAUCUACUUUUCUCUCUGCUCACAAACCUUUGGGGUCUCCAUAGGCUCUUAUAGGGUCAGACAAUGCUGCAAACAUUUAUUUGAGCACUGAGGUCCAAAAUGUUUCUGGGAAUAAAAAUGAGUGCAACCCAGGGCAAAUAAUUAUUCUCUGUAGUAGGGACAAUUUAAGACCUAACCAAAUGUUGCUGAGUUGAUUAUAUACUUUUUAUACUUUUAAGUAAUACUUAUAUGAUGUGCAGUGUUAAGAAUAUAUAGUUACUGAAACAUGUUUUACUUAUAAUAAUAGAACAUAUUUAUAAUUAUUAUAAAACACAUAUGUGUGUAGCAUCUGACAAAAUCAGUUACUGUUAUAGAUGAAGACAAAAAGUCAAUGAAAUAAAACUGGGAUACUAUUUUUGUAUAAAAUCUACAGGAGUAGGACUGAAAAUGUGGGUAACUGAAUUGAACACUAUCAAAGAUUAUUUUACAGGGAGUUUAUUAAAAAUGGGAUGCAUUUUGGUGAGAGAGUGGAACCUUCCAGGAGAAGUAACAUGAGCAAGUUUUGAACCAAAGAGGAGAAUCCGUUGUUUUCUUCCUGCAUCUACAGACUGUAGUGUUUUUCUUACAUUUUGUUUUAUGGGUUCUUCUAUUUGGCCAUUUUUAUGUUGACCUGAACAUUAAAUCUGUCAUUUAGAUUAAAUUUAUAGAGACACUUAUAUUUUAAAAAUGUUCAAGUAAACAGUAUCAUUUAUGAGUACAAUGGGUAUUAGUAUAGUUGAUAAUUUUAUAUCAGAGAAUCAUUUAAAAUUUUCUCAUCCAAAAAUCAUCUUCUUUAGCCCUGCUUAUUAUUGACUCAUUUUUGUACUUAACUUAUUGUUUAGAUCAUAUAUUGUUAUUUAGAUCAUAUAUAUAUAUAUGACUGAAUAGACAUGGGAAAUGAGCAGAAUGAGAGAAGAAGCAUGCAAUCAAAUAAAAUUGUAUAGAACACUGGCUAUUUUAUAUUAAAAAUGAAAUUUGAGACCUUGAGGUUAGUAUAUGAUCCACAGGCAAGAGUCUCAUGAUUCCAUUAGAAGAUAGGAUCAGAGCAUAUCUGCUAUGUUGUCAGGGUCCUGGUUGGUAUCUGUUGACUUCCUCAUCCAUGUCUUCACUCAGGGUCACCUGACUUUUCUUAGUGGAGCCACUCCUGCGUAUUCCUUAGUUCAUGUGGUUUAAGUGCUUUGCUAAAUCUCAUCCAUAAUCUCUUCCAAUCCCCAACCCAAGGGCAGCCAUCCAGGCUGUCUGUCCUGGGAAACUGAGGUGGUAUAUCAACAGCUGACUGAGCUUGCAUUCCCAGGAAUUUCUCAUUGAACCCUUAUUUUGAAAAUAACGCACAUAAGUGAUAGACAGUGUUCUAGGCACUUAAUUCAGUGACAAAGAAAGCAAUAUAAAGAGAAUAGGUUUUCUACCAGAUUUAAGCAGUGGGACCUUCACAAACUAAAUUAACAGGCUAACAACUUUUAAGAUUCAUUCAACUUUUAAGAUCAUUAUUGAUAUGAUCCUCUGGGAGAGCUGUUAAUAGGUUUUUUACAAGAAGAAUAAAACUACUAACAACAAUUCAGGUAAAUCUCUUAGAAAAAGAGUUCCUUCUGUGGAAAGCAAGUGAAGUGUUGAUUUAAAUUUCUCAAUGAUCAAAGUGUUAAUAUAUUUUGAAUAGAUCCAUCUAUAAAACAUAUCUGUAUAAACAACAAAACUUGUAACUGUGUAAUGGGCAAAAAAUAAAAUAAUGCAUUUUCUUCAUUGUAAUGCCACCCACUAAUUUUUUACAGUUUUCUAGCAUGUAACAUUACCCUUCAUAAAAGAUGAUAUUUUGAAAUAAGAAGGGGUUGGUAAAAGAAACAAUGGAUAGUUAAUGGAAGGAGAAUUGCAAAGCUGUGCUCUGCUGGGUGAAGGAGAAGGGAAAACAGAAUUCAUCUGGGGAUUUUUCAAGCCAGAGGUCAUGGUCCGAAGCCUUGAAAGGAGUGAGCAAAGCUCAGUGCCAAGGAUUUUAUAUCUUUAUUUUGAUUAUUUGUUUCUUUUUUCUAAAGAAAUCAAGCACAAGUUAUUUAAAAUAACAGAAUUCAUUUCAACAUAAUACUUCAUAAGCAGAGUUGAGAAUCGCUCACAUAUUAAACAUUCAAGUAUUCUGUGUGGAUUCCCAGAUGGUUGCAUUCUCUCUGGGCCAAUACGAUGGUGUUCACAUGAGGCAGUUUGGUGCAGUAGAAGGCAUCUGGGAUAUGAAUGCUUUAUUUUUCCAUUUAGUCAAUGAACACCAAGCACCUAUUAGCUGUGUGGCCUCAUGGUAGGCAUACAGAUACAUAGGACAUAAUUCUGAACUUCCAAAAGCUGGGAUGCAGGAUGAAGAAGACAGGCAGAGAAUCCUAUACAAGGAGGUAGGUGAGUAUAUUGUGGGAGCGUUGAGGAAGGAAACCUCACAGGUGAGAGUUGGGUGGAAGUUGGCAGGGAAGACUAUCCUCGGGAAGUGGUAUUUAGCAUUAAGUUGAAGUUUAUACAGAUGGACUAGGUGGGGAGAUUGGAGGGAGUGGGCAUUCAGGCAGAGAAGCAGGGCAGAGUCACAGGCACAAACAGAUGAAUCCACACUGUGUGUGUGUGUGUGUGUAUUUGUGUGUGUAUGCAAACACAUGUGUAAGGGACUAGCAGCAAUCAGUGCUAUGGUGCACAAAGCUAGAAGUGGGAGAUAGUGAAAGGGAUGAUGUUGCAGAGGCAAGAUGGAACUGGAUCGUGGUAGUUUUCUUUUUCGGGCCACAUUGCUUCAGUUUUAUGCAGUCAGACAAAAGAAGGCUUGGGCAGAGUUGUAAUAUCUCUGCUCAAACUUGUGUGCAGAAUAGUAAUUAGGGGUUAAAGCCUACAGGAAACUGGUGCUGUGGUCUGUGGACAGGCCAAGGUCAGCUGCAGUGGGACACAGAGCAGUGGGAGGUGCCAGCAUGAGCACCAGUUGGCAGCAUGAGCUCAGGGACUGAGGAAGACGGUAGGGUUCAAGGUGACUCCCAGUGGAAGCAUAAGUGCCUGAGGUAGUGCCACUACCUGAGCUAGGGAGCACAUAAACAUGAAUGAGGUUUUGGGUUCAGUUUUUGCUGUUGGAUGAAAUUGCAUGCAAAGGACAUGUAUCACUAGACUGUGGGGUCCUUCGGAACUGGCCAGCACUGUGAGCUAGGAAUACCUCCGUGAAACGGUGAUGCUAUGCUCUCACUUACUGCUUUUCCUGGUGGAUGGAGAGACCAUGGCAUCGCAAGAUGUGGAGCGGCCUUCAUUCUGCUUCCUGGUAGCUCUGGGAUUGUGGACGAGUCAUUUCAGCUCCGUAGCUUUCUUUCCCUCACAGAGGGAGUAGAUUUGGCAACUGGUUCCUCAGUUACAAAUCUAUUCUAAUUCGGCUUAUUACAAACCACUUAAUGUGGUUCCCUUGCUCUGAUUUUUGGCAUUAUCCCUUCUCCCCAUGUACAAAAGUUACCCUCCUGCAAAUUUAGGGUGCAUUUGAUAUUUGAUGACAUAAAAGGAGUUUUCUUAAUGUAUACAGAUAAUCUUUGCCCCUUCUUUUCAGGAAUUUCUUUCAGUUCUCAGAUGAUGUGAAUAAUCCAUAGAGAAGGUGCUUGAUUACUCAAUAUUUGGGUGUAUCCUUUGAAAAUAAAUGUCAGCCAUAAAGCAGAGCCUCUCUGUCUGUGGCACAAACUCUCACACACAAAGUUUCACCUCCCUCCCCUCUUAGGGAGGCUGCCCAGUGCAAACAGUGGCCACUUUGGGAGCAGUAGAUUCUGCUGUGAAAGAAUGCAUUAUAAGUAAAACAAUAUGUUCUUCAGAUUAACACACACACCAAAAAAUGUGUUGACUUAGUACACCUAAUGACUUUCAAGGAGCCAUUAGGCUCAAUGGAGUGAAUAUUGUGUGUAUUGCCAAAAUAUGCCCAAUGUAUCCCCAAUUAGGCAUUUGACCUGCAAACUUAAUAGGACAAGCUAAUUUCUCUUUCAACUCUCUUUCACUGCUUCUUACCAAGUAAUUUUCAUAGCCCAUCUUAGAGCAAGACUAUGCAUUUUUCCCAAGGCCUGGGUGUUUGCUUGCUCUGUUCCAAAGUUCAAAGAAUAAUGGAGAAGUGUGUUCAUGCGUUAUUGAAUGGUCUGAGGGAGGGGAAUGCUCUACCUGGUCCACAUUUGCUACAUUUUCCUUAUUAACAGAGGCACCAGCAAAGUGUUAGAAGCGAAGAAGACUAAUGUAAAUUGCCUACAGAAAACAACAGUUUCUUUAGGAAUGAAACAGUAUAACCCCUACCUCCAUCAUUUGCAAGUUUAGGCACUUUAAUUUGACAAACUCAGUGUUUAGGCUGGGAGUCUGACCAAUUGCAAUCUGUCACCAGAGGAAGCAGAUGCAGAGGGGUUAAUAAUUACUGACAAUUUUUUAACAAGCAGUUUUAUUGCAGAAAUGGGAGUUGAACCGGAACAUUCCCAAUCAGAAUGAAAGGGCUCACAAACCCAGUCUGGAAAACUCACUAUUGUACAUGAAAAGGGAGUCUUUCUGGAUUUUAAAGAGGCCUAAGGAGAGGGUUUAUUUUCUAUUUGAGAAUAUAGUUUAAUUUAGAUUUUUAGACAAGUCACAAAAUCUUUGAAAUCCACGAAUAGUGCUCUGGAGAAAUGGAACAACCCCUCUGUCUGAUAAUGGAAAGGAAGGCAUUGACAUUUGAUUGUGCCCUCUGCAGUUUUCAUAAGAUGUUUGCCUCCAGGUGAUUUCUUAAGAAGUCAAUGUGUAAUUUAAUGUGUUGACUUUUAUUUCCAAAGAAUUGCGUUGCUACCCGACUAUCUUAGAGGCUAUUGUUCCACUUUGAAUAGUGACUAUGAAAGGGUUCCAAUUGGUCUGCAUGGAUCUUAUGAUAAUUUCCAGAUGUUUCCCUAGAAACUCCUAGCAGGACACAUCAUGCAUGGGUGGCACCUUAUCGUAGAAAGAGCACUGCACUUGGAGGUCAGAAGAUGGAAUUCAGAGUCUCAGCUCUUCCACUCAAAAAUAUGGCCAUUAGGCCAUAGUUUGUUUCAGUGGUUUCCAAACGUAAUUAACCAACAAGCAUUGUCUGUUGAGUUUACACGUGUACACCUGGGCCUUACUCCUGAGAUUGGGGUUCAAUAGGUUAGCAAUUGGAUGCUGUGUUGUUUACAAGCAGCUGGGGUCAAUAACUAUGAUAAAUCCAUUGAACUUUAGUGUCCUCAUUUGCAAACUAGAAAUAGCAUUUCCUGUACAUCAUGCAGGAUUGUUGCCAGAAUGAAACAUAAUGAUGGAUUUAAGACACCAGCAUAGUGCUCAGAGGAGGCUCACAUAUUUUCUGUCCCCACUUGGGCCUUGAUUGUUCUGGUUCAGAUCUCCCCAAAGUGGAUUCUAAGGCUCAGCAGCCCCAUGGGAUGCUUUCUGGAAAAACUGCGCCAGUCAUGUCUGGCAGCUGCACCUGUGCUCCCUUCCAGACUGUUAAUGGGACAACUGGCACCUCAAGCUUCUGAGAGGACCUGAAGAAACACACCUGGCUAACAUUAUUGAGUUCACUAUUUAUCAAACGCAUUUGACUUCUAAAUUGUUUUGAAAAUGGCAGUUAUUGAUGGUUGUUGCUACACAUUUUAGGGAUUGCUCUUUGUACAGUCUCUGAGCUAUGAUUCUGUAACCUCUCUCAAGGAUAUUCUCAAUACAAUGAAGACCACUGCAUUACCAUGUUUGCCCAGUGCUUGAGGCUUUACAUCAAAGGACUGGGGUUCAAUUUCUGGCUCUUGCUCCUGCCUCCAGCUUCCUACCAGUGCAGAGCUGAGCAGGCAGCAAUACUGGCUUAAAUAAUUGGAUUCCUGCCAUUCACGUGGGAGAUCUGGAUUGAGUUCCUGGUUCCCGGAUCCCAGCUCUUCACUUUGGCUCCCACCCUUCUCCUGUUGUUGUAGGCAUUUGAGGAAUGAACCAGCAUAUGGGAGCUUUCUGUCUCUCUGCCUCUCAAACAAACAAACAAGCAAAAAACAAUAAAAGACCCAAGCUUCUUGAUCAUCUUGAAUGAUACCUUAUCUUUUCUUGAAUUGAAGUUAAAAUGGGCUGUCAUAUUUGAAAUGAAUCUGUUUAAAUACUUUAGUUUUUACUUUAACUGCUCAAACUUAGGAGAACAGAACACAAAUCAUUUAGAAAGGACUUAUACCACCAUUUUAGAAAUAAAAUGAAUAACUAAACAGUAGAAAUUCUUAGUUCAGUAAUUGUUAAAGGAAAGGCAAUUAGAUUUUAAGAGAUCAAACCUUACCCUUGAAAUCAAUGGAAUACGAUAAAAUUAGAAAUCCAAGUAUGCCUACAUCCAAAUUAAUCUACUAGUCAAAAAGAAGCUGGGUAGAAAUUUAUAUAAAUGAACCAAAAAUAAAUGAAGUAUGUGUUGUAAUAUAGUGCCAUUUCCCCUAAGUCAACAGUUUAAGAGCUUUUGGGAAAUUGAAUAUAAUCACAAAGAUUUUCUGGCAACAUAAUCUGCCUGGUAUGUACUCCUAGAGUAAGGGAAAUGUUUGGCUUCUAAUACAUCUUCCUGGGAACAAAAAGCAAAAUGGAAAAGUCUAUCUCUGGUUCAGGUGUAUUCGUCCAAGAAUCACCUACCCCUUCAGGCAUGAGUAGAAGAAGGUACAUCUGCAUGGAUGCAUUGUUUUGGGAUGGAUGAGUGGACAGGGCUGGGAAGAAUGCACUCAAUGUACAAAAUUCCAAGUCAGGUUGGGUGGGGUUUGCAGUAAGAACUUGUAUCAGAUAACUGCUCUGAAAUAUUCCUUUUGCAAGCAUUUUAUUUUGCAGGUUUGGUAUGGAAAUCUCAGAAGAACAGCUUUGCUUGUGAGCUUUCCGAUAUUUCCACUCUGGUUCUGGCCAGAAACACUGUGAGAACACCCUUUCAUUUGGUAUUUGAGCCCUUAUGCCUCUGUUUCUGGCUGCGGACCAAAGGGAACAAAUGCAACUGAACAUUUCAGAACCUCAAAAUAGUAAACCAAAAAUGGUUUUCUCUGCUUUUGGUUCUAAAAAUGAUCAACCUCAGAGCCUUGUACCAAACAGUUUGGUUGAUCUACCACUAAGGUGGAUUACUGGAUUUCAGAAUCCUUUGGAGAAUAUAUUAUGAUAGAUGACUAAAAGCAAAAAAAAAAUUGCUCACUCAAAAUGGUUGUAAUACAGGUACCUGGUCAGGACCCUAGAGCCUAGAUUUUAUGAAUAGGAUUUAUGUUUCAGUGUCAAAUAAUUCAAAGAGGCAGGAGAUUGGCAUUUAGAGUAGCAUAGCUGGGCUUGAAUACUGACUUGGUCCAUUACUGGCUGAGUGAUGAGGGCGUAUUUCUGUGGCUCAGUUUCCUAUGAGUAAAAUUAAUAAGAAAAAUGAAAAAUAAUUAUACUCAUUAUAACUGGGUCAUUAUGAGGAGCAGAGUAUUUUAAAAUAUAUUUAAAAUUAUAGUGUUCAUAAUAAUACAAAAGUCAAUGAAUCAUAGUGAUUCAGAGUUUGAACAUUGUGAUCAAACUGCUCCUGCACUUCCGUAGCUCUCUGACAUGCCCAAGUCACUACAAAUCUUUGACUAUCAAUUUACCAUCUGUGAAUGGGGACAGUGUUGUAAGAAGAAGUUAGUGAAAUAAUGUGUAUAAAAUAUUUGGCACAUAGUUGACACUAGAAAAACUGCCAUCAGUUAAUAAAUUUAUAAAACGAUGUUGAUGAUAAUGACAGCUUUAUAUACUCAUAGUUUCAGGUGCCAGUCCAAAAUGCAGACUUUGGAGGAUCUGGAUAACACCCUUGAGAGUUCUCUGAAUCCUUCUUCCACACAAUUACAUACUCCACAGUAUCUUACUGCAUGAGUCAAUACAGGAGGGGUGCAGUGGGAGCCUGAGAUGGCUUACUUGGUCAGAUAUAGAAUAUAGGUUGAGGCAAAUGUAAAAAACUCUCUGGGCUAAUGUGUGAAGCAAUGCUGGUCUUAGCAAGUUUUAGUAUCCAGUAAAGAGGGAAAGGUGGAGGUGUAAGGGUGUGAACGUAUGCACAGGCUGUAGGAAAGUGAGAAAGUUGAAUGCUGCACAGCGGCCUGGGAUUGUCCCAGUGCCAAGACAGCUUGACUAUUUCCUCCCCUCUGCCACUUUGCACCCUUGGCUGUCUUCAAAUUCCCUUCUUUGCCUUCUGCUGCCCUAGGAUUGUAUUCUUUCCAUUUUUUAUGAGUCCUUUUCUGCUGCUUUAGGGUACUAGCUUAGGAUUCUCUCCUUUAUCACCUUCUCUUUGCCUGAUACUGUAUCAUUAGGCACUCACCUACACUUGUUACCCCAGUUGUCUCCUGCACCUUCAAGGCUGAGCCACUGUAACUUUUUCCCAGAGUUCCUUUUGUCCCUGGAUUUGCUCAGGCUCAUGAUGUGAAGGCAAAGCUCAUCAACUGCCUCUGUGAGCCUGCUCUUCUAACCUUUCUCCUUUGUUUCAGCCAUGCUGUUUCAAUAUGUAAAUACAUUUCUCCUGGUGUUAAAACCUCAAAAUUUCCUCAUUUUCUUGAUCUCUACAGCUUUGUUUGAUCUCCAGAACCAGGAAGUACCCACUCCAGUAAUUCCAUCUCACAAUGUCUGCCACACUUGGAGCAUGGACAGAGUGAUGGAAGCACAGAAUGUGGACCCGUACAUCGCAUACACAUUUAACAUGAUCUCACAUAAGAUGAGGCCUCACAGAUCUGGCCCAAGGGCUUGAGACAGGCCCUCAACAAGAAAUGGAAACCAGGUAAGGGUCACUAUUUUUUGUGAUGUUUUAAAGACAUUGUGUGAUUAACCCAAUCUCAAACAGCAAUAUAUUAAAAGUUAUAUGAGUUUAUAAAUGUUUUAGAAGCUGAAUUUUUAGUCAACACUGAUAAAUUCUUGCUGGCAAAUGAUGAUGUAUAGAGAAUUUUCACCAUCCUCCAUUCACUACUGGAAGGAUGGCCAUCUUUAUUUAAAAUUUUUUUAUUUAUAUAAGGUGAAUAAAUUUCAUAUACACAGAUUUGGGAGUAUAAUGAUCCUUCCAACCCUUCUCUCCCUCCUACUUCCUUUUUUAUUCUUUUAGUUUUUACAAUGACAUACCUUCAGUUUAUUUUAUCAUAAGAUUAUACUCACAAUACUUCACUAAAUAAAUAAUUCAACAAAUAGUAAGAAUAAAAAAAUACUGCUCCUCAACAGUAGAGACAAGGGCUGUAAACCAUAACCACUUCUCAAAAUAUCAAUUUCGCUCAUAUACAUUUUUUGUACUUUAUUAGUUACCACAGAUCAGGGCAAACAUAUCUUUUUUGGGACUGGGUUAUUUCAUUAAGUAUAAUGGUUUCCAGUUGUAUCCAUUUUGUUGCAAAAGAAAGGCUUUCAUUCUUUUUUACAGUUGAGUAGUAUUCCAUAGUGUAUAUAUACACUAUUUUCUUUGUUCAGUCAUUGAUUGAUGGACUUCUAGGUUGAUUCCAUAUCUUAGCCAUCGUGAAUUAAGCCUCAAUAAACAUAGGGGUGCAGAUAACUCUCUCAUAUGAUGCUUUAAUUUCAUUUGGGUGAAUUCCAGGAAUGGGAUAGCUGGAACCUAUGGUAAAUCUAUUUUCAACUUUCUGAGUGAUUUUCAUACUAUUUUCCACAAUAGCUGUGCUAGUUUGCAUUCCCACCAACAGUGGAUUAGUGUACCUUUUUUUCUCCACAUCUUUGCAAGCAUUUAUUAUUUAUUAUUUACUGAUUUUUGUAUGAAAGCCAUUCUAAUGGGGGUAAGGUGAAACUUCAUUGUGGUUUUGAUUUGCAUUUCCCUAAUGGCUAGUGAUCCUGAGCAUUUUUUUCAUUUGUAUGUUGGCCAUUUGAUUUUCAUCUUUUAAAAAAGAUCUGCUCAAGUCCUUUACCGUUUCUUCUUUUUAAGUUUUAUUUGAGUUAUACAAGUUUCAUGCAUUUCACAUAUAUAGAUUUAGGACACAGUGACAUUUCCCCCCACCCUCCCUCCUGCCCACGCUCCAGACUUUCUUCCUCCUCCCUCUCACAUUCCUACUCUUAAUUUUUAUAAAGAUCUAUUUUUAGUUUACUUAAUGAUCAUAUAGUUAACCCUACACAAAGUAAAAGAUUUUUUUAUUUUUUAUUUUUAUUUUUGACAGGCAGAGUGGGCAGUGAGAGAGAGAGACAGAGAGAAAGGUCUUCUUGGUUCACCCCCUAAUGGCUGCUGCGGCCGGCGCGUUGUGGCCCUCGCAUUGCGGCCUGCGCACUGCGCUGAUUCGAAGCCAGGAGCCAGGUGCUUCUCCUGUUCUCCCAUGUGGGUGCAGGGCCCAAGAACCUGGGCCAUCCUCCACUGCACUCCCAGGCCACAGCAGAGAGCUGGACUGGAAGAGGAGAAACCGGGACAGAAUCCGACUCCCCAACCGGGACUAGAACCUGAUGUGCCGGUGCCACAGGCAGAGGAUUAGCCUAUUGAGCCGCGGUGCCGGCGGAAAGUAAAAGAUUUCAACAAAUAAUAUGAAUAAAAAAGAAAAGCACUGUUCCUCAAUGGAAGGGACAAGAGCUAUAAAUAAUCAUUGAAUCUCUAAAUGUAUAUUUCACACUAAUACAUUACAUUUCAAGUACUCUGCCAGUUACCUCGGAUCAGGGAAAACAUAUGAUUGCUGUCUUUUUGGGACUGGCUUAUUUCACUAAGUAUAAUAGUUUCCAGGUAUGUCCAUUUUGUCACAAAAGACAGGAUUCUUUUUUAAAUUUAUUUUAUUUUAUUUUACAGCUGAGUAGGUCAUCUUAAAGGCAGAAGGUUUUGAAAGUCAAGACAACUGGAUUAUAGAAUUUCUUUUUAUUCUCUCUUUGGUUCUCACUGAUGCAUGUAAACAAAAAUCACCAAAAAAUCACAUGGUAGCUGCCGGUAUCGUGGCACAGUGGGUUAAGCUGCCCCCUGUGACACUGGUUUGCCACAUGAAUGUCGUGUGAAGUCUCAGCUACUUCUCCAGCUCUCUGUUAGUGCACCUGGGAAAGUAGUAGAAGAUGGCCCUAGUACUUAAGCCUCUGCCACCAUUUGGGAGGCCAAGAUGCAGUUCUGGGCUACUGAAUUCCAUUUGGCCCAGCCCUGGUUGUUGAAGCCAUUUGGGGUGUGAAUCAAUGGAUGGAAGAUCUAUCUCUCUCUCCCUCUCUCUGUGUCUCUUGUUCACUCUCUUGCUUUUGCUUUCUGUCUCUGUUUCUCUCUGGCAUUCUGUUUUUCAAAUAAAAGUUUAAAAAUUACACGACAAGGUGUGUUUGUUGUAGUUUAGGGAUAAUUAAAAUAUCUUUCAAAAACAGUAAGUUUAGAAUUUCCAAUUGUGGGGAGCAACUGGGAGCAACUCGGACUAGACUAAGUUACUGGAAUUAAGACUUAUUCUAUGCAUCUGCUCUCCCACAAUAUGGCGCUAGGAGAGGAGGAAACAGCUUCUACACAGCUGCCUCCAGUUCAACCAAUAAACAGCAGGACCUGCUCCUGAUUGGAGGAGAGCAGCGUACUCAGCAUGUGGGUAGCAGAGUUGGGAUUGGUGGAAGAGGACUAUAAAGGAGGAGAGAGAGACAACAUGCACCAGGAACAUCUAAGGGGAACAUCUAUCUGAAGGAACACCUGUGCAGCCCCCGAGAGAGCCGGCCGGCGGUGUGCCGCUCCCCCGCGGAAGUGGGGAAAGUGGCAGGGGGAGCCGCCCUUCCACGGAGGUGGAAGGGACGGUAGCCAACCCGGGAAGAACCAGCAGCAAACCCAGGGAGGGCCGAGCAGACGAAAGAACAGCGCAGGGUCCUGUGUCGUUCCUCCACGAAGAGGGGGAGCGACAUAAUGGUGCCGUGACUCGGAUAUAAAGCCUAGGCAGGGCUUAGUGUCGUUCCUCCACGAAGAGGGGGAGCGACACCAAUCUUCAUAUAAUUAGAAUAUAGUGUGAUGUCUUCCUACCUAUACUCUUAAGAUUGCUGUUAGCAAACCUAUUUCUCUUUGGCAUUUUCCUAAUGUGUAAUAAAGGGUUUGUACUCAUAAUUUGAGCUUAAUAAAUAUUUGUUAAAUGAACAAAUUAACUUAUAAAUGUUAAUUACUUUUAUUAUAAUAUCUGAGCAUUGAGAUAUACUCAGUGUCAAGUAUAAUGGUCUUUUUAUGAUAAAUUUUUAACAAUGGCAUCAAUGUUUAGCUCCCCUUGAAUUCCGAAUGCUUGUUUGCAAUGGUAUCUCUUUUCCAUGUCCAAGAAGUAGCAAAUUGGCAGCAUCAGAUGUUCUGUUCCUACUUAUUUGGGUGGACUUGCAUGGAAUGCCAGUAAGAAAUUUGAAUCGUAUUGUUUCACAUUAAAACAUGAAAACAAACAACAACUCUUUAUUAUGGAGAAGCCAUUUUGUCAAUGUGUUCAUUGUUAGUCCAAAGGCCUCUGCCACUCAUGUUGCUGACUUUUUGGCCACCUUACUUUUUCUUGUAUCUUCACCAUGGAAGAGACAGCCCUGAGAGGCAGCUAUUGAUUUUGUUCCUUGGUGGCAGCAGCGUUGCUAAAGCAGUUGAUUAAGACAUUGUUAUAUGGUAAACAGGGAGAACACGCUUGAAGAAAUCAUUGUCCUCAGGAUCAGGUAAGGGUAGAAGUAUGUGGGCUCUGGAUCUCUUUGUCAGUGACACUAGGCAAGCUUGUAGGGAACUGUGACCACAUUCUUUUUUUUUUUUUUAAAGAUUUAUUUAAUUAUUUAUUUAUUUGAAAGGCAGAGUUACAGAGAGGCAGCAGCAAAGAGAAAGAGGUCUUCCAUCUGCUGGUUCACUCCCCAGAUGGUUGCAAAGGCCAGAGCUGGGCAGAUCCAAAGCCAGGAGCUAGGAGCUUCUUCCAGGUUUCCCACACAGUUGCAGGGGCCCAAGCACUUGGGCCAUUUUAUACUGCUUUUCCAGGCUUUAGCAGAGAGCUGAAUCAGAAGUAGAGUAGCCUGGAUGUGAACUGGCACCCAAAUGGGAUGCUGGCACUCCAGGCAGUAGCUUUACCUGCUACACCACAGUGCUGGUCCCUAACACAUUCUUAACAACAGCUGAGGUGCUCCUGAUGUGAUUGGUUGCUGGACCCCACAAAACACCAGUUGAAUCAGUUUAAGGAGACAGUUAAGCAAAUGAAGGACUUCUUUUAGCCUCCUAUGUGAGUCUGAUCAGCUGGUGUAAGUUUUAGAGCCUGAAUCUGGGGUUUGAAUCCUGCUCCGUCAUUUACCCAUGUGUGCUACCAGGAAAGUUAUCUAACUUCUUUGCCUUAGUUUUCUCAAUUGUCAAGUAGAGAUAAUGCUAAGGGGAAGAGAUAAUACUACCUCUUAGCAUCUUCAGAAGAUUAAAUGAACACUUGCAUAAUGUCUGGAACACCGUAAAUAUCAUGUGAGUGUUACCUCAGACUCUAUUGAUUCCAAGUCUUCAAAAUAGGCCUUCCCCUCCAUCCUGAGGUCAUGCCACAUUUUGUAUGACUGCCUUAGGAGAUAAACUGCUUGUAUGUUAGGAGUGUGGGUGUGAGUAGUUAAAGAUAUUGAUGACUUUUGCUCUUUCAUGGAAAUACCCUGCAUUAAGCAAGCCAAAAGAUUGUGCUACAAAUGUGAAUUUGUAAAUUCUUAGAAAUUCACAUCAAGCAAAAACAGAGAGGGACAUGUCCCAAGGGACAUGUUACUAAAAUUAGGUUCCAGAUGGAGAAGUUAUGUGAUUUGGUACAAGUUUAAGUUUAGAAUUGUUUUACUCCGAAGCUAAAUAGGAGAGCAAAGAAACAUUUUGGCCUUGGUUGUUACAUUUACUCUUGCUUAUUUUCAAAACUGAAAUGCAGGCAACUAUGAUUAUUUCUAGUAUUUGUUAUUUAUCUCAACCAGUGUUCUGACUUCUACUCUUAAUUUCUCUCUUUUAAUAUAAUUUAAUUUCUAAAAGCUUUUAUUAUGUGAUAAUUUGAUCUUUUAAAAGAUUGAAAGGAAGAAGUUGAAGGGGAAGGAAUCAAAGCUGUUCUGGGAGCGAAAGUCGGCACAGCAGACCAGAGUGGAGGACAGGCCCAUAGAGACUGAUGCUGGGUGUCCCGUGGGCCUCAAUGGCAGCUAUCUCAGCCACGCCCUCUCCUUUGUAGUUUCUGACCAUCAUCUGACUGUGGAUCAGCCACUCAUGUCUGUUUUUUUUUUUUUUUUUUUAACCAAAUGAGAAAAAAAGAUGCAUGGAGAUUCUACCGUUGGUGUCAAUGAAGUCAUAGAAGAUAAACAAACCUACGUUUAAUGAGGAACUUCUACGUUGGAGGGUCUGUUUGAUCUUUCUUUUCUAUGUCAUCUUGCUCUAAUUUAAGAGCUGCGUUCAAGAAAUGCACAGAUUUGAAAAUAGCACACUCAGUAAAUGGCCGUAUGUGAAUUCUUCAGUGGAAAACAAGGAACUUGAGCAAGGCCUGGUGACCCUAAAUUAACUCAUUUAGAAACAGGAUUCUUGACUUGGUUAUGAAUUCCCUUACCUCCGGUACUACGCUCGUAAAUGUUUAACUGGUUCUUUGGAAAUGAAGACCUGAAAAAGGGUGUUGGCUGAUUUCCACAAUAUCCCUAACACUGCCAAUUUUGAGUCACCACCGUGAUGCCACUGGACGCUGAGUUGAGAAGAGAGGUGCACAGUGACCUCUUGCCGGCCUGCUUGAGAUGACACUGCUGCAACUCUGCUUACAACCCAGGAAAUAUGAAAUAGAGACCAAUAUAUGGGAGGUGCUGAGAACUGCCUUAUAGAAAAAAGCCCUGUGGCUUGCCCAGAGAAAGUGAGGCACAGCACUAAGACAGCACUGCACUCUGAACAGCAUUGGAUAAACCAGCCAAUAGUCACCGUUACACUACUAUUUCAUGACACCACAUUAAACUCAACUAGUCUUGUGUUUAGAAAUUUCUAUUGGUGUCCAUCUGGGUAGAAUAACACUCUAAAACUGUGCUUUCCUAAGAUAUGUUAUUUUCCUUUGCUUCUCUGAACUUUUCAGAUUGUGCAUUACUUGAAGAAAAUUUCUCUAUGGAGUCCAUAUUCCUAGGUUUCUGAAGCACUGGAGGAGUUCACUGUAUAUUUAUUUCCCCCUGUUAAUGCAGUGAUGUCCGGGAAUGUAAUAUCCUAAAGUCACUCUCAGGAUCUGUCAGAAAGAAUUUAAGAACCUGACAUGGUUGAAGUGUUUCAGAGGAAGAGAAGGGCGUCCAUGUGUAUAAUAUGUGAUCCUCACAGGCGACAGAGGAUCAAGUGCUAUGGGGAUGGAAGUCUUCUCCGGGCAUGUGAUGCUUGUGGUGAACCCCAACAGAUGAACAAGGGCCACGUACUUCCUGAGUUGAUCAAGAGAUAGGCCCUAUCUCGGGCUGAACUGAUGGUUGGAGAAAACACAGGCCUUUCAGGUUGUUGGAGGAGUGCCAGACUGGAGCCCAGGGGCUGGAGGGAGCCUCUGUGGGACAAGAACAGAUUUUCAAGGGAGUGGCAUUCAGGAGCGGGACUCUAGGCUUGGGUCCUUGGAUGGGGAUGGGGGCAGGAGAGUGAAGGGUCAGGUGUAGUUGCAUCAUCAAGGAGGGGGAGGUGUUCAUGAGAGAGGAUCAAUAAAUUUAGUGAGCAACAUUGCUUUGGGUCUUGAGUGAUGUGGAGCAAAGGAGACUCUCUGUUUCUGAGUAGUCUACAGAGUGAUGGACAACCACACAAAGGUGACAAAACGGAGAUGCAUCUCAAGGACUAAGUUGAGAACUCCAGGAAGACAAUCAUAGGGAGCAAGAGGCCUGUUCUUGAAGAGGUGUGUUUGCUGCAUGGUGCAGAAGCAUCUCCCAUAAGAUGUAACACACAUAGCUGUGUAGUUUGCACACUUGGCAAAGGCACCCCACAUGGGAGGACUGGGAUUCUCUCCAGCCCUCCUUUCACAUUCUGAGUCUGCACUCUGGCAAGGGACCCAAGUGAGUAGAAGUGGGUUCCCUGCCAUACUCACAAAGGCUGUAGGAACAUCUUAGAGUAAAAGUGUAUUUGGGUUUGGGAAGAGGUUCCUGAUAUUCUCUAUUAUCUAAGAGGGGGUUGACAGGCAUCAUUUGUCCCUAUGGGUUCGAAAGGAUUGUUUAAUUUUUUGCCACACCUAUGUGUGUAUAUAAAAUAUCCACAUUGCAUGAGUAUGUGUGCAUGGUGCGUGCACAUAUGGCAUGCAUAUUUAAAUGGAGAGGAUGCUCUACAAUUACAUUCACAUCCUUUCUCUUAUUCCCACUUACCCUCCUCUCCCAUUUUGUCCAAAGUAUUCAGUUGCUUCAAGGAGGAUUACAAUUACUCUAAUGUGAUUAUAAAAACAAAGAACGACACAGUAUUCAGUAUUUCACAUCAGAUACAGGAUUUGGGUGAGUCUCCGAAGUUAAGUUUUGUUGGAAAAUACUUUUCUAAAUUACUUCAAAUUCUGGGUAACUCACUGAGCAUUGGGCCUGGGAGGGGAGCUCGUCAGUUCACAAGAUCUGUUGAGUCUCCAUUGCUCCCCCAGUACUCCAGGAGGCAUGGGUGUAUUGAGUUCAGUGUAGCGCUAGCAGAAGUCUAGAGCUGGAACGAAGAUUCAGUGGCACAUGGACUCUUCAAGACCAGAGACCUGACAUACCCACGGGUCCGGAAGGACACCCUGCUGUCCAGCCUCAGGCCAGAGCAGCCAGUCUUCACAGAUGUAUGGAUUCACCCUGUGAAGCAGACGCCCUCUGUCUGCUGCUGUCUCAGGAAGGAGCAGGGGAAGAGGAGGAGACCCUUCCGGGAAGAGCAUUGGCUCUGGAGGAGCAGAGUUCAAUUGGAGAUGACCCUGGCUUUGACGUUUGGCAAGGCUACUUUUGUUUCUCUUCCCAUGGGACCUGGUGGGAUGUAGGCAUAAUACAUCAGGGAAGGCUCCUCAGAGAGCUUUGAUGAACUCUAGCAAAUAAGACACCAAGGUGGGUAUGGUGCACCUGUGCUGCCUGAGGGUGCUUCAAAAAGUCAAUGGAAAGCAGAACAAAAACAUUGUUUAUUUUGGUGCAAACAAUUUUGAAAUCCAGGCAUAGAAGAGAUCCUCAAAAAGUUCAUGGGAAGUUUGUAUUAUGAAAAAACUGCAGGAAUUUCAAAAAAAUUGAAGUAAAAUAAGCUUAUCUUGUGAUCCUGUUCUAUAAAAGCAUUCAGAAGUUCCCUUGUUUAUGUACAUAAAAUCGAGCUUCAAUGCCAGAUCAUUUACUUUUGAGUUCACCCUCGUAGGGAGACAAAAUGAACACAAAUUGAAAUUAAAAUUAGGGAUUUUAGAUUUGUAUUAAAAUGUGGAAUUUAGUGAUACAUCAGGUUAAAAACAUUAUUUGAGUUAUGCCAUUAUUCAAAAGAUCUUGUUAGCCACAGAUAUGCGUUAUCACUUUAGAACCUAAGACUAGGGAAAAUAAUAAAGUUGAAUGAUCAAGAAAGUUAGCUUCCCACAAAUCAGAUGUUCUCCAGGUAUUUGAGCAGGAGACAGUCACACUGAUGAGGUACCAGAUACAAGCAUAUGGGAUGGCACAGAGGACAUUUCAGGCACUCCAACCUCCUCCUUCACCAAGUAGAAUAUUCACCUGUACUUCAGAAUGGUGACUUCUGAAGUGACAAGACUAAUUUUCCCUCACUCUAAGUUAAACGCAGACUCACUGACUCCAGACAGAAAGCAAUUAUAUGGGGAUAUUGCAUUACUAUUGCCUGCAAUUUAGAUAAAACGAGGGUGCACAUGGUGCGUAUGCAUGUAUACACACACCCUGUGAACUACUUCAUUGACACGCGCACUCUCCACAAAGCAACUCCAACACCAAGAACAAAGCGAUUGUCUCCCUUCGUAAAACACUACAGUGAAAAAACAGCUAUUUGUGAUGUGGAAAAAAGUUGAGAGCAACUUCUCCAGGCACCCAGGGAGAUCAGGCUGCCUGGCUGACACCCUCAUAGUCCUUUUAAUAUUGAAAGCGAUUGCUGUCAGACUGCUGGCACUGUGUAUAUAAAUGCAGAAAGGCAGGCUGCUUCCUCUGCUCUGUUUGUUCUUUUUGAUAUAAAAUACUGUAAAAACAAAAGGAUGAUGUGAUCUUUAGCUAGAUAAAGAUGUAUCUCCUUUGCUCUUCUUUGUGUGCCCAACCCCACUAACCGGGCCAGUUGCCCUGCACAGCCUGGUGUUGACACAGAUCGGCAGCAUGAACCUUAAACUGUUGUAAACACCUAUAAAAUGUGGCCUUCCUCACAUGGUCAGUGAUGGGGCCUUGACAGCAUGGCCCUCGCCAUCUGAUAAGCCAGGGUCAGGAGUCACUCGAUUGCUUUGCUUUUGCUUUGGAUGUCAAAGAACCAAAAACUUUUAAUGUUUUUAAUAAGUCAAUUGUCCAAAUAUGUACAGUUGUGUUACACACAUGAGCUCAUCAAAGACCAAUGGGGAUCCAGGAGGACACCUGGAAGGUCAGAGGCUGUUCACCUGGUGUUGUAACUGUGGGAUCAGGUUUUGGUGAGAAUUCUCUAUGUAACUGAAAUUAGGGUUCACGUGCUGACGCAGCAAGGGAGUCACAUGCUCCUCCUUAGCAAGGAACCAGAGGGAACUACUUUAGGGGAAUAGUGAGAUGGACUUCAAAUGUUGACAAUCCCUCCACUCCAGGGGUGGGAAUUGUCAGUAGGAAUUUGAUGAAGAAAGGAUCUUUUCCUUAAAGCAAAAUGAAUUUUAGUGAUAGAACUAGCUUGUCAGUUUAUCAUUAUGUGUUAGUAUAUAAGAGGCUAUUUAGUAGUUUUAAAAGUAGAAUUAAAUGUAUGAUUUAUUUUGAUAUAAAAAUAUUUUCAGCAAAGCAUUUUUUUCAUAACAUGUGGAAACUGUGUUUUAUUAAAAAAUUCUGCAUAGUUUUUCAAGAUUGUUUUUGCCUCAGAAUAAACUCAUACUUUAAUUCCAUUUUCCCACAAAAUUUUAAAGUACUCUUGUGUGUGUGCAUAUAUACGCACAUACAAACAUAUGUACACUUGUAUGUAUCUAUGUAUGUUUUGCCUGUUUUAUAAUAUCUUAGAGAUUGAGAUGACCAGAUGUUCUCCAUACCAAUGUUUGGAAUUCAGUAAAACCAGGUGGCUAGGCAAAAACACCCAAUAAAUUAUAACAAGAGCUCCUCCCUUAGUUACCAUGUGGAAGGUGACUUAUUCAACAAGUCAUCAAGUUGUGAAGAGAAAUGGCUUGGUAGAGGAAAAUUUUGAACUGAUACAGACAAAUCUUUAUUCUUUUCCAGGUCUCUUUUGUAUUACUGAGACUCUUCUGGAGGAUGAUGUGUGAAACAAAGAUUUCAAUGAUUUCAUUAAAACACUGUGGUAGGGGCCAGCGCUGUGGCUCACUUGGUUAAUCCUCCACCUGCAGUGCCGGCACCCUGGGUUCUAGUCCCAGUUGGGGCGCCAGUUCUGUCCCGGUUGCCCCUCUUCCAGUCCAGCUCUCUGCUGUGGCCCAGGAGGGCAGUGGAGGAUGGCCCAAGUGCUUGUGCCCUGUGCCCACAUGGGAGACCAGGAGGAAGCACCUGGCUCCUGGUUUCAGAUUGGCACAGCAUGCUGGCCGUGGCGGCCAUUUUGGGGGUGAACCAAUGGAAGGAAGACCUUUCUCUCUGUCUCUCUUUCUUUCUGUCUAACUCUACCUAUCCAAAAAAAAACAAAAACAAACAAACAAACAAAAAAAAAACACACUGUGGUAACACAGAGGGAGAGUGUCCGGGGAUGUUGGAAACGUUCCUCUACUCUUCUCCUCUGGUCUCUUCAUGUGCUUUGAUCCAUGCUUGAGAGUGGGUGGCAACUGCUGCAUCAGCCUGGAUGUCUAUAAAGCUUUUUGGAAAUAGUUUUCUAUUUACAACCUUAAAAUUCCGCACUUACUAGAUCUCUCUCUCUCUUUUUUUUUUCGACAGGCAGAGUGGACAGUGAGAGAGAGGGACAGAGAGAAAGGUCUUCCUUUGCCGUUGGUUCACCCACCAAUGGCCGCUGCGGCUGGCGCACCGCGCUGAUCCGAAGGCAGGAGUCAGGUGCUUAUCCUGGUCUCCCAUGGGGUGCAGGGCCCAGAUACUUGGGCCAUCCUCCACUGCACUCCCAGGCCACAGCAGAGAGCUGGCCUGGAAAAGGAGCAACCGGGACAGAAUCCGGCGCCCCGACUGGGACUAGAACCUGGUGUGCCAACGCGGCAAGGCGGAGGAUUACCCUAGUGAGCCUCGGCGCCGGCCCUAGAUCUCUUAAAGUAUGUAAUCUUGCAAAAUUUGGGACUAAGCCAUUCUCUUUGCACAAGCAUCUCUGUCAUUGCUUUGAUCAUCCUAAUUGCAACACUGGUGGUCUUAAUCUUGGUGAGGACUCAGUCCAUGCAAAAGCAGCUCUCACUCUCCAAUCACAGAUGCAAAUCCAACAAUUCAUAAUUCAUAGAUACUUUUAGAUUGAAUCUUGCAGAAAUUUUUUACAAAGAAAUGAGUGGUAAAUUGAAAGAAAACAUUGAGUAACAACUGUGCCAAUCAAACCCAGCCUCUUUAUAGAAGGUGAUUGCUUCCAACUGAACAACAUUUGGCAAAGUUUUCAAUUUUUCAUCUACACUGCAAGACUCAAUUCUGGGCCAAAACAAUUUGUGACUAUGAACAGGUAAAGAAAAAGUUGGUUUUUAAAUCUAUCUAGCACCUAGGAGUUGUCUUAUCAACCAGGAUAGAUGGCUUUUUCACAUUUUAUCUAAUCUUUGACACUCUGCCUUAACACUGGGUAACGGUAAUGGCCCAAUUUCAAGCACUUACUUACUCUUCCAACUGUGGUUCCCUCCCUUUUUAAAAACUCCUAUCCCAUCCUAUCCGUAACACCAACUAAUCCAGAGUUUUUCUUAUUUCAAAGCCACUCUCCAUUUGACAUACACAUAAGCUUGAUGCUGAAAUCCUGUGGAAGUUAUCGGCAGUUUCUGUAUUUUACAUCUUGUUCUUGAUUCUGAGUCAUCACAUUAUGAUUUGAUGUAAUUCACAGGUUCACUUUCAUAAAAAAUUUAACCAACUCAAGGUCUAGAUUCAUGGUGCUUGGGUGGAAUUGUGAGAUAUGGCAACAAAUCAGAGGUUUGACCUGUAGUCCCCUAUCCUAUCUGACCUUCCAGAGCUGGUUGUGCAUAAAUCAUACCAAAAAGGUGUGUUUCUGAACUGUUUUCCAGUCUUACUCAUCAAAUAUAUUUUCCCCACAGGAAUAUCCAGUACUGUCUAAGUGGGUAAUUAACAUUCAAGGUGGUAAGACCAUGUCCACAUGAUGAAAAGUGUUCUGGAAAGGAACAAAUGGGUGCAUUACUAAUGAAAGAUUUUUUUUCCUUUACAAAAAGUCGCUGAAUUAUGCUAUCCAGACAGCCUACUGUCAGAUAAUGCAUUGAUAAAUGGAGGAGUAGACAAUCACAUUAAGAACGUCAGGCCAUUAUUUGCAAUUCUCAAAGUCGGUAUUCAGAAUCGACGAGCAAUGAACUUUCUCUCAAAAUUAGAGGGAAGAACCCACUCUCGAGUAGCAGUGAUGUGCUCAGUUGGAGACAGAAAAAGGAGAGGUCUACUGUACUCUCAGGAGCCUUUAGUCCAGAGAAGUGGUUUUCAAACUGUUGGCAGACACACAGAGCAAGACAUUGUCUUUUACAUUGCAACACCAAUGCAAAUGCAUGUGUAUAAAUUAAACAAAGGUUUCCAAAGUAAUGUUUACUAGCCACAGUUCAUACUGACAUUUUCUAUUCUAUUUUCUUUAAAAAAUAAAUGCUAGUUGCAAACCACAAAAUCCAUAUCCCUAGUGGGGAGCCAGGAUUCACAGUUUGCAAACAGCUUUGGUAGUUAUUGUCAAUCUACAUUUUUGAUGAACACCUCCGAUGAACCAUGAAGGUUUCACAAAAAUGAGCAUUCAUGAAAUGAAUGGACCAAAGACCACCUUAAGGACAGAUACAGUAUGACAUGUGAUAAGGGCUCAAAAAAGUUUGUGGUGAAAUUAUUCCUAGAACAUCAUAGACAAGAAGAUGGUACAGGUGGGCAGAAUAUCAGUUGAAUGAGCAUCAAGAAAUCAGAGAAGGGGUGGCCUUGUCUGGACAAAGAUUUUUGGACUGGUUGAAAAGCAAACUGGCAACUACUGUUGCUGCAAAUAGUAAAUAUUUCUGUAAAAUAAAAUGAGCUAUAAUGGAAAGUUUAAAAUGUUUGUGAUAAAUGGAUCUGGAUUUGAAUCCCACGUUGUCCACUAACCAGAGUUUAUAUAAGCAUACAGAUACAUAAUUUACCAUAUCAGUUAUAUUUUCAUAUAUGUGUAAUAAGUUGGUGGUUUACUAGUGACACUUAAAAGAUGAAAGGCUAUCAUCAGAGAAUUGUUAAUAAGAUGGUUCUCUGUAUCAUACAUUACAUUUGCACACAUGUGCACAUUACAUUGACAGUUGUUCCAUUUUUUCAGUUGUUCCAUUUUAAAUUUCAUUGGAUCAUGGUUAGGUUAGCAAUGCACUCAAGGAUUUUGUUUUUUAACUUAACAGUGAGGAAAACCCAUGUAAAAGUUCAUGUUUCUAUGUUGGGACAGCAGUAUUUAACACAUACUUAUCACAGAUUUCUACACAUUUGCAAUCAUUUAUAAUUAAAAAUUUAGAGAAUAAAGAAAUAUCAUGUGUUUCCAAAUUCCAUGUAUGGAAUUUCAAGAAAAAAAGCACAGAAGUAUUAGUUAUAACGCUUGGAAUAGUCAACUAAAUGUCAGACUUAAUAUAAACAAGCUAGGCCUAUUCAUCUAAUAACAGAGGACAGUGUCUCUACUGUUUGACUUUACUUAUGAUGGCCUGGAUCAGAGUUUCUCAAGUUGUGGUGCACCACCAUUUACCACUAUUGUUUGUUAGUGAUACAGAUUUGGAGACCUUCCCUCACAGAGACUCUGACUCAAGCUUUGAGAUAGACAUGCAUGUGUUUACAAACCCAGCAGUCCAUUCUUCUGACUGUUCCUUGAGAAGCUGGGAUAAUUCAGACCAAUUUUGGUUUUUGUUUUCCCAUCCCUUGGCGCCAACCAACACAGUAGUACACACCUUGUAAAACUCAAUAUUUACUCUAAGCAAAUAAGUAGAAAUUCCAGGUGACAUUCUGAUCUCACUUUCUGACUUUGUUUUCCAUCUCUGUUGUGCACCUACACCAAUACCCCAGUGAUCUUUCUUGAGCCUUUUGAAACAGCUUUGCACCCCACAUCUGCCCAUGAAUUCACACCCACAGGCAUACACACGUUGCUUGGAGUUCCGUUUCUUACAGCAGGUGUGGAUUGAUUAAGAUUCUGGUAGUGCUGGCAGUAUUACUAUCAGAAAUGGCAUUGCUUCAUGGCAAAAGCAAAUUUCUAAUUGCAGUCAACAUACUUCCUACAUUAUUUUUUUUUCUUUUUGACAGGCAGAGUGGACAGUGAGAGGGAGAAAGACAGAGAGAAAGGUCUUCCUUUACCGUUGGUUCACCCUCCAAUGGCCGCUGCGGCCGGUGCAUUGCGCUGAUCUGAAGGCAGGAGCCAGGUGCUUCUCCUGGUCUCCCAUGGGGUGCAGGGCCCAAGCACUUGGGCCAUACUCCACUGCACUCCCGGGCCACAGCAGAGAGCUGGACAGGAAGAGCAGCAAUCGGGACAGAAUCCGGCGUCCUGACUGGGACUAGAACCUGGUGUGCCGGCGCCACAAGGCGGAGGAUUAGCCUAUUGAGCCGCGGCGCUGGCCACUUCCUACAUUAUUGAUGGGGGACCAGCAUAGUUUAGAGUGACACACAGCAGAGUUUAGAGUGAGUUAAAACAAUAUGGUAGGUGCCCCACAUGGUAAGGAUAAAUUACUGGACAACCCUAAGAAGAUGUUAGCAAAAUGGAGUGCAAGCUUUCUGUAGCGACUUAGCACUGCAAACAUAUUUCAUUCUAUACAAACUUUCAAUAUUCUUUUAUAUACUAAAUGGCCACCUGUCUCCUGUUAGUUCUUUGAUUAUGGGAAGAGGAUGUUUUCCUUUGCCCUGUCUUCCCUGUUCUUCAUCCGUCUUCUCAGUCCAAGCUACAGUGGCAUCAUGGAAGUACCCUUGGUGCCUUUUUUUUCCCUUCCCACACCAACCCGCUCUGUAGAGUCCAAUGUCUUUGGAUAAAAUGCCUGGAGAAAUCUGAUGAUGGCUCGCCACAGAAAAGGAUUAUUGAUGACACAAAGACUGCAAUAAGGUUUACAUUUCAUAUAUCUGUGGUGAUGUCAUUCUUAAAAUGGACAAGAAAAAUCAGGAAACUUAUGUAAUUCCCGAGUGUCUAGGUCAAAAGGGUUAUAGUCUGUAGACUUGGAGGUUGGUAUAAUUAGGCUUUAUUACUAUUGUCCUCACUAUUAUUCCUGCUUUGUGGGCAGUGAUAAUCUUAUGAAAAUCAGGAGGGUUCUAUGCUAAGUUCAUGCUGAGAGAGCAAGAGACAGACAGCCAGUGAGCUCAGUUAACUCCAUGGUGGGUCCCCCUCCAACUCCUACCAAGCCCCUGUUUUCUUACUGUUACUUCCCCAAUCCCUGCCCUGCGCUAUUUGGUGAGGUUCCUGCCAGGAUCCUGGAGACCACUCUAAAGAGUUUAUUAGAAAGAGUAGGAGGAGAGAAUGAUACAAAAAUGUGAAGAGAAGCCCCUUGCUUCUGACUGCUCAUGCCACUUCUCUCAUUACAUACCUGGCUAAGAUUUACUAGGUUGUUCACCAUUGGAACAAUGGUAAUCUCCAAGGACAUCUGGGCUAUGUGUCUUGGAACCUAACUGUGGAAAUUGUGGAUAAUGGUCUUGAUGGAAAAAUGUGUUGUGAGGUUGAAUCCAACAACGUGGGAGCACAUAUUUAGCAUUUAACUCUGUUCACACAUAGAGAUCUACUUUUCACCUGCAUGGUAUAUAAUUCCACAGGCAGAAUCCUGAUAUCCCACUAAAGUCAAGCAAGAAGCACUGAGGAAAACAUGCUGUAAAUGACAGUAAUCUUUUUAAUGCUAAGCGAGAGGCAACUAACAUUGUAAGGAAAACACACAGCAAACUGCCGAAUGUGUAGGGAGGUUUCCCAGGCUUGAAGUAAAGAUCACUCUGAGGAUGUUUAGCAUUGUCAAAAAUUUUAACAAUCGUGUGCUGAGAAAUGUACCUUAUUAAAAAUCACAUCCCAAGAAAUAUACCUCAUUCAAGUAUAAAACUAAUAUAUAUUACUUUAUUCUUAUUAUACAGUAAUCUGCAAAUGAUGAAAAAUAAGUGUAUUAAAGGAAAAUGUGAACUAAGGAAUUUCUUUGAACAUUUUAAGCAACAUAUAUAAACAUACCACACAUAUAUUGUAAAGAAAAAUUGGGUCAUCCUGAAAUAUGAUAGUGUGAUCUAUUUUUCACUUAAAUUAGAGGAUAGCCCAAAUACCUUUCCAUGCCAUGUACAAUACAAUAAUUAGACUAUGUUCACCAUUGAUUUAUGGUUGACUACAUUUUAAUUAAAUAAUCAUUUUUAAAUAACAAUUUAUUUUUAACUAGUACAAAAAUUGAAUACAUUUGUAGAUUACCAUGUUAUGUUUCAGUACAUGUAUCCACUGCAUAAUGUCCAGUCAGGGUUAUUAUAUACAUUUACUCAAGGAUUUUAACAUUGCUUUAUGAUAAAAAUAUUUGGAAUCCUUGCUUUUAGUACUUGUUUAGAAAAAUAAACAGAACGCUAUCAUUAUCUAUAGUCACUCUACUGUGCAACAGAACACUAGAAGCUCUUACUCCUAUCUGACUGCAACUCAGUACCCAUUAAGUAACCCUUCCUCAUCCCUCCUUCCCCCUGUUGUCCCCAGCCUCUGCUAACCACCAUUCUAUCCUCAGAUAUAUUAAACUAGCUUUCUUGGAUACUGCACAUGAGUGGGACUGUGUGAUAAUUGUGUUUCUGGGCACAGAAUACAGAAGCAAAAACAGACAAGUGUGAUUUUGUCAAAUCGAAGCGCUGCUACACAAAACAGUGAAUAGUGCUCCUUUUCAGCAUUCAGAUGAUUGACACAUUUUCACAACUUCAAAUUCUCCUCAAUGGUUGUACUAAGGCACGUUCAUUUCUUUUGGACAUGAUAUCGGAUGUUUAGAUUGUUUUGAGUGAGUUUUGUGCAGUUGGUCUUCUAAGUCUACUGGUUUGAACAUGGUGCCUGUGUUACCCAGACAAUUCAGACAACACGACUCCCAGCCACCUGAUUAUUUCAGUCAAUUUGAAGGAGCAACUGGUCAACCUUGUGCCCGAUGUUAUUUUUUUCCCUUCUUAAAUCAGAAGAGACAUCAAAUUCUUAGGAUAACUCACAAUCUCCUACUGCCUCAUGUGAGACAGAAAAUGCAGAUGACAAAAGACCCAGGUCAACAUCAGCUUUCAUUUCUCAGAUGCCUUGUGAGAAAGCAUGCCUUGUAUUAAUUUUCUCAGUUAAGCCUAUAGUUUUAUGUUAACUUCUCAUUUAAGUCCAGUAAAGGGGUAAACUAAUUGGCCUUUCUACUUUCCCAGUGAUUGAAUCAUUAGAUAGAAUGCUUGAAGAGAUCAGAAACAGUAUAAUAUAAUAUAAUAUAAUAUAAUAUAAUAUAAUAUAAUACAAUCAUGAUGAAUGAUAAAAUUAGAUGAUGGCACUGAAAAUAAACUGAAUGUCAGGAUCUUUCUGGAAUCUUUCCUUGGCAUGAGAAAACUGGUGGACCUGCAUUUCAGAAUGAGUGGUCAUUGCUCAUUCAGCUAAAUUAGCAUCAAAAUAUGCUGACUUUCUACCCUUCCUCCAUUGCUGCCAUUCUAUUCAAAAUAGAUGCUUUGAUAAGAGACAGUGACCAAGACUUGGGAAAGACAAGCAAUCAGUCAUUGUAGUCAAAGAUUGUGCAUGAAUGUUUGUACGUAUGCAAAAGGCCAGCUUUCUGUAGGCCAUUUCUGAUUAGAUGUGAAUCUAUACAUAGCACAGAUUCAUUUAAAUUCACAUUAUGGUGAGGGGGCAAGCAGGCGCAGCACCAGCUGUUUAAUUUGUGGCCCUCAUUAUUUUCACAUUAGCACCUGUUGAAUUAGAGUUAUUAGCACAGUUGAUUUUUCCUGUGUGUCUCUUUGGUGUUGUGUUCCUGAAUAGGAGCAUAGGGGGUAAGGAGCCAUGCUAAGAGAUCAUGACAUAUAACAAAUGAUGACACUAUCCUUCUAGAAGUAUUUAAUAAAUAAAUAAAACAAUUUUGGGAUGCUAACGCUGAGCAGUAGUUACUCACCAGAUUCCGAUUUCUGAGCCCUGGAGCCUGGGGCCAGCACGGGCAAUCCUCCUGGGCGUGACUUCAUGGUCACCUAAACCAACACAAAUAGAAGGCAUUUCCUUGAAAAUGGUCUUUAUCAUUCUCUGCUAUGUAAAGUGCAUCAACCACACUGUUUCCUCCGUAAUAAUAUUAAUAUGGCAUUUUAGAUCAAAAUACUUUUGACCAUUUCUGACUUUGGUAUUAAAAAGAAACACAAAAAUUCUCCUUUUCAGUUACUUUGCCCCAUACGUUUAGGUACUGUCAGAGUUUUCAGUCCAUAUUAAUUUUAAGAGAUGAAAAAUAUAAUAAGUGGCCGGCGCCAUGGCUCAAUAGGCUAAUCCUCCGCCUGUGGCGCUGGCAUCUUGGGUUCUAGUCCCAGUCGGGCGCCGGAUUCUGUCCCGGUUGCUCCUCUUCCAGUCCAGCUCUCUGCUGUGGCCCGGGAGUGCAGUGGAGGAUGGCCCAGGUCCUUGGGCCCUGCACCCGAAUGGGAGACCAGGAGAAGCAACCUGGCUCCUGGCUUCAGAUCCGCACGGUGCGCUGGCCGCAGCGGCCAUUGGGGGGUAAACGAACAGAAAAAGGAAGACCUUUCUCUCUGCUUCUCUCUCUCACUGUCUACUCUGCCUGUUAAAAAAAUAAAUAAAAUAAAAUAUAGUAAGUGGCCAUAAUAGUCCGUUACUGAUGAAAGGCAUUUAACUUAAGGUAGUGUGUGAAAUGUGUCCAAGUAAGUGUACAAACUUUCUGUGUGAUAGGAUGAGAAAGUAAAUCUUGUUGCCUUUAUCUCUCUUGGGUUAGGUGGCUGCACACCAGCCGCGGGUGCUCUGUUUGCUGCGGCUUCCAUGAGCUCAGUGCCUUAGCAGCAUCAGAGAGCUUUGCAGCCGAACUCCCUGGGAGCGGCUGGGCUCCCCAAGGUGGGAGGAGCCUGAGAACGCGCAUGUCUGACAGUGCUCAGGUGCUGCUGAUGGUACGGUCCAAGAACCGCAUUCUGAAAACGCUGCUUUCAAGACUCAGUUCUAUAAUCUCUCUUAUAUGCUCGGGGUCCUUCACAUCCAUGUCUAGUGUCCUUGCAGUUUUUUAAGAUCUAUUUAUUUUCUUAUUUUGCAAUGAGAAUUAGAGAGAGAAAGGGAGAGACAGAGAGAUCUUCCAUCUGCUGAUUCACUCACCGAAUGGCUGCAAUGGAUGGGGCUAGGCCAGCCUGAAGCCAGGAACCAGCAGCUUCUUUCAGCUCUCCUAUGUGUGUGCAGAGGCCCGAGGACUUGGGCCAUCCUCUGCUGGUUUCCUAGGUGCGUUAACAGGGAGCUGGUUAAGAAGUGGAGCAACCAGGCUCAAACAGUUGCCCUUAUGGGAUGCCAGCACUGCAGAUGGCGGCUUAAACUGCUGAGCCACAGUGCCAGCCCCUGUAGUUUUAAGAUUUAGCUGAUAGAGCAGAAGAAAGAAAGGAUGGUUGCUUAUUUUCACAGUGAAGUCACAAAUUCCUGAUCUACUGCAUCCUGAAAAGUGACAGAUUGAUGUCCAGCCAAUGCCUUGAAAUGCUCACUCAGAGACAAAAUUAUUUACGGUGAUAAAUUAUCAUCAAAGAACGGGGUGGGGGUUCUCUUGAGGCCUUAUGGGACAGGUACACAAAACAUACUUAAUAACUUACUGAAUGAAUGCACAGAAAAUUCAACUAUAUCAUAUCAAAUUUAUAUAUCAUGGCUACUUGCCGCUACCCCUACCACUUUCAACACCAUCUCCAUGUUGUGCAGAAAAUUGGAAAGCAAACUAUUUUCUUCACAUAUCCUCAUGAGCAAAUCACAUUUCAUUUGUCUCCAAGUUCUUCUGAGGCAAGGAAGGGUAACAAUCUCUCUCCCCAUUGGAUGGAUGUAGAAAUGAGGCCCAGAGAAGGGGUUUUCUAAGAGCACUGACUAGCAAAUUAUGCAGAGGGACUGAACCAAGGCCUUGCAGUCCCAGGUUUUGUGUGGUCCUCACUGAAUAGGGUCUUCACUUUUGGUGCCAUGGAGGACAAAAGGUUACCUGAGAUGAGCAGCUGCCUCCUUGCCACUGACCUGGCCUGGUAAUGAGCAGGAAUAAGCUGUCGGGUAAGAACUCCCUGAGGACCCAGCUCUGUGGCGUCACAAUCAAGAAAUGUAAACACCUGUGGAGCUCCGCCCAAGGACCCACCACCCCUGUUAGGCACUGUCAGCUCCAGGUAGAAAGCCAGAGCAAGAAAAGCGAAUGGCUGACCUGGGACCAUACUGCUCACCUGAGGGCCCACCCCUUGUGUCUUCCUUUCUCUCCUGCCUAAGAUCUGAUGGUUCCCUCCUCUCUCUGCUUCUCCAUAUCUCAAAGCCAAAGCUGAUCAUGUAUAUCCUGCACUACAAGGUGUGCAGGGAAGGCUGGGAGGUGGAGUCUGGCCUGCCUUACUAGAAUUCCUUGUGUUGUUUCACCUCAUCCAUCGACACUGGACCAGGCAUACGAAAGGCAACUGAACACGUGUGUGGAAUGAAUACCGUGCAGGAGACAAAACGAGGUCACUGGCUAUUUGACUUCUGAUAUUCCAGAAGUAUUCUGUGUGCCUACCAUUUGGUGGGCACUAGGCUGUGUGUUGGAGACAUGCUAGUAAAGGGGGCUGACCCCUUCCCUGCCCUUAAUAUAUUUUAACACAGAAUAAAGACAGACAAAUCAGUUAUAAGUGAGUGCACAUGCUGCUAUGAGAUCCAAGGGAAGAAAAGCUCUGACACCCUCCAGGCUCUGCCUGGUACAGAACCAUAGUAUGUGUGAGAGCCCUCAAGUUCUGCUGACUUCGCAAUCUGGACUUUUCGACAUUUAGUGUAGAUAAGGAGCCACUGCCUUUCCCUACUUCCUGCUCCUUCUGGCCUCUCCCUGGCCUCAUUUGGCCUUGGGUGUGGAGCUCUCCUGCCUUGCAGCAUAAUUCACCUUCUAUAUAGUAACCCCAGCAUUGGUGGGAGACUCUGGCUAUUUAGCUUUCUACAUAUGAAAGCUUGAACUCUGAACUUCGAGAGCCAAGGGAGCUGGAGCAGGCUUUCCCUUCCAGACACCUCCCAGCCAUCCUGGGAGGAAACCUGGCUGUGUAUGUGUAGCUUUGCUCAGUCUUCUGGCACAAGAGGUGUGAGAUAGACUGAGCAUUCUAGGGCACAAGUAAAAUUGUCCCCAAGUGGAGGUGAGAAUUUGAAAGGCCAAUAAAAGUUGGUGAGUGUGCAUAGGACUGUAGGGUUUAGAUACUUAAGUAAUUGUCUUUUAGUUUCUGAAAAGAGAGUUGUCAACCUAAAAUGAGCGAGAGUGAAAAACAUGCUGACUAAUACAGUCAUAUUUGGUUAGGGGGAAAUGGCAUAGACACUUUUCUUUCUAUAGUAAAAAUCAUACACUUUGGAAAUGACCAAGUUACAGAAACUUCUGGGGGCACUUUUUGGCCUUAGUAGAAACUUGGCUUGUGAUACGAGGUUAAUUUAUUUGGGAUGAAACAUCGCCAGUUCAACUCCCUAUCACACUCUCUAGUAAGCCCAUGGUCUGGGAGGCCCCAGGCAGGCUCAUUUACAUUUUUUAUCUCCCCAUAGUCAAUUCUGAAAUUCCAGUGGUCAUGUUCAGACAUAACUUACCAGAGGAGUCAUUUCAUUCAGAAACACCUUAAUUUUCAGUGACAUUUCCAGUCUCUAAAUCUGGGCUACAGAGACUUCUCUAUUUUGACAUGUUCAUUCUAGUUGAGUAAAUUUGGUGUUGAAGAAACUGAUUUGAAACUGGGCAAGGCAGGCUCCUUCUUCCAUUACCCUUUCUGGAAGUUCAGAUUUUUAAUUUCUACUCUGAGUGUUUGCAAACUGUAAUGGAAAGUGAGUUUUCUGCUGAUCGUGAGUUGGAAAUGAAAUUUCUGAGCACUUGUGGAACCUUAGCAAAGACCCCACGGAGGCACAACGAAGGAGGCUUAGAAGAUUGCAAAUAUCCGAGUUGUGUGUUGGGGAGAGCCUCCCUUGGGGAGCUGAGUGACCCAUAUUCAGAGAUCUGAACAUGAGCACUUGCCAAGUUCAGCUCUGCCACUUACCCUCAGUGUGAUUAACCUCUCCACCACACAGGGGGAUUAUUUGAUCUUCGUGCUUGUUGUGUGAAGAUUGGGGUAUGUGAAGGGUAUGCCUGGCACAUCAUAAAGGUUGGAUAAAUGGAAAUGAUUAUUGCUACCACUCUCUGUUGGCAAAUUCAUCCCGCAUAAAUUUAACUUGAUUCACCCAAGGUUUUUCUCAUUUCUGUGUUGGGAGACAAGGUACUCCACUGUCCCAUUUUUUUUUUUUUUUUUUUGACGGGCAGAGUGGACAGUGAGAGAGAGAGACAGAGAAAAAGGUCUUCUUUUGCUGUUGGUUCACCCUCCAAUGGCCGCUGUGGCCUGCGCACUGCGCUGAUCCGAUGGCAGGAGCCAGGUACUUCUCCUGGUCUCCCAUGGGGUGCAGGGCCCAAGGACUUGGGUCAUCCUCCACUGCACUCCUGGGCCACAGCAGAGAGCUGGCCUGGAAGAGGGGCAACCGGGACAGAAUCCAGCGCCCUGACCGGGACUAGAACCCGGUGUGCUGGCACCGCAAGGCGGAGGAUUAGCCUAGUGAGCCGCAGCACCCACUGUCCCAUCUUUUAAGUAAAUGAUUUCACAAUGAUGCCUGGUUCACAGCCCUGGUUCACUGGGUGAGACACACUUGCACUCAGGAAGUCAGUGCUGCUUAGAAUUUUAAAUCGUGGCGGUGGGGAGAACUGACCAGAUAGUUAGAUUUCUCAAGUAAAAAUGCACCCCAGAGAAGGGAAAUGUAGAGCAGAAACAAAAGAUGCGUUUAUUUUGUUUGAUGAAUAUUUAAUUAUUUAAUGCAUCCUGGACCUUGUUGGGAUCUUUAAACAGUGGACUUAAAAGUGUUAGUCCUGGGGCCGGCAUUGUGGUUUAGUGGGUUAAGCCGCCUCCUGCAAUGCCUGCAUCCCAUAUAGGUGCUGGUUCCAGUCCCAGCUGCUCCACUUCUGAUCCAGUUUCCUCCUAAUGCACCUGAGUAAGCACUGGAAGAUCGCCCAAGUGCUUGGGCUCCUGCACCCAAGUGGGAGAUGCAGAUAAAGCUCCUGGCUCCUGGAAAUAGUCCUGGCCAUUGACAUCAUUUGCAGCAUAAACCAGUGUAUGGAAGAUUCUCUCUCUCUCUCUUUUUCUCUCUCUCUUUCUCCUUCCUUCCCUGUAACUCUGCCUUUCAAAUAAAUAACCAAAUCUUCAAAAAAAAAAAAAAAAACCUUGUGGUUUCUAUUGAUAUAUUUUCCGCCUUUUUAUAGCUGAACUCAGUUAACUUAGAACCUUCUAUUUCAGAACCUUCCAUUUCUUCUCAGAAGCUAGAAACUUAGUCUUUACACCCAACUUAAUGUCCUAAAGCUAACUGGACUACUUUUGCCUUAUUGGGUCAUUGCUGAUUCCUCAGUGUGAAUUCAGGGAGGGGCUGGGGUACAUUUUAUGCAUUUGUGGAAAUAGAUUCAUGCCAUCUUGACCCAACUGAUCUUCGAGGGAAGGUGUCAACCCUUAUUGCACGUGCAGCAGAAGUGGCUCUGGUUGAGCUAAAGACUUUCCUUUUAAUAGUGCUAGUGCACGCUUAGAUGCUAGCCUUAGAUCUGGCUGUGGGAGGACCAAGUGCCCAUCUUCAUUCUCACACAGAGGAAAACUUUCACGAUACUACUAAAAGAGAAGAUGGACAGUAAUACAUUUGAGAGAGCCAUUGGGCAGUUAGAUGUAAAUUCCUGAUAGCCUCCUUAAAUGUGGGGCUGAUGCUCUAGAUUAAAGCUAGAGAUGACAGACACACAUUUGUUAAUGUCUGGUGAUAACAGCUGAAGCUCUGAGACCAGGGGAGACACAAGCAGAGUGUCAGUCAGGGUCUUGGUGCUGGAGGCAGGGAGAGAGGGGAUGAUCUGCCUGGUUCCUGGUGGAAGGGCUCAUCUCCCAUCUGUAGGAUUUAGUCCUUCCUGAUUCUGAAGCUCUAUUCCCUAUCAGGAAUAGGGAUAUUCCCUAUCAGGACCAGGAGUGAUUCCUCAUGCUGGUAUCUUGUAUCCUCUCAUUUCUUGGUGGGGUGGCUUAUUAUUGGGGUUCCAGUAAUUCAUUGCCAUGUCCAUCUACUUGGGUUUGAUGUUCUUGGUCAUGUGGUGUAGAAGGGGAUUUGCAAGCUUCUAGGGACCUUGGCAAGUGCUCAAUAGUACCCUGGGAACUUGGUUGUCCUUGGUGAUUGAGCAGCACCUAUCUAUGGCGUAUGGGGGCACAGGGUCUAGUGUCCAGUGACACCUCUAGGUCAGGAUAGGUGAAACAGCCCUAGCUCGAUAUCCCUGUCCACACAGGACAAGACAGUCAAGGGGGAGCAAGAUGCAAAUCCAAGAGGACCCAGAACCAUGCUGGGGAGGAGCAAAUUCACUGGUAGGUGUUUUUCAUGCUUUCCUGUCAGAUUACCUGGAGUCUCCUUGAGACAGAUCGUGCUUAAAUUCUGACUUAUUCUUAACCUCCUCUCCUAAUGCCUAAACUCUCUGUGUCUCAGUUUGCUCCAGGGACAAGACCAUGAAAAUCCUGUCCUAGUGAUGAUUUUCUGCUCCUUAUCUCUCAGGUCUUCUUGGUAAUUAGGCUUUGAACUUGGUCUGCACUACUUUCUCCUGGCCCUGCUUAGUCUCAUCUGUUGGUUUACCAUGGUCAGCCUUUUCCAGACCUAAUCUCUGUUCCUGGGGCAUUCUCUGAAAUGGCUAUCUUGGCACUGUGAGGGUGUCUUGUCUUUUGCAAGUCGCUAUGUAAAAUGAAACCCAAUCUUCUCAGUGUUCAGAGGGCUUGUCCGUCAAGGGCACCGAUCUUUCCUAGGAACAGAUUUGUAUGUGAUUGUCUCUAAAACACUUUCAAUGUAGACUUAUAAUUCAUUAUAUGCCUCAAAAGAAGGCUCAGAGUGGUCCAGGAGCCUUCCCAAUGCCACUGAGUGAGAAAGAGCAGGUGCUAGGAUUAACUGUUGGAUGGGUUUUGUCCCAAAGCCCAUUCUCUUUCCAUCACUAGAGGUGCCUUCCAAAGAGGCAUGGGAGUUGGAGAGGUGAAAAGCAUAUGGUCAGGAGAACAGGAUCUUUAGAAUUGCACAGUCUGUGGGCAGUUAAUGUCAGAUGAGGGGCCUUGCUGGUGAGUGGAGUCCAGUAAAAAAUCACAAGUGUGAGGGAACUUGAGGGAGGUUCCAUUCAAUGUUUCAGAGGGGCUACACUAUGUUGCUGGUCACCAUAGCCAAUUCUGCUCUUACAGAUUUAAAAUCAGGAUGAAAUGUAACAUUUCCUCUAAAAAUAAUUGCUAGGAAACAAAUAUUAUUGGAAUGAAGGUUGCUGAAUUCACCUGGUCUCCACACUCAAUCCUGUUAUCUAUAGGCCUUGGAGAUGCACAUGCUGUGUGUUGCAAAUUUGCCGGUAUGACUGGGCCAAUAAUCUUGACCACAACCUCGGGGAGGUAUGAAUUUAACAUUUGUGAGAAACGCACACAUGUCGCCUCUCCAGUUUGCUAUAAAUAGAACUUUGCUAGAUGUUCCUGAUGUAACACAUCUGAAUCUCCCUGCCAAGUAUAUGCAGAAUAGCUAACAUUCUUCCUUUUCCUCUCAGAAGGAGGAUUACUACCACCUGUCUCAGCUAACAUUCAUGGGAUUCAGCAGGAAAAACAGUAUUAGGAGGAGAAAUCUCCUUUGAAUGCGGUAUUUUAGGAUUAUUUCUUUGGUUGCCAAACUGCUACCUUUGUAUUCAAAGGUGAUGAGACAUUUUUUGGCUAGGAGACAGAGACAUCCCAGAAAGGUGUCAAGUUAAAAGAGGGCUGAUGAAAAUAUUUGAGCCAUUGAUUGCAGGCGUUGUUCAUGUUUUCUUCUUACUGUUACAGUCAAGGGGAGGAUUGCGGUCAGUACCUUGCUGCCCCAUCCCACCCCUUCUUUGAUAGAAGGUUUAACCUGGGCCCUCAGUCCAGCUGGAUCUUUGCCAGCCAGCCCCGCCUGCUGGACGGCUUUCUCAGUAUGGAGGAAGAGGGAAGGUACAAUGUCUCCUGGUUCAAAGGGCCGUCUAGACCCAAGAGUCCUGAAACUUUCUCUUGGAUCUGGCACUCAGAAGGGAUGGAACUAUGCAUUGGGUACUUAACCUUUUGCUAUCUUUUCCCUCUUCCUAAAAUAAAAAUAAUAGAAUUCUCUUGCAGGAGUGUUGGGAAGAUUAAUGAGUUAAUGUUUGGUGAAGUGCCUGGAAAUUCUCAGAUGAAAGGUGCUACAUAAUAAUCAUAACAACACUUUGUUCUUACAUAGUGCCUUUCUUCCAGGGAGCUCAGAAAGUUUUAUAAAAAUUAUUUCAUUAAUCCUUGCAGCAUCUCUCAGAGGUAGAUAGCAAUUAUUAUCCCCUAUUCUUAUAUCUGGAAUUUGGGGCACAGAGAGGUAAAUUAACAUGACCAAAGUUACGAAUUCAUCAGCAGAAUUCAGAGAUCAUCUAUUCAUCAUUGAUUGACAUUGACCAAGUGCUCCUCAGGAAUAUAAGCCAGAUACUGGAGCUGUUAGGUACCGGGGGACAGGCUGUACAGCAAAGUCAAUGCGUUGUCUGUCAUCGAAGAGACUGAGGUUAUCUCACUUAAACCAUGUAGUGAUAGAAACAAACAUGCAUCCAAAGUGAGAAAAAUGCAGCAAGUAGCUUUGGUUUUGCCCAAGAGAUGUCACAUGUGCGAGCUCUGGGGAUGAGUUCACCAGUAGAGAAAAGGAAGUGGGAAAAGCAUGUCUCAGACAAGAGAACAAAGCAGCAGGAUGCUUCUGGGCAGAGAUGGUCACUUGGCAUGGUAGGAACAAAGAGAUUUUUAGACAAAAGAGUGGGUUAGAGAUUUGAACUUCAUGUGAAGGCAAGCAGAGGGAAUGAGGUUUGCUUUACAGUGGUCCGGUCGUACCUGCAGUUUUGCAAUUCAUUUACAGUCAGCUAUGAUCUAAAACUACUAAAUUAAAAUUUCAGAAAUAAGCUGUUCUGGGUAGUGUGGUGAAAUCUGGCAUCAUCCAGUUUGGUCCUACCUAGGUAGUGAAACAUUGCUUGUCCAGCAUUUCUCCACUAUGUCUACUUCCUGCCUGUGAGUCACUUUGUAGCCAUCUUGGGUAUCAGAUUGACUGUUACGAUAGUGCAGGUGGACUUGUGUCCAGGUGAUCCUUGUUUUACUUAAUAAUGGCUCCCAAGUACGAGGGUAGGGAUGCUGGUAAUUUGUUUAUGCCAAGGAGAAGCUCCAUAGUGCUUCCUUUAAGCAUCAUUUCACAUCAUCAUAAGAAGAGGAUUAGUGCAGUACAGGAGGAUAUUUUGAGAGAGACUACUUUUAGUACAGUAUAUUAGAAUUGUUUCAUUUUAUUAUUGGUUAUUGUGACAAAUCGUUAAUUGCAUGUAAUUUAUAUAAAAAACUUUAUAACAACUUUUUGUGUAUAGGAAAAAAAUCACACUAUUUGUAGUGUUUGGGUCUAUCUGCUGGGGGUCUUGAGUAAAGAGAUGAUUUUCUGUUUAGAAAAUUAACUUUGUUGGUUGAGUAUUAGAAAGUGUGGAUGUGGAGAAGAUCUGAGUUUGGAAAAUCUUGCCCUGACUCAGAAUCGAGACCAUCUUCUGGUUCGCUUUGCUUCUCAGAGCUUCAUGAACUGGAGCUCCCAGUUUGUUUAGCAAUUCUGCACGUGGUGCUUCAAGAAAGCAGCCAUAACAAUGCUUUCAUUUCAUGAGGCAUGCAAAUGUCUUUUUUUUUUUUUUUAAAAAAAAGACAACUGAUCUAUAAUGCAGCUUUUCAAUGAUGGCACAGUGAGAGACUGUCACUCUUCUGCCUGGAAUUCCAUCAGGCAAAAUGGUUGCGUCUGCAUCAAUUACUUAUUAUAAUAGAAAGUAAGCCUUUCUUACACUAUUUGUUAAGGAUCUCUCCAAAUUAGAUUCAAGAGAAUGAUCUUCAAAGCAAGAGUGUUCAUUCGUAUUUCACAUGAUAAACUAUUCUGUGAUUAGACAUAUUUAUUUUUACUUUCACCCAUGAUUAUAACUACUGUCAAUUGUAAGAACAGUUUCCUGAUCACUUGUAUUUUUUUUUCCUUGUCAAAACCUCUUUUAAGUGUCUGACAGAGAAACUAGUAAAACUACUUUGCCUCCAUUGGAGACUCUCAAAAUAUGUUUCAGACUACUGGUGGUAUAAAAGAGGUGGGUGCACUUGGCACUCAGAGUAACAGCUACUUGACAUCAAAUCCUUUCAUUAUUCAUGGAUGAUAGCGACUUGGGAAAAGUUGUGAAUUCAAAACAUUCUACAAAGUUUCAAUCCUGACACAUGACUGGUUAAACUGUUCUGUACCUAUGGAUAGCCAAUAAAUGGUUCUUGGUUAGAUGGCAAUUAAAUCAUUCAGAAUUCAUAUUUUUAAGCAACAACUACUUUAUAAAGAAUCCAAUCUACUUUGCUUAACUAUAAUGAGUAUAUCAUCGGGCGCCAGUACUGUGGCGCAGUGGGUGAGGCUGCCACCUGCAGUGCCAGCAUCCCUUAUGGGCACCAGUUGAAGUCCUGGCUGCUCUACUUCUGAUCCAGCUCUCUGCUAUGGCCUGGGAGAGCAGUAGAAGAUGGCCCAAGUCUUUGGGCUCCUGCACCCUCAUGGGAGACCUGGAGGAAGCUCCUGGCUCCUGGCUUCACAUUGGCACAUGUCCAGCUGUUGCAGCCAUCUGGGGAGUGAACCAGCAAAUAGAAGACCUCUCUCUGCCUCUUCUUCUCUCUCUGUGCAACUCUGCCUUUCAAAUAAAUAAAUAAAUCUUUGAAAAAUAUGAGUAUAUCAUUGAAGAUAGGCAAGCUUGUGCAUCAGUAAGAAGCAUCCCUAAGUAUCAGUGACUAACAAUGAUGGUUUAAUUCUGGCUCAUGCAAUGUUUAUUGCAGACCUAAGUGGCUCCAGAAUACUAUCCAUGAAAUUCACUUUUCUGUUAAUAUGUAUUUCAGUGAUUGCCAAAUCACAAUAAGAAAUAAUUCAAGUAUUAACAAUUAAAAGUAUCUGAGAAGUUCUACACUUCAUUUCUACAAACAUUUCACUGAUCAAAGAAAAUCAUAUGAUCAUACCUAAUUUUAGAGGGACAGGAGACUGCUAUCCUGCCUCACGUCCAUACAAGGGAGUCACACCAGCGAACAAUAGAGCAUUUGCCCACCAGCCUUUACUGUUGCUCUUUGAGAGGCAAUAUUUUUUUCUUUGAAAUAAAUCACAUAUUUCCAUUCAAGAAACAUGUAUGCUAAUGUCUGAAAAUCAAGUGAUUUAUUCUUUGUAGCAUUCCUGGAAGACUAACGGCUGUUAUUGCACUGCUUAAGUGUAGUCUACAGUCUGAGACUCUUUACUGGGUGGUGUCUUUCUCUGAGUGACAAAUACUUGAAGAAUCUUUCUUUCCUGCAUUCUCACCACCUGGAAGGGCCGACCUGAUGGGCACUGAAGUCUUCUCCUGCAUUGUGACAUUGGCAAGUUUUACUUCAGACACAUCUGGAAAAAGACGUGGGCAGGUAAAUCUGACUUUCUCUAAAGAGAAAAAAAAUCCCAUUUUAUCAUGAUAGAAAAUAUUAAGAAUCCCCAUAGGUGGACUUUUAUUAUGCUUUCAAAUUACACAAGCACAUUAAGAAAAGCAGAAGUAUUUUUGUCCCACCUCAGCCUCACCAAAUGACAUUUGUAAAACAUUUUUGAAUUUUGGAAAUAAUUUCAGUGCGGGUGGGAUGAAGUGCAUUGUGCUUGAUACCGUGAGGAGAUUAUAGGGAAACUGUACUUUUAUAAUGAACCUAGGUAACCAACCAAAGGGAAUUUUACACUUCCAGUGGAGAAAUGCAUUCCAAUUCAUUAUUGUUUAGGAAUCAUCCGAUCUCUCUCGGAUUUAUUUAUUUAAAGUCAGUUGUACAAAGGUGGGGGGGGGGGAGACACACAGAGAGGUCUUCCAUCUGCCAGUGGGUUCCUUGCUGCUAUCACCGGAGCAGCAGGGAGUUUCCCCACUUUACUGUCCCUCUCGGACCCUGAAGGCAGGUAGAGGAUCACAGCAGGAAUGAGAAUAGAGGUGGAAGCUAUUUUUAAUAAGGGAUGUGCCAGUGAUAAAGGGACGAUGUCAACUAUUCUAGGGUCACUGUGGUUACAUAAGGUCCCCCUUUCCCAUUCUGUGCUUUGUGUGCACCACAAAGUGUAGUUUAAAAGCAGCUGCUUGAGGGGAGAGGGAAGAACCCUAGGAAAGGCAUCUUCUUGUUUCCUCUCAAAGGGUGACGGGGUCUUGGCAUGGGAGCAGAAGUGGAGGUGGACAAGGAAGAAGAAAAGAUUUGGGGAAGCUGUAGGCUGGGCCCGGCGCUGGGGUAUAGUGGGCUGAAGCCUCUGCCUGCAGAGCCUGCAUCCCAUGUCGACACUGGUUCUAGUCCUGGCUGCUCCACAUCUGAUGCAGCUCCCUGCUAAUGUGCCUGGGAAAGCAGUGGAAGGUGGUCCAAAUCCUUGGGCUCUUGUACCCACAUAGGGGACCCAGAAGCUGCUCCUGGCUUCUGGCUUUGGAUUGGCCCAGCUCUGGCCAUUGUAGCCAUUUGGGAAGUGAACCAGCGGUUGGAAGACCUUUCUUUCUGUCUCUCCCUCUUUCUAUCUGUAACUCUAUCUCUCAAAUAAAUAAAUACAAUCUU